AAAUGUUUAAGCAACUAGGUCUCGGGAAACCCAAACAGACUAGAAUGAACAUUCAAUUAGCAGAUAAAACUAUAAGAUUCCUCAGAGGUAUUAUUGAAGAUGUGCUAGUCAAAAUCGAUAAAUUUAUAUUUUCCGUUGACUUUACUAUUCUAGACAUAGAAGAGGACAGCAACACUCCCUUAAUCCUAGGAAGACCCUUUUUAGCAACAGCUAAAACCAUCAUUGAUAUUUGCACAGGUGAACUCACACUCCGGGUGGGAGACGAAACAAUCACCCUUCAAGCUCGCAAUUCUGGCAACACAUCAGGGAUUGAAGGUAAUUAUUUAAACCAUCCUACUAAAACUAACUGUAUGAUGCAACCUACUUUGCAGAAAAUGAGUCUGAAGGAAGCACACCAGUCAUUCUCAAGCAAUAGUAGAGGACCUGUUCGUGAAGAUCAAAGACUACAAAUCAAGGAACUCGAUGAAUGGCUAACACACAAGCCAAGAACACCCGACAAAUCGAAACUACGCCAAAACGAGCCCGAUACCUCUCCAAAUCAACUUAAGGUUGGUGAUAAGGUCUUAUUAGAUGCCGCGGAUCCCCAUAUUGUCACUACUACACCGAAUGAGGAAAUCCCUCUUACGGUAUUCAGUAUUUUUCCAUUCGGUACGGUAGAGGUGAGUCAUCCCAAGUUCAGUACUUUUAAGGUAAACAACACCCGAUGAAAACCCUAUUUUGAUAAGAUUGAUAGCAGGAAUGAGGAGUAUAAACUCCUCAAACCACCAUGAUUAUUCAAUGGAGAGGUAAGUCAAGCUUAGACUAUAAAUAAACGCUUUUUUGAGAGGCAACUCGAGCACUAACAAUAGUAAUUUUUUUUAAAUUUUCGUAUUUAACUCCUAACUUACUAGUAGAAAUCUUGAAUACAGGUGUUUCUGUAGAGGCACGGCCAAGCACACGGGCGUGUGUAAGGCCAUGUGAAAACAGGGCAAAAGGUUUCCCCAACAUGGGCUACGAUUAAACGCCACGACCAUGCGAUAUGGCCAUGGUCAAGCCUGCCAAAACAACACGGGCGUGCGACACGCCCUUGUGGAAGACCCGUGAUUGAAACUGAGAAACCAGCACAGGCGUGAGACACACCUGUGUCUACCACCCGUGGUCGAACCUGUUAAAUUAACAUGUGUGUGGGGCUUGUAUACACGGGCGUGGGAGAAGUGAACGAUGCUAGACACGGCUAUGCGACACGGCCGUGUUCACCAAUACGCCUGAGGUACACGGGCAUGUGUCAAAUUUCAGACGCACCAAAAUAGUACAAAUGCGAAACACACAGGCUAAAAUUGGGGCACACGGUCAUGUCCCAUGGCCGUGUGUCCCAAAAUCUAUAAAGAGGCUAAACUAUUCAUUGUCUUCCCCACACAAAAACCCUAACCCUAGCCACUGCAAGUCCACACGGCCUCCUUACCACGCCCGUGCGCCGCUUCUCACUCCAUUUUUGAAGCCAAUCUCUCUCCCUUAGUGUUUGUUCACUCUUUUCACCUCUAUUCUACUUAUUUUAAAUGCUUAUUCUUAAAAUAAUUGUUAUUUUUAUCAUACUAUGUUCAUUUUGUUCAUUAUUUCCUACAAUAUUAGAUUAUUUAUCAUGCAUUUUAUGUUAAUGUAGGUUGUUAGGAAAGCUUCAUUCCUUUGUCAUUCACAUGCCAUUAUUAUGCUCGUCCUCAUAAUGUCACGAAAUUAUGCUAUCAAAAAGAAUUUUGUUGAUUGAGUUUAGUUCAUAUUUUGGCUGAAAUUAGUAGUUUAAAUUCAUGGCUUUCCAAAUUCAUGUAUUUACGAUUAUUCUUCUUUACAAAUUAUAGGUAUACGAUGUCGUUUUCACGAGGAAAGAAAUCCACUAUCACCGCUUCAAAGAAAAGAAAAUGAGCAUUGUCUUCCUCGGGUCCUACAAAAAAAAUUCGUCACUCUUUCCUCCAAUUCCCCAACGGGCCCCAAGAAGAACUAUUUCAAAUACUAUGGGCCCGACCUUUAGGAGCGGGCCAUUGCAUUGACUGGGCUGUUGUCGAACAAGUCUAGUUGGCUAACACGAUCCGGGCUCUUCUUACCAUUGACCCUUGGGAGCUGUUUUUCAGGAUUAUCAAGCUGACAUAUGGAACCAUGCUCAACGUUCCAUCUUCAAACCAUAAUGACAAGGUACGAUGAUCCCGAAAUGGUUCAAUUUCGCCUAGGCGAAUUAGUCCGCCAGCUAAGUGUCCCAGAUUUUGGUGUUGCACUAGGCUUAUUUACGAAGGAGUUUAGGGAGGAGAAUUAACUACAUGCUCUCAAUCGCCACAUACAUUUCUCUCUCUCGAAGUGCUGGCACACUUUGGCCCCUAGCACAGCCUCGUACAAUCUUAGCCAGUCUAAGGCAUUAGUUCUUUCACCAUCCCUGAGGUACUUACACGCUAUUUUAGCUCACACGAUUACAGGGAGGUGUGAGAGCAUUGGUGUCGUCAACACCCAUGACGUCUACUUCUUAUGGUGCAUGUCGCAAGGCACGUCAUCGACCUAGCCUAUUUCAUCGCCCUUGCAAUUCAGCACCAGACGGAGCGGCAUCAGAAGGGGGUAAUCUCCAUUGGCCCCUACGUGACUCGACUGGCGUGACACUUCGGGCUCUUCAACACCCCGACCUAAGAAUCAUCCCUCACCCUCAUCGGCCAGAUGUCUCCACAAGGCAUCUCGAGCAUGCUUAGCAUGGAUGAUAGAGAGGCGCCGAGGAACCUACCCUCCCCAGUAUCGUCUCACUCAAUCUACUGAGGAGGAGGCUUACAAGGACAUUACUGAUGAUGUCCCCCCACAGCAUGAGGACCCACCGACUCAGCCACCACCACCCUCUCGUCCAGUUCAUGUAGCGGCUUCAUAUGCUAAUAUCUCUGAGUGCCUCACUCGAUUCGAGUAGCAGUGAUUUCAACGAUUUGACAAUAUUGAUGCUACUCUACAGCAGAUUUGUUAGCACAUCCACAUCUCAUCGCCAGUCCCACCUCGCGAACCAUCCAGCGAUGAAGAUGUUUAGAAACAUUUAUUUAUUAUUUUAUGUUUUUAAUUUUUAUUGAAACUACUUUUUAUUUUUAUUGUUUAUUUUUAGUAUAUUUUAGAAUUUUAUUUUUAAUUAUCAAUUUUGGUUUUUCUUUAUGAGUAAUUAUUCUUCCUAAUAUCCCCGAAAAAGUUCUUGAUUUUAUCACAGUUAUAUAGAGCUCUUAAGCUCAUCAUUGCAUAGGAACUACAACUCCACCGGGAAAGGUUCUCCACGACUGCUGGAAACACAAAAUUUAUAUACUUUUUCAUACCCUUUUUAACUUAAAACCAGGCUAUUCCAGUUAAAUUCUUGCCAAAAAAUAAUUAAUUAUUAUAAAAUAAUUAAAUUAUGUUAAAACUAUGAACAUUAUGAAUUUUAAUUAAUUUUAUAGUUAAUUUUGAUUAAAUUUGGUUAUUUUUGAUAGAAUUACACAAUUGGAGAAAAAGGGCCCGAUGAACACUACAAGAAGAACAAAAUCGAGAGUAAUUUGAAGUAUCGAGGCCAAUUAAUUUCCAGGCCAAUACGGUCCAGAAAUGUGUAUUAAUUCAUAAUUAAAUUAAUUUUAAUUUAUUUCCUAUUUAAUUUAGGUUAAAUGAAUUAAUUUUAAUUAAUUAUGAAGAAAGGGCCUAGUGAACCGCACUGGUUGAACCGAAUGGAGUGAGCCGAACCAGCCACUAAUUGGGCUGACCAGAACUGUCCAUUGGUUGACCCAAAUCAGAAAAUUAGCUGAUAAAAUAUGCUUGCAAAAAGGCCCUUGAAAAACCUCCAAAUUACGUUCAAACCCCACCUUUAUUUUAGGCUUUGUAAAUUUGCCCCAGCCUAUUUUUAGCAAGGUUGAAAGCUUCAACCUUGCCAUGUGUGUGGCCGGCCAUGGGAGGGCUCUCUUGGCUGCUGAAUUUGCUACUUCUAGCAGCCCUCUUUAGCUAUAAAAGCCACCCUAUGCUGCCCAUUUCAAAGCAUCCCUCAACAUCCCUCAUUCCACAACAUUCUCUCAUCCUCUCUUCACUUCUCUCAAAGUUUCCUCUCAAUUUUUCCAUCCCAUUUUCCCUUCCUAUUGUGCCAAUUUCCUCUCUUGAGAAAGAGGUGUUCUUCAGCCAUCUUGGGCAGCAAUCAAGGAUUCAUAAAAGCCUUCCUCGGCGAAGACAACGAAGACUAAGAAUGGAGCAACAGUCAAGCUACUGAUAAACACUGGAUUUACUUUCUGUUCCCUUUCUUUUUGAUUUUUGUUGUUUUUAUGAUGAGCAUAUCUAUGAAAAAUAUUUUUGUUGAAAUGGUUAUUUUAAUCAAUUUAUCUUGAAUUUAAUUCGUGUUGGGUUGAUUAUAUUUUGCCUACUUGAAUUAUUAAAUUAGUGUUUAUACUGUUAUAGGCCUCAGUGAAAUGCUUGAUUAAGUAAAAUCAUGCUUAGGUUAUCUGGCAUUAUAAUUGUUUAGAAAACUAAAGAAUUAAUUGCUUAAACGGAUUGAAAUUGUAAUUAAUGGACUCAACACUUAAUCAGUGCAUGUUUAAUUCUUCUAAGGUAACUGAAAAUUAAAUCAACAUUGUAUUUGGAGAUACAUAUGCCUUGCAUAACUUGCAAGAUUUUUGUGAUUAAAUUGUUUCAAGGUAUGGCUACUUUGUUACUUCACAUAAUCUUUUACAUGUUUAUUAAGUUGAAUUAAUUGGUUGAAUCGACAUAGGAAUAUGAGAAAGAUAAUUUAAUUCAAUAAGUAUGUAUGUGCGAUAGCAUGUUUACUUUAUUAAAUCUGUUUAGUCGGUUGAAUUGGCAUAGGGUUAUAUUCAAGAGAUAAAUGGAAUUCUUUUAAUUAGUAAAUAUGUUCAUAAGUUAGCAAAUUACUGGGUUGCCAUGAAUUUAUUCAUAACAGCAUAAGCACAAAUUUAAUAUUUCUAAGUUAAAAAGGUACAAUUAAUCCAACACAAUUAUGUCAUCUUGAUUAAAUCUUUAUUGAAAUCGUGCACUAGAACUCUUUUAUUUUAUUUAAAUUGUUUGCUUAGUUUUAAAAUCUUAGUUUAUAAAUCACUCUUUUCAAACCAAAAUUAUUUUUACCUCACCAAAGUGUUUAAAUUAAUUUCAUAAAUAUUGCUUUUUACAGUCCCUGUGGGUACGAUAACUCGAUAUUUAGUUGCCACUUUAUUACUUGUUACGAUUGUGUACACUUGCACAUUUCCACCAUUCCAAGUUUUUGACGCCGUCUCCGGGGACUAUUUUUUUUAAAAAAACAUUAUUUGUGAUUUUAUUUUUACAUUUUGGUUCUUUUAUUUUCCUGUUCGAUUUUACUUAAUUAAUUCUUCUCUGAUUAUUUCAGGUGUUUAUGAGUGUUGACUGAAUUAUCGACUUACUCCCAGUGGACCCUGAAAUAGAAAGAACCUUUCACCAAUGAAGAAGACAAGCGAACCAGAGAAGGAUCGAAGAGAUGAAUUUCGAGAAUAUCAAUCAAGGAAACGGAGCAAACCUUGCUCAAAAUCCUAUCCUUAUUGCUAAUGAUAGGGAUAGAGCUUUACGACAAUAUGUUGUGCUAGUUUUUAAUGACCUUAAUCCAGGUAUUAGAAGACCCGAGAUCGAGGCACAACAAUUCGGGCUGAAGCCAGUCAUGUUCCAGAUGCUUCAAACAGUGGGCCAGUUCAGUGGAAUGCCUACUGAAGAUCCUCAUCUUCAUUUAAGACUGUUUAUGGAGGUGAGCGACUCUUUCAAGCUAGCCGAAGUACUCGAAGAUGCAUUAUGAUUAAAACUUUUCCCGUACUCGCUAAGGGACAAAGCUCGAGCCUAGUUAAACUCACUACCACCGAACUCGAUUUCUACAUGGCAAGAGUUAGCAGAGAGAUUUCUUGUGAAGUAUUUCCUGCCUAGCAAGAUUGUUAAGCUGAGAAAUGAGAUUACUACUUUCCAACAAAUGGAUGAUGAGUUUUUGUAUGAGGCAUGGGAAAGAUUCAAAGAGUUAUUACGAAAGUGCCCUCAUCACGGAAUUUCGCAUUGUAUCCAACUUGAGACAUUUUACAAUGGUCUCAAUGCUCUCACACAAGGAUGGUAGUAGAUGCUUCUGCUAACGGUGCUAUCUUAUCUAAGUCUUACAAUGAGGCUUAUGAAAUGAUCGAGAGGAUCGCCAGUAACAAUUAUCAAUGGCCAACCAAUCGAGCAACGUUAGGAAGAUGAGCUGUCGGAAUCCAUGAAGUGGACGCCCUCACUUUACUUGUAUCCCAAGUAUCUUUGAUAUCUUCAAUGUUAAAGAAUCUUACCACCAAUGGGUCUAACAGUUUUACAGCUCAACCAGCUAACCAAUAUGAGAAUAUAGCCUGUGUCUAUUGUGGGGAAGGACAUGUGUUUGAAAAAUGUCCGUCAAACCAUAAUCCAUGUACUACAUAGGUAAUCAGAACCAGAACCGAGGAAGGCAAGGGCUGCAAUCCAAGUUUUACAACCCAUCGUGGCGAAAUCACCCCAAUCUUUCCUGGAGUAACCAAGGGGUUGGAGGCAGUAACAACUACGCCAAACCUAGAUCAACCCAACCGCCUAGUUUUUCACAGCAAGUUCAGAAACCAGUUCAAGCUGAAUUGUCCAGUAGCUUAGAAAAUUUAUUGAAGGCAUACAUGGCGAAGAAUGACGCCACUGUAAGGAAUUUGGAGAAUCAAGUGAGCGAGAUUGCUACUGAACUUAGGAAUCGUCCACAAGGUGCUCUACCUAGCAAUACGGAAAAUCUGAGAAAUCCAGGGAAGGAGCAUUGUAAAGCACUAACAUUGAGGAGUGGAAAAAUGGUAGAGCCCAACAUCAUUGAAGAUGAAAAGGAGCAUGCUGAAGCUCAAGAUUUGGAAGAAUUUCAAUCGAAUGUUGAAGUUCUAGUUCCACUAGAACCAGAACCUGCAAGACCUGAAAAGGUAACCUCAGAACUAGCCAACUCUAAUCAGCCAACCACUCCGUUAGCAGCAGAAUUGCCGCCAAAGACAAAUCAACCAGUACCAACUCCAGUGGAUAAACCUCCAUCACCUUACCCUCAAAGACUCCAAAAGCAAAAACAGGAGGUCCAAUUCAAGAAGUUCCUUAACGUACUCAAGCAACUUCAUAUCAACAUCCUGUUGGUUGAAGCACUUAAACAAAUGCCAAAUUACGUAAAAUUCAUGAAAGAUAUCCUGUCCAAGAAGUGAGACUUGGAGAAUUUGAGACGGUAGCUUUGGCGAAGGAAUGCAGUGCAUAUCUUCAAGACAAAUUACCCCAUAAGCUGAAGGAUCCUGGGUGUUUUACCACACCAUGCAACAUUGGAGUAGCUUACUGUGGUAAGGCACAAUGUGACUUGGGCACAAGUAUUAACUUGAUGCCUAUGCCGAUAUUUAAGAAGUUGGGGAUAGGUGAAGUUAGACCUACUACGGUUACACUUCAGCUAGCAGAUCGAUCCUUAGCACAUCCAGAAGGAAAAUCGAUGAUGUAUUGGUACGUGUAGAUAAGUUUAUAUUUCCUGCUGAUUUUUUAAUUUUAGAUUUCGAAGCAGACAAAGAAGUACCAAUUAUCCUGGGGAGACCGUUCUUAGCAACUGGAAGGACACUUAUUGAUGUGCAGAAGGGCGAACUUACUAUGCGUGUUCAGGACGAUCAGGUAACAUUUAAUGUUUUCAAGUCAAUGCGAUUUCCUGACACAAUAGAUGAUUGUUCUGCAGUAUCUGACUUAAAGGAUUUCAUAGUGGAGAAGGAACUCAACUCUGUUGAGGAUCCUCUGGAAAGAAUUUUGACAUCAGACCCUCCAAGUGAUGAAGAGGAGGAUGAAAACUUAGCUUUGCUAGAAGCUAAUCAAAAGGGAUUUAAUCCACAAUCCCAUUUUAAAUCUUUGGAUUUAGAGGAGAGAGAUUACACACAGCCAAAAGCGUCAAUCGAGGAGCCACCUAAACUAGAACUCAAGGUAUUACCUUCUCAUUUAAAAUAUGUUUAUUUAGGUGACGCUUCUACUCUGCCUGUGAUUGUUUUAGCAGAGUUAACUACUGAGCAAGAAGAGAAACUUAUCUUAGUUUUAAAACAAUUUAAAAAGGCUAUCGGAUGGACCAUAGCCGUUAUUCGCAGCAUUAGUCCAUCCGUAUGCAUGCACAAGAUCAUCCUGAAAGAUGGUGAAAAAGGGAUGAUCGAUGGACAACAAAGGCUGAACCCCAUCAUGAAGGACGUAGUGAAAAAAUAGAUUAUCAAGUGGUUAGAUGUGGGUAUCAUUUACCCCAUUUCAGAUAGUUCAUGGGUAAGUUCGGUCCAGUGCGUACCAAAGAAAGGAGGUAUCAUGGUCAUAGAGAAUGAGAAUAACAAGUUGAUACCGACUAGAACAGUUACGGGAUGGAGAAUCUGCAUGGAUUACCGAAAGCUGAACAAGGCAACUAGGAAAGAUCACUUCCCUUUUUCGUUCUUAGACCAGAUGCUAGAUAGACUCGUGAGGCGAGAUUACUACUGUUUUCUCGAUGGAUACUGAGGGUACAACCAGAUUACGGUAGCACCGGAAGAUCAACACAAGACCACAUUCACUUGCCCGUACGGUACAUUUGCAUUUAGACGCAUGCCAUUUGGUUUAUGUAAUGCACUUGCUACAUUUCAAAGAUGUAUGAUGUCUAUUUUCACUGAGAUGGUUGAGAAAUUUUUAGAAGUUUUCAUGGAUGACUUUUCUAUGUUUGGAGAUACGUACGAUGAUUGCUUAGCCAAUCUGGCUAAGGUACUUAGGUAAUGCGAAGAAAUGAUGGGAAAAGUGCCAUUUUAUGGUAUGAGAGGGUAUCAUUCUAGGGCAUCAGAUAACAAGACAUGGGAUCGAGGUAGACAGAGCAAAAGUAGAUGUUAUUGAGAAACUCCCACCUCCAACAUCUGUAAAGGGUGUUAGGAGCUUUUUGGGCCACGCCGGGUUCUAUCGAAGAUUUAUCAAGGACUUCUCCAAAGUUGCUAAACCUUUAUGCAAAUUAUUGGAGAAGGACACGAUAUUCAAAUUUAAUGAGGAAUGCUUAAAAGCUUUCAAUGACUUGAAGAAUUGAUUAGUCACGACACCCAUAAUUGUCACACCAGACUGGGACUUGCCAUUUGAAUUGAUGUGUGACCCAAGUGACUUUGCAAUAGGAGCUUUCAUGGGCCAGCGAAGGAACAAAGUUUUUCAUCGCAUCUACUAUUCAAGCCGAACUCUAACAGGAGCUCAGUUAAACUAUACGAUAACAAAAAAAUAGUUACUUGCUAUCGUAUUUGCUUUCGACAAGUUUCGAUCUUAUCUUGUAGGUACCAAGGUAACUGUCUAUACAGACCACUCGGUAAUUAAAUAUUUACUUGCCAAGAAAGACGCUAAGCCGAGGUUGAUCCGAUGGAUACUUCUACUUCAAGAGUUCGAUUUGGAAAUUCAAGAUUGCAAGGGAGUAGAAAACCAAGUAGCAUAUCACUUGUCCAGAUUGGAGCCGUAAGAAGGGAAUUCUCCACUUGUACCGAUUCAAGAAACAUUUCCAGAUGAACAUAUACUGAAGGUCAGUCAUGUCCAUAAUACCCCUUGGUUUGCUGAUAUUGCUAACUUUUUAGCUUGUGGUUUAAUGUCGUAUGAUAAGACAUAUCAACAAAGGAGAAAGUUUCUUCACGAUGUGAAGUACUAUUUUUGGGAGGAACCAUAUCUGUUUAAAAAGUGUGUAGAUUAGAUGAUUAGGAGAUGCGUGGCAGAAGAAGAAAUAUCGAAAAUUCUAUACCACUGUCACUCAGCCCCAAGUGGGGGUCAUUUCGGAGGAACUCGUACUGCAGCCAAAGUAUUGCAAGCCAGAUUCUUUUGGCCAACACUAUUCAAGGAUCCAUAUGCAUACGUAAAGAGUUGUGACCGAUGUCAAAGAGUUGGAAAUGUCACCAACAGAAAUGAGAUGCCUUGAACAAACAUCAUUGAGGUCGAAUUAUUUGAUGUUUGGGGUAUUAAUUUUCUUGGGCCCUUCCCUUCGUCUUUUGGUCACAAGUAUAUACUAGUAGCAGUAGAUUAUGUGUCCAAGAGGGUCAAGGCAGAGGCAUAUCUGACAAACGAUGCUAGGGUUGUGAUGAAUUUUUUAUAGAAACACGUGUUCACGAGGUUUGGAACCCCGAGAGCCAUCAUUAGUGAUGAAGGGUCCCACUUUGUGAACAAGUGGUUAAAAUGGUUACUAGACAAGCACGGGGUGAAACACAAGGUUGCAAUGGCUUACCAUCCGCAGACGAAUGGACAAACUGAACUGGAAAAUAAAGAAAUCAAGGGCAUAGUGGAGAAGGUAGUUUGCCCGAACCGACGAGACUGUCCAAAAAACUAGAUGACGCUUUAUGGGCCUACAGGACAGCGUACAAGACACCUUUAGGGAUGUCACCCUAUAGGCUUAUUUUCGGUAAAGCAUGUCAUCUACCCUUGGAGUUAGAGCACAAAGCUUACUGGGCUCUUCGACGACUCAACUUAGAUCCUAAGCUCGCAAAAGAAAGACGGAUGUUCCAACUCAACGAGUGAGAAGAAUUUUGAAUGUUCUUAUAUGAAAAUGCUAAAUUACUCAAACAGAGACUCGAGAAAUGGCAUGACAAACACAUCCGGGUUCGAGAAUUUGAAGCAGGUCAGCAAGUAUUGUUGUUCAACUCGAGAUUGAAGUUCUUUCCAGGUAAGUUAAAAUCACGUUGGUCCGGUUCAUUUACAAUUCACAGAGUCUAUCCAUACGGAGUUGUUGAACUCCAAGGUAAGAGAGGUAAUUUUCAAGUUAAUGCUCAGCGUUUGAAACACUAUUGGGGGAAUAAAACCAAAUGGGAUAACUUCUCGUUCAUUUUAUCAGAUAUUUAAUAUUUUUUUCGUGUUUUGUUUAAUAAAUAAUUUAAGGUCUAUUUUUCGGGUUUAGUAUGUUUAAAUAAAUUAUGUCUAGGAGGUUGGAACUUAAGCGGGACCAUUUGUGACCCCUUCAAUCUUUCCUGGGAAUUUAUUUUAACAUAAUUUUCCAAGAAAUUUUUCCCUAAUCAACAAAAUAAAUUUUUGUUUUUUAAAUAAAAAGGUCAAUUUGAUCCAAUUUUUAAUUUGCAACUCAAAUUUUAAUUUUUAUUGAGUAUAGGGACUUAAAUUGAAUAUUUUUAAAGUUUGAUUGCUCUUUUUGUAAAUAAUGAAAAUUAGGUGCCUUUCUUUGCAAAUAUUUUUUUUAAAGGCAUCUAGAAGAAAUAUUUUUAUUUUUUAUUUUUUUAACAUUAUUAAUAAUUUGAUAAACUUUAAUAUAUAAUUACAUUCAUUAUAAUUUAUAUAUUAAUUUUUAUCAACUUAGAUUAGAAUUAGGAUUAAUUUAAUUUCAAUUUUUAUUUUACGUUUAUCUUAAUAAUUAAUAGCAAUUGAUAAUUCUAUAUGCUUAUAUUUAAUUAUUAAUUGCUGUUAAAUUUGAGUAGGAUUAGAAUUAAACUCUUAUCUUUAAUUAUUAAAUUAGACUAAGAGUUCUAUUUUAAGUUCUAUAACUUAUGCUAUAAAUACCACCUUAUACCUCCCAUCCAUGCAUCAACCAAAAACCAAAAUAUCUUGUGCCGCAACACCCCUAGCUCCAGCAGCCUAGUCGGCAAACACCCAGCAGCAUCACGCUGCGCCACUCAAUUAGCACCCAGAUCCCACUCGUGCGCCUGCUGUUUCAGUUCAGCAGCUGCCCAGGUCGCAUUCUGCUGCUCUAGCGCCCCACCUGCGCGCCACGUUCCAGCUCCCGCACAAGCUCCAGGCCUGUUCGACGAAGUGCCAUGCGCUUCUUGCUGCACACCCUUGCGUUCUGCUGCUUGUUCUCUAGCCUUGUGCGGCACCCUCUUUGCACACCAAGCCUUAAGCCAAAAUUCUUCAACCCUCCUCCUUUUAAUUUUCCAUCUUUUUCUUGCAUUAAUUUUCUUUGAGUUCUUAUAUUUUUGUAAAAAGGUCAAUUAUGCCUCACAAGAGAACUCGCGCCUCUGCUCAAAUCGACGAAACACAAAGCAAGUUCCAUUGUAUUGAAGCUAAAGUGAGAUACGAAAGUACCUACAAAAAUCAACAGAUGCAUCCUGAGAAAGGCUUCACACUGAAGGAGAGCAACUAUAGAGACUUCAUGGCACGUAUUCGUCAAAUUGCUGAAGCUCUCAAUUGGGAACUGUUUUGUGAAAAGAGACCUAGUGUGGAUGAGGAGCUAGUUCUUGAGUUUUAUGUGAAUUUAACUUCAAGCAAGAUGAUAGAAGUCCUUGUUCACGGAAUCAAGGUACCUAUAAAUUCUAAUGCUACUAAUGAGUUCUUUGAAUUGCCUGAUUUCGAGAACGAUGAGUAUUCGUCUUUGAUGAGCAAUAUCAAGUUGGAACUUCUGCAAGAAAUUCUCGAGGAGCUUACAGUUGAAGGUUCCAGUUGGACUGUGUCAAAACAAGGAACCCACAUGUGUCAAAGAGAAUACUUAACACCUAUUGCAAAGGUAUGGUUUUAUUUCAUCCGUUUCAGCCUUCUGCCUAGCUCACAUGGGACUACAAUUUCAUUGGACCGAAUGGUCUUACUAUACUCAAUCUUAACGAGUAAGACCAUUGAUGUGGGAAAGAUCAUCCUGAAAGAAAUUCGAAACUGUGCCGCUAGACGUUCUGGCCCUGCUUACUUCCCCUUUACAAUAACGAUUCUAUACUUGAAAGUAGAAAUUCUUGCUAAUGUCAAGAAGACAGGGUACACCCAAGGCACAAUUACAGAUUGGGACCUCUACCGAGUAGCCGGAGACUCAGUUCUACAACAACGAGUUGAAGAAAGUGAAGAGCCUGAGGAACCUGAUGAAGAAAAAGAUCCCACGAUGUAAUCAUUUGAAGUCCUUGGUAAGGUGGACCCAGUAGAGCCAAAAGAUGAAUCGGAUGCUGGAACUCCAAUGUUUAGAGCUCAGUCGCCUAGCCCAGACUUUCGAGAUUAGUUUUCAAAUUUGAUAGACUUAAUGCAACAUAUGCAAUGGAAGCAACAAGCAUACUGGAGAUACUCAAAAAUAAGGGAUGACUCGAUUCGAAGUGCUUUCCAGAAAAUAUACAAUGACCCAUUUAUUUUUGUGCCUGGAUUUCUAGAUUUCAUAUUCGAGCCAUGGACUCCACUCUCGAAAAAUGAGCGAAGCGAUUCAUGCAAAGGCAAUAAUAAUGGAGCAAAAGAUGAGUCCAACUUGGAAGGAUCUGCAAAUAAAUAAAAGGGAGGGAUCUUGACUCUAUUUUAUUUAUGUUUUUCUUAGGUUAUUUUAGGAUCAAGUUUAAAUUAGGAACUUUUAUUUCUGCAUAAUAAAACAAGAGAAGGAAAUCCUGAAUAAACAUGGACAAGUCAUAAAGUAUAAAGUGUGGCAAUAGGUAUAUACAUGUCUAGGAUUGGAUUUCAAAAGAGCUUGGUACUUAAGCAGUCACAUUGACUCACCUCCUCUUUUCUAAAUUCCUACCUGGUGUAUAGUAUCUAUUCCUUUAAACAAUGAGGACAUUGUUCAUUUUAAGUUGGGGGGACCGAAAUUUGAAAUUAUCUUCAUCCAGAAUAAAAAUUUUCUUUUAAUUAUGAUUAGGGUAUAUUUCUGUUCAAUAAAGUUGAAUUUUGUUAAGUAUGCUAAACUUGAGUAUGAAUAAAGUUCUAUUUUUUUCAAUAAAUUAUUAUGUAGUUUAAUGAUUACAUAAAUGUAUUUUUAAUAAAGCAUGCAACUUCAUACCAUAAAAUUUUUAUCUCUUUAGGAAAGUUAGGUAUGCAUGAAAGUUUAAGUCUUUAGAAUUGACUUAGUAGUUUCUUGAGGCGAAAUCCUAGGAAGCUUGGAACAUUGGAAAGAUUUAGGCAUCUAUUGUUUGGACCGUUUGAGACUUUCAAGCCUACCAUGGUAAAUUUUAUCUUUUGAAACCCAACUUUGAGACUAUAUGGCCUAAUUUUUGGAACCUAUACAAAUUUAGACCAUCACGUUUCUCUUAAUUAUCUUUAAAUUGCCCCAAACACUAGACUCAGUACUAUUCAAGAAUAUCGUUUGAAAAUAAGUUUGGGGAGUUGAAAAGAAAUAUCAAAUGCUAAAAAAAACACAUAUAUUUGAAAAAGAGCAUGUGAAAGUUGGUGAUUGAAGGUAAAAUUUUUUUUUGAAGGUUCGAUUUACACCGAGUUUAAGGUUUUUAGCCAAAAUUUUUCUAUCUUUUUACCUACCCCUAAGCCCAGCCACGUUACAACCUUGUUAAAGACCUAUUGAUUCGAAGUUCCAAAGUUACCUACAUUAGUGGAGAGAAAUUGCUUUGUUCAACAUAUGAAGACAUAGGUUAAGCUUAAUGAUUGCGACUUGAUCUUGAAUAAAGGAUUAAAAAAUUGAAUUGGUAGGAAUAAUUAUGUCUUUAUCAAGAAACAUUUAGUCCAAUUUUGCUAUUAUAAUAAUUGUUGAGAUUAAUUUGAAUAAUAUGAACACUUGAGUAGCAGAAUAAUCAAAUUUCUUAUUCUUUGAGCAUAAGUAUAUCAAAUUCAUAAUUUCGAGAAAACUGUUGUUCUGAAGAAGGUUUUCAAAGUGUUUUCGAGAAAUUCUUUUCAAAAUUUGUUCAUUACUCGGGACGAGUAAUGAAUUAAGUUUGGUGGUGUGGAAACAUGUAACACCCCGAACCCGAGACCAUCACCGGAGUCGAACACGAGGUGUUAACAGACUUUUAAAAAAAAUUUCCCAGACACUGCCAAUCUGCGUACUAGUCGCUUUAAAAAUCAUAUCUUGAGUUCAGAAACUCGGAAUCCAGUUCCGUAAAUUUUUCCUGAAACCAGACUCAUAUACCCAUCUACAUAUUUUUUUCUAGAAUUUUUGGUUGGGCCAAUUAGUACAGUUUAUUAGUAAAAGUCUCCCAUGUUAUAGGGAUCGACUACACUGACCUUUCCGCAUUACGACUAGGAUAUCUCCCUGUACAGGGCUUCAAUACUUAUUCCGUUUGUUUCUGUAGAAACUAGACUCAGAGAGGAAUCUAUACAUAUAUGGCUUGACUCCUAAUUGGCUCUGGUUAAUUUAUAAUGAAUUUCCAAAGUCGGAACAGGAAAUUCAGAAACCGUUCUGGCCCUGUCUCACGAGAACCUGAAUAUCUCUUAACAUACUGUCCGUAUAAUUGUUUCGUUACUUUCCUAUGAAAAUAGAUUCAUCAAGGUUAGUUUACAUAAUUUAUUCACUAUUUAAUUACAUUCCUACUAUUUUUAGUGAUUUUCCAAAUCUACAUCACUGCUGCUGUCAGCAUCUGCCUUUAAGGUAGACUUUACCUAUUUCAUGGUUUCCAUGAUUCAACUAGCCCUUUUUGCAUAAAUAGCACAAUUUAUGAUAGUGAUUAACCAUUCCCAUGGCCAAUCCUUGUCAAGCAUAUCCACACCAAAUGAUUAUAACAUUAUACUCAAACACAUAUAAGCCAUUUUCGCAUGGCUAUCCAAAAUUAUACAAGUCCAAAGGGUCCAUGACCCACAACAAACGGGUAGUCCUAUACAUGCCAUUUCGAAGUUCAACCAAAAUUGUACCAAAAAGGGGGGGGCUUUGAUAGUGUGGGCGACUUCGACUUCAAAAUCCCGAGUCUGAUAGCUGGAGAACCAAAAUCUAUAAAACAGAAGAUCAAAGAAACGGAGUAAGCAAUUUAUGCUUAGUAAGUUUUGAGCAAGGAAUUCCAGCACAACAAAAGUAUAGCAUUCAUGUAGCUAAACGGAUAAUUUCAUAUGCAUAAUUUUUCAAUAUCAUACUUGCUUCACAUUACCAACCCUUAUGUAUAUACACAAAAGAUCAACUUAGCCAAAGGCCGGUAGCUCGUUUAUCAACUGAGCGAAUACUUAUUUGUAAGGGCUCAACUAAAUUCAAGCACAUACGAAACAUACCUCAAUGUUGGGAUGUUUCUAGAGUAUUUGCUGAAAUUUUUACAGCAAGAUCAUUCAUUCCCAAAUCACGUACCUUCGGAAUUUAACCGGAUAUAGCUACUCGUUCAAAUGCCUUCGGGACAUAGCCCGGUUAUAGUAACUCGCACAAUUGCCUUCGGGACUUAACCCGGAUUUAGUAACUCGCACAAAUGCCUUCGGGCUUAGCCCGGAAUUAGUAUCUCGCACAAAUGCCUUCGGAUCUUAGUCCGGAUAUGGUCACUUAGCACAAAGCCUUCGGGACUUAGCCCGGACAUCAUUCAAAUAACCAUGCACAUUUAACAAUAAAUCAUGGCACAUUCGUAUUUCGUUCUCGUUAGCAAAACUCAAACACAAGACAUUUAUCAUUCUUGCAAUUUCGGCUCAAUAGCCACACAAAGGGCAUGAUUUUAAUUUGCUUAAAACAUGAUCUAAUCAAAUCAUAAUUUAAGCUCUUUUACUGAAGAACUUACCUCGGGUGUUGUCGAACGAUUCCGAUAGCUAUUCGACCACUUUUUCCUUCCCUUUAUCGGAUUUAGUUCCCCUUUGCUCUUGAGCUUAAUUAAACAAAUAAAUUGAUUUAAUCAUUUGAGCAUCGAAAAGAGGAACACAAGGCACUUAGCCCAUAUUUAUACAUUAGACAUUAAAGUCACAUAUGUACGGAAUCAUGAAUCAAACUCAACAUUUUAGCUAAUUUUUCCCCCUUGGCCGAAUAUGCAUGUCUAUGUUGGGGCCGAUUUCAACACUUAAUACAUUCUACAAGUAUGGUCACUUGUAUUGACUAAACACCCUUUUGUUUCAAGUUCAAAACUUGGCUACUACACACAUAUAUACACUAGUAAAGCAUCCUCUCCCUUUCCAUCAAUUUAACACAUGCAUUACUCAUUAAUAUACAAAAAUUAUAUUCGGCCUUAGCACACAACUUGCUAGCCGAUUCUUCUCUAUCUAGCAACCAAUGCACCUAUGUGCUCACUCAAAAAUGCUAAAAAGAAGAUUCAAGAAUCAUCAAUCCACCAUCACAUGCGUCAUUAACAAGCUUCAUAUUUAGCAUGCAAUGGCAUUAACACAAAAUCUACCUAGGCCGAAUAUCAUCCCCAUGACAUAGCAAAGAUUUGAACCAUGGGAUAAUUAGAACUCAAGCUAGCAACUAAAAACAUGCAUGAAUCUCAUGGCACAACCUCACACAUACCUUGAUCUAGAUACAAGUAUGGCAAAACCUCCUCCUAAUCCUCUUCCAAACCAAACAUGAAGCAAGAACUCCUUCCUCCUUCCUUUGAAUUUUCGGCCAAACGAAGAUGAAAAAGGAUGAACAAAAUUUUCUCUUUUCUUUUCUUUAACUCACGGCAAUGGGGGGGGAAACAACUACACAUUUUUUUUUUGUUUUCAUCAUAUUCCCUUUUCAUUAUUUUAUGCCCAUGCUCCUUAUUUUAUUUUUUUCCACCCAUGAUGCACCAACACAACAUGUCUAUGACAUGUCUUGCCCAUCACACUUGGUCUACCAUGCUUGUCAUGGCCGGCCACUACUAGUUAGGGGGGAAUUUGACAUGCAAGUCCCCCCUUUUUAUUUCAUGCACUAAUAGGUCCUUAUGCUUCGACCUAUCACAUUUCAAAAAUGUCACACAUAAGUCCUAUUGACUAAAUUCACAUACAAUCGACUAAAUCGAAGCUUGAAAUUUUCACACAUUCAUAAUUACAUAUUCUAGACAAUAAAUAUCACAUUCAAACAUUUUAGUGACUCGGUUUAGCGGUCCCGAAACCACUUCCCGACUAGGGUCAAUUUUGGGCUGUCACAAAACACAAAAAUUUAUAUACUUUUUCAUACCCUUUUUAACUUAAAACCAGGCUAUUUCGGUUAAAUUCUUGUCGAAAAAUAAUUAAAUAUUAUAAAAUAAUUAAAUUAUGUUAAAAAUAUGAACAUUAUGAAUUUUAAUUAAUUUUAUAGUUAAUUUUGAUUAAAUUUGGUUAUUUUUGACAGAAUUACACAAUUGGAGAAAAAGGGGCCCGGUGAACACUGCGAGAAAAACAAAACUGAGAGUAAUUUGAAGUAUCGAGGCCAAUUAAUUUCUAGCCCAAGACGGUCCAGAAGUGUGUAUUAAUUCAUAAUUAAAUUAAUUUUAAUUUAUUUCCUAUUUAAUUUAGGUUAAAUGAAUUAAUUUUAAUUAAUUAUGAAGAAAGGGUCUAGUGAACUGCACUGGUUGAACCGAAUGGAGUGAGCCGAACCAGCCACUAAUUGGGUUGACCAGAACUGUCCAUUGGCUGAACCAAAUCAAAAAAUUAGCUGAUAAAAUAUUUGUAACACCCCAAACUCGGCCUGGACGUUAUGACCGGAUCUAAUGCGCCACAUCGAAGCAUUCAAAACAUUCCGUAUUACUUAGUUUGGAAAAGCUUAGUUGGUGUUGUAAAAGACACUUUUAAAAGUAGGUUAAAGUGAAUGGAAGCUGUGCACCAGGUAGGAAACCAGGAAGGAGAGGAGGUGAGUCCGUCGGACUGCUUAAGUACCAAGCUCCCUUCGGAUCCAAUCCUAGACAUGCACACCGCCAUUGCCACACUCUAACAUCUCGUAUAAUUUUGAGAAAACCGUUUGAUUAUGUCCAUCUUAGGAAAGUGAUUAAGGUUGAAAAACGUUUGCUUAAAAUAUUUAUUUUCUUGGAAAAACAUUUACUUUGCGGAAACUUUACGCGUCAUCGUGAUCUUUUAAAAACAAGUAGUUUUUAUAAAACGAACCCUAGUGCUAACCAGUUUAAUAAUCCCCAAAAAAAAAUUAAUUAAAAAGAGCGGCCUUAUUACAACUUUAAGCAUAAUAAAAAUAAUCCAAAUUAAAUGCUAAACUUAUUUAAAAUCGGCAAUGAAUCUCCAUGGCCACUUUGAAUCCCGCCCAGCUCCAAGUCCACCAACUAGGGCUCACCUACAAGGAUGGAAGAGUAAGGGGUGAGUCUGGGAAAACUCAGUGUAUACAGAAACCCAUCCAAAGCCCAAAUCAGCCCGAGCCCAUUGGACCUAAGCCCUAUUCAGGUAACAGUACACAGUGGACCGAAGCCCUUUUCAGAAUACAGUAGCAAGGCCUUAGCCCCUUUUUACAUAGCAGUGUGGCCUAUAGGCCCAGUUCAGUAACAUAGGUAACAACAGUAGUAAUACAUGCAAACCCAUCUGGGAAGACUACUCAACCCACCAACCGCUACACUGCCCCGUACCAGCCCUACACUCCAUGUGGGGAAUAUCUCAACCCACCCAGCCCUAUACUCCACAGUUGCAGCAACGCUGCUCAAAUAACAGUGAGUUGAGGCAAAGCCUCCAGUACGUGGAUGAACCACUUUCAAUACUUCCUCCAUCAAUACCCCAAUCCCAUGCAACAGAUAUUAAUAAAGCAUAUCAUGUACAAUAUAGUAUUAAUCAAUCAUGCAGUUUAGCCAAUUUAACCCUAGGGGUAUUUCGGUAAUUAUGCUCUUUUAGGGGUAAUUUCGUAACUUACGCAACUACACAAGCUAUUUCAGUAAUUUUCACCAGUUUUAAGUAAUUUGGUUCCACCAUCUAACUAACAUGCUACUUUUCCCAUAUCUUACCCAUAUUGGUCCGGAAGCCCAUUAGGCCCAGUUUUGGCCCAUCUGGCCCCUUUUUUCGAAGUACCCUAAAAUGUCACACGAACUUACUCACCACUUUGUGGUGCUAGAUCUAACAAUUACUCAAUGUCUUGAGAGCAUUCGCAUACUCACAAGCCUAUGAAAUGCCGAAAUUUCGGUAUUUCGGCUUUUGCCGAAUUGAACUAAGGAAGGGUGUUCGGUACACACCUGAUUCGCGACGACUGCUACUGAGAUCUCUUCCGAUGUCCUAUAAUUGAUUAGCACAGUUCUUAUUUACAAACCAUAAUCACUAAACCCACAACCUACUUAUCCAUGGUCGAACCAUGUCCCUAAAAGCCUUUGAAACCUUACCUUUUUGCCAAAAUCGAUAGCUAGCUCCGAAUCCGAUUGCUCCAACAACCCACGCCUUCAAUCCAACACUUAAGAAGACACUAAUCAUUGACAGAAAAUGUCAGUUAAAAACCCUUUGAGCCACAUGCCCAAAUCGACAGCCUCCCUAGAUUUUAGGGACUUCGGCUUUUCCUAACUCUGUAAAAUAUGACCAGAUCUGAGAUGAUGAACACUUACCCCUUACUCCUUUUUGAUCUCCACGCAAUCUAGUGUAGAUUUAUCUAUCAAACGACGGUAGAACUCGAUUCCCAAAGUCUUGAAGUUUCGGCUAUAAGCCCCCAAAUCUAUAGUUUUUUUCGGCUUUUGGGUGAUGAAGGAGAUGACAAUAUGGAACUAUAACCUUGAAGUAAAAUUGCCGUCAGGUAUCUAGGAUUAAGAAAAGAUAAUCGUGGAUUAAUAAAAACAAAAGAAUAUAGAAGGACCUGGCUUUGAAGAAAUCGGCACAAGCAGUGAUCACAGGAUUUCGGCUUUUAUGGAUUCGACAAAAGUAUUGAUGAACAGCAGAAUUGAUGAAUGGUUUUGAAGAAGAAAAAUAGAAAAAAAGAAGAAUAGGGGAGGUGGUAGUUUCAGCUAGAGAGGAAGAAGAGAGAAAAGAGAAACCCUAAGGUGUUUCAGCAAAAGAAAACGGCACCACUCAACACCCUAAGUGCCGAAAUACUAACCUCAAAACCCCCAGCCAAUUUUUCCCUCUUCAAUUCCCAAAAUUCAGCCAACUCCUAUCCUCUCUCCUAAUCCCUUAAAUCUCUCCCCUUAUCACUCCUUAAUCCAAGCGUUUGGACUAAUCCAAACUCUCCUCUAGCAGAAUCCACUUGGACUCCAACACUUACCCCUCCUGCACUUAAAAAUAAAUGCACCUAUUUGUCAACACAGGGAAUCGAUCCCAUGCCUUCCCCUAUGCUCCACACGCCACCUUUUUAGGAGCUUAGUGGCGUCACCCUUGCCACUUUACUACAGCUCUUUUUGUGUUGCAAUUUGCCCAUCACUCCACUUAAGGCCACUUAGCUAGAACCCCUAACAUUUUAAGUCCAAAAUUCAAAAAUUCAACCGGGUUUUGGCCAACACAUGGGCCUUCUAUAAGCCCAUUUACCUACUCAAAAUAUUAAUUUCACAUCCAAAUACAAGAUUUUAAAAUCUUCACAAAAUAUUAAAAACCACGAAUAAAUCCGAAAAUCAGGAUGUUACAAUAUUCUUGCAAAAAGUCCCUUUAAAAACCUCCAAAUUACGUUCAAACCCCACCUUUAUUUUAUGCUUUGUAGAUUUGCCCCAGCCUAUUUUUAGCAAGGUUGACAGCUUCAACCUUGCCAUGCGUGUGGCUGGCCAUGGGAGGGCUCUCUUGGCUACUGAAUUUGCUAUUUUUAGCAGCCCUCUUCACCUAUAAAAGCCACCCUAUGCUGCCCAUUUCAAAGCAUCCCUCAACAUCCUUCAUUCCACAACAUUCUCUCAUCCUCUCUUCACUUCUCUCAAAGUUUCCUCUCCAUUUUUCCAUCCCAUUUUCCCUUCCUCUUGUGCCAAUUUCCUCUCUUGAGAAAUAGGUGUUCUUCAGCCAUCUUGGGAAGCAAUCAAGGAUUCAUAAAAGCCUUGCUCGGUGAAGACAACGGAGACUAAGAACGGAGCAAUAGUCAAGCUGCAGAGAAACACUGGAUUUGCUUUCUGUUCCCUUUCUUUUUGAUUUCUGUUGUUUUUAUGAUGAGCAUAUCUAUGAAAAAUAUUGUUUUUGAAAUGGUUAUUUUAAUCAAUUUAGCUUGAAUUUAAUACGUGUUGGGUUGAUUAUAUUUUGCCUACUUGAAUUAUUAAAUUAGUAUUUAUGCUGUUAUAGGCCUCAGUGAAAUGCUUGAUUAAGUAAAAUCAUGCUUAGGUUAUCUGGCAUUAUAAUUGUUUAGAUAACUAAAGAAUUAAUUGUUUAAACAGAUUGAAAUUGCAAUUAAUGGACUCAACACUUAAUCAGUGCAUGCUUAAUUCUUCUAAGGUAACUAAAAAUUAAAUUAGCAUUGUAUUUGGCGAUACAUAUGCCUUGCAUAACUUGCAAGAUUGUUGUGAUUAAAUUGUUUUAAAGUAUGGCUACUUUGUUACUUAACAUAAUCUUUUACAUGUUUAUUAAGUUGAAUUAAUCGGUUGAAUCGACAUAGAAAUAUGCGAGAGAUAAUUUAAUUCAAUAAGUAUGUAUGUGCGAUAGCAUGUUUACUUUAUUAAAUCUAUUUAGUCGGUUGAAUUAGCAUAGGGAUAUGUUCAAGAGAUAAAUGGAAUUAUUUUAAUUAGUAAAUAUGUUCAUAAGUUAGCAAAUGACUGGGUUGUCGUGAAUUUAUUCAAAACAGCAUAAGCACGAAUUUAAUAUUUCUAAGUUAAAAAGGUAUAAUUAAUCCAACACAAUUAUGUCAUCUUAAUUAAAUCUUAAUUGAAAUCGUGCACUAGAACUCUUUUAUUUUAUUUAAAUUCUUUGCUUAUUUUUAAAAUCUUAGUUUAUAAAUCACUCUUUUCAAACCAAAAUUAUUUUUACCUCACCAAAGUGUUUUAAUUAAUUUCAUAAAUAUUGCUUUUUACAGUCCCUAUGGGUACGAUAACUCGACAUUUACUUGUCACUUUAUUACUUGUUACGAUUGUGUACACUUGCACAUUUCCACCAUUCCAACUGCGACCAUAGCUACCACUAGAGAUUAUAUCCUUUUGGCGCAGGACUUAUGGCCUAAUGAACCUUUACGACCACCGGAGUAUCCCCUUCCACUGUCGAACCUAUUCUUCUCCAGAACUCCAGUUCGAGGAAUUCAUCAUAAAGGAAGUUUCACUUCUCUCCUAUCUUAUUUUUACACUCCAAUAUCCAUUUUUGUACAUUGAGGGCAAUGUACAUCUUAAGUGUGGGGGGUAUUUAUUUAUUAUCAGAAAAAUCCCUAAAUGACUGCCUUGUUCUCUUAAAAAUCUCUCAUAUCAUAUUUAGGAUAAAUUUUGAUUGAUUUAUGAUUUUGAUUGAUAUAUCUUGAAUUAAAACAUAGGAAAUUUAUGCAUUGAUUGUUUAAACUUUAAGACAUUAGAGAAUCGAGCAUGAUGAGUUGAUUUUUAAGAAUUCAAAAUCUUAGGCUGUUUCCCAAAGUCUAGGUAUUACUUUGAAUUGGAAUUCACAAGUCUUAACAUCAAAAAGCCAUAAUUUUUGUGAGAUUUUUGAGCCUUUUGAGCAUCUAUUACUUCUUUCAUGCUCACUUUUAUUAUUGCUUUGAGUGCGUCAAUAUUGAACUGUUAUUCUAGAACUUACUUGAUUAUGCAUGUCGAGACCACACCAUUUGAUUUGAUAUGUAAAAAUGAUUAAGGCACUUAGGAUUAACCCACUCAUGCCAUGAAAAGCCUACCUUCAUGAUUAACCCCUAGUAAACCCCCUUGAACCUAACAAGCCAUUCCUUGUAUUACCCUUAAUAUUAACCUUUAACCCAUUAUUGUUGAAAUACCCUAAAUUAAUCCCUAUUUUUGUCGAGAUUUGAGUUGAAUGGAUUGCUUAGCUAUGUUUUGUUCUUAAUAUUUAGUCUAUAUUAUUCAAAUUGUUCUUCAAAAAAAUGAAAAAAAAAACUAUGUAUACAUAUCUAUAAUUUCAUAUUCUGAGAGAAGCUCUGUUGUACGCAAAUGAAGAUUAACUCUUUUUCUAGUUAGGCAAUCCUUCAAUUUAAUCUUGAUUAUAACACUUUCUUUUAUCUUGUGACCACACCCGCUAACCAAGCCUCAUUACAACCCUCCAAAGACCUUUUGAUGAUGUAUCAUCUUAAAUUAUAGUGGUGGAGAUUUGAUUUUCAUGCAAGCCUAUGGUAAUGACUUUUCAUUAUUGACUAUUGAGUGCUUCAUUUAUUGUUCUUAAACACCUCGAGUGAUUUGAGUGAAUCUUUGGUGAGGAUGUGAAACUCUGUUAUUUUCUAAAUGAAAGGUAAUUGCUUAGAUGCGGAGAGACACCUAUGUUUGCAUGAUUAAAUACUCAACUUGGAAUGUUUGGAACUUUUAUGUUCUUUUAGUUUAAUUCUCAAUGUAUGAUUACCUAUGGAUUAAUUUGAGAUAUUACUGAUAGAAGUUAUAAGUUCAGAAUAAUUUAUUUUGAUUAUGAGUUGAGAAUUUUGUUUGAGGACAAGCAAAUGCUUAAGUGUGGGGGUAUUUGAUAAACCGUAAUUUAUACAUAUUUUUACCCCAUGUUUAACGCAUUUUAUGGAUGAUUUUCCAUUAGAAUUGAUGAAUUCAAUACUCCUAAUGCUUUAAUUUCAUGUUUUAUACUUAGGAGAGCAAAGGAGAGUAAAAGGAAUGAGAAAUGGGCCAAAAAUGAGAAAAUAGGCCAAAGUACGAAAUCAACACGGCCUGGACCUCCUCACACGGGCAGACCACACGGUCGUGUCAAUUUGGAAGGCUCGAACACGGCUUGAAGUAAUCAGACACGGGCGUGUCUCUGCCGAGCCCAAGUUGAGUCCAAUUCUGAAAAGGCCAAUUUUGAGGGUUUUUAGGCAUUCCAAAGCCUAUAAAUACACCCUAGAAGAGGAGAAAAUGGGAGGCAGAGAAGGGGGAGUAAGGAAUUACUCCAAGAAAGCCAAUUGAUCCAUAUCAAAAGCUGGAUUCAUCAUCAAGACUGAAGAUCUCUCCUCAAUUCCCCUUCAGGAGUUUUGGGUUUUCUUUAUGUUUUGUAUUCUUUAUUCUUCUGAGAUUUUUUCUUAUUUAGUUAUGAACUAAAACCCCUAAAUACCUAAGGGGAAUGGAACCUAAGACGAAUCUUGUUAUUAUUUAUUGAAUCGUAUGAUAAAUAUUUAACUUGUUCUUAAUUAUGUGUUCUUAAUUCUUGUUUUGAUAUCCUAUGAUAUUGAUUCAAGAUAUGCUCUUAUUCAGAGGAGGAAUAGACCCUGUUUAAAAGUAAAUUUUUCAUAAUUAAGCGGAGUUGAUUGUGCGCCUAGAAAUAGGGUGACAAGAUUUUACCGGAUUAGGGUGAAACCUAAUAAAGGGAUCCAUAGAUCGAGUUAAUGCAACCCUAGAGUGUGAAUUAGAGAAAAGUCUCGGUUAUUCAAUCUAGGGAUUAGACGUUAUUAGUCUUGAAUAGAGAUAAUAACAUAACUUAGGUAUCUCUACGGAACGAGUUGAAUGAAUAAAUCGUCUGAUUCGGAGCCAGAAUAACAAGUAAAGUCUAGGUGGAUUUUUCCUUAGGUAUUGUCUUAAGUCAAUCGAUUUUUCCCAAAAGCAAUUCCCCAAUUCUUUUCUCUGUGAGUUCUUAGUUUAGAUAAGUAGUUAAUUAAAACAAAACCCCAUUAUUCUUAGGCUAGAUAAUAAAAAGAAAGUCAUUACUAGUACUUUUAGUUCCUUUGGGUUCUACAAUCCGGUCUUGCUAAAACUAUACUACUGUUCAUAGGUAUACUUGCCUACAUCGCGAUAAUAGUUAGUUCAAGAACGAGUAAUUAUAAAUAUUUAAAACCUAUCAUGAAACCUCGGGAUCACCUAAUUUUAACAGUACCAAUACCAAUUACCUUACUAGAUGAAUCGUUUCCCAUGUGCACAACUCCACCUUCAACCGAAUUAUAUGUGGAGAACCAUUCUCUAUUGGGACACAUAUGGAAUGAACAUCCCGAAUCUAGAGUCCAAUCGGACGUGAGGUUGGAGUUAUCGCUCGUUGAUACUAACAAGAAAUCAUCACCAUUUUCAUCAGCUAAAUUAGCACCAGUUACAUCUUCCUCAUUACUCUUAGCAGGUCUUUUAUUUCACAGUUUAUAAUAAUCUACUUUGAUGUGACCUAACUUUUUACAAUAGUGACACCUUUUGUCUCGUUUCUUUGAUGCUACCAAAAUGGAAGCUUGCCUAUCUGUCUUGCUAUCUAAAUGAAACUCAUUGUUGUGUUUGUCUCUACUCAAAAAAUGAUCCUUCACAUCUUCGAACGAGGAGUUUGUCUCUGCCAUAAAUCAGGGUCUCCUUGAAAGACUUGUAUGAAGGGGGUAAAGAGCAUAAUAAUAGCAUAGCCUGAUCUUCAUCGUCAAUAUGAACCUCAACAUUCUUUAAAUCUUUUAAAAGAGUAAUGAAUUGACUGAUGUGAUCUCUAAGAAGCUCACUUUCGUUCAUGCGAAACGUAAAUAGACGUUGUUCAACACUAAACGGUUAGCCAAAUACUUAGUCGCAUAAAGCGUUUCUAACCUUUUCCACAAGGCGGAUUAGGUUUUCUCCAUCAAUACCUCCUGUAAUACCGUAUUCGUGAGGCACAACUAGAUUGUAGACAAAACCUUUUCAUCAAGCUUUUCCCAUUCUCUUUUAUUUAGAUUUUUAGGCUUUUUCCCAGUAACAACCUUUUUCAAGCCAGAUUGAAAUAGAAUUGCCAUUAUUCGAACUUGCCACAGAUUGAAAUUUGUCUCACCAUCGAACUUCUCAAUUUCAAACCUUGUUGUUGUCAUCUAUGAAUGAGCUGAUCUAUGAAAAUUGAACUAGCUCUGAUACCACUUAUUAGGAUUGACCCGAUUAAGCAACAAGUAAAAAAAUAGUGGAAUAAAUUAAGAAAUUGAACACACAAAUUUAACGUGGAAAAACCCCUCCAAAGAGGAUAAAAAACCAUGGCCAAAGAUAAUUUUACUAUAAUGGCAAAAGAACGAAGAGUACAAAAGAUGGAGAUAAAAACUAAAUCCUAAAAACCCAAAAAUAAAGAACCCUCAAAACGUAAACACAAAAUUCUCUAAAUGUGUUAUGAGUUCUAAUAUCUAAUGGGUGUAUUUUCUAAGGUUGUAAAAGAGCCUAUUUAUAGGCUAAAUUCAUAGGUCAAAUAAUAAUAAAAUAAUCUAAACUAAUCAGUGUUUAAUUGAAAAAAAUAAACAGAGUUUAACUGAAAGACUAUUUCUCAAAUUUGACUGAAAAUAGGAGUCAUAUUUAACAAGUGGUACAUCUUAUGUUUGGAUGGUGUUGUUUAAACUUGAUUUUAGCUUACUUGUGUACAAAAUUUUGAUGUGGCUUGUAAAAGUCCAAUAUAUAUAUUGGCUAUUUUUUUUUUGUGCUUCUUGUGAGUGAAUGAAUCAUGGUAGAAUUGUAUGUGAAUGGAAUGAAUGAAUUGGUAAAUUUGGCAUGUGUUCAUGGUAAGGACUUGUGAACUUUGAAUGUGAACUGGUUGAUGUAUGAAGUGUGAUGACAUUGAGGGCAUAUUGGUCAGGUACUUAGGUUGUAUGUUUUGGUACUGUUUAAGCUUGAUUGGAUGUGUUUUAAAGGCAUGUUAAUGGUUGAUUUGGUUUGGCUUGUUGCCUAAGGAAUUGAUAUUGGUUUUUAUUAUUUUGGAAGCUAUUUUAGCUGCACACAUCCUAGGACAUGUGCUGUCACAGAGUCGUGUACCAUACACGUCCUCCUCACAUAGUUGUGUGUCAUUGAUUUUACAUGCAGGUUUUUCCACGCGGUAUUAGACUGUUACACGGCAUGGAGACAUGUUCAUGUGACCUUAUUUUGAAUCUUACACUGUUUGACACAUGGUCUACAACAUAGCUGUGUGAUUGUAGUUCUAUUUGCACACGGGCAGGCACAUAGUCUGCGACGCAGUCGUGUGAACCUAUUAUUUCAAAUUGUACACAAUUUGGCCACACGACCUUAUUCUUGAGCCACACAGUUUGGGCUCUGUCACAUGGCCGUGUGACAUUUGUUUCCAAAAUUUUCAAUUUUUCUAUGAUUUUUUAUUUUGUUUCAAAUUAGUCAUUGAUUGUUUCCAAACUAUUUUUGAAGACUUUUAAGUUCGAUUUAAGGCUUGUAAGUGAAUGUAUGAUAUGCUUAAUGUGUGGAUUGAAUAUUGAUAUUUAAAUUAAUAUUUGAGUGGUUUUAUGAUGUCAUUUGAUUAAUGUAUGACAUAACCCUAAUCUAGUAACAAAUAAAACUUAAGUGUGUUACAGAAGGUUAUGACAACUCACCUGAAUAAAUAGUAGGACAGUUGAAAAUGUUAAUACAAUUAACAAACACAAAGUACAAACGAACUCCAUAUAAACCUUCACAUAGGGUUUUAUCUACUCGACGAGUUCUUUUCCUUUACACUAGACCUUCUCCCGUAUCUUUGGCUAAAAAUAAUCAAAUAACUCUUUUAAAUAUGAAAACAAAUGAAAUUUAACAUUAUAGAAAAAAUCGGUAAAUAAGCAAACAAUUCUAGGAGGAAGUUUUCUUCUUGUCUAGUAUUCAAAUGAAAACCCUAAUAAACAGCUCCUAUGACUACCUCUUCCUAUCUGGUAAAACUUAAAAAAGGAUUUAAGAGUUUUCCAGCAAACAACUUAAAGAAAGUAACUUCUACAAACUUAACUGUCAGUUCCUCUAAAAUCAAUGAAGAACAUUUCUAAGUUUUCUUCGAUGAUAACGAAGGUGAGCAGAGAUGAUGAAAAUAAAAGUCUUCUCUCCACUACUAGGUUGUCCUAUUUAUAGCUAACUCUAAUCCAAAUCCUAGUCUAAUCAAAUUCUCUAAUCAAUAUUCAUGUACAAACGUUUCCACUAAUUAAUCACAUCCUACGAGGUUCUCUAAAGGUCCUAGUUAUUCACACGAUACCCUUAUUAGGAUGCCACAUGAAUUAAAUAUGUCCCACAAACCACUAUUUCUAAUACACUAAUACAUUUAUAAUAACACAAAACAUGGGUGAUAGACUUCAUAGUGGAUGAAUUUACCAAAUAAGGAACCCGCCAACUAAAAAAUAAGAAUAUGCAAGCUUGACGAAGCUCAACGAAAUACUUCACCAAUUCUAACCAGUCUAAAUCUAGCGACUUAGGAAAUUUCGUUAAUACAACCUUUCAAACAUAUCGGUUUGCCAAACGAGGGUGUGACAACUCUCCCAACCUUAUUAAAAAGUUCAUCUCUGAAAUAUCUUUCCUACGAAGAGAUAAGGGUACUACUCUUUCAUGGUGCUUUCUCUCUCCAACGUAGCUUUUUCAAAUUUAUGAUUCCUCCAUAGAACUUUUACUAAAGGAAUUUCUUUAUUCGUGAGUGUAUUUAUCCCUCUAUCCAAAAUAAAGUAGGUUCUUCUAUGUAUGACAAGUUCGGCUCCGCAUCUAAUGCUUCUAGUUGUACCACAUGAUCUGGACCAGAACGAUAUAUUCUUAGCAUUAACUAGAUUAAGGAAUGAAAUUAAUUAGUGAUUAGAUUGAUUAAGUUAUUAUACAAAUAGUAAAUGAAAUAAAUUGUAUGUUACCUAAACUAGAGAGAUUAGAUUAAGGAAAUAAACAAGGUCCUUAAUUAUCAUUAUGCCGCCAUUAAAAUCAUGGUUAGAAAAUUAACUUGAUCAUGGCUAUGAAAUUCCACUAAGCUUAUAACACCCAUUGCUCGAACUGAUCAUCAGGCCUAAGCUAUAGGAUGCCAUAUACGUUGUUGGAGCAACUACUAUCAAAUUCAUCGUUAAUAAAUCAUUCAAACAUUCAAUCAUAUAAUAAAAACAUCCACAUUAUGAUACAUAAUUAAAUUCGAGCCUUAAUCAAGCUUACGAAAGCUCUUUUGUUGACUCGAGCAUGAAAUAAGGCCACAAUACGAACUUUCAAGGUCAAUGUUGCAAUGUCACCAAACAGUUUGACACGUAGUGAUCUCAGGUCACUUGACAUCGUGAUGUGACUUUCUGUUGGCUGACGUUGCGAUGAGGAAGAUUACUCGUUAGGACGUUGACUCUAGUUCUGGCAAAAUUUAUGUAAUUUGGCACCUAUUUCAUGGCUACAUCUCACUCUUCACAUUUGGUGCAUUUUGCUUAUCUUUUCCUAUAAAACAACAUUUCAAACACAUACUAAAACAUUGCAUCUAACCAUUUCAAUUCAACCAUUAUUACAUAACUUCAAAUUAACACCAAAACUUACCAUUUCAACUUAUUCAAUCACAAACCAAUCAUCCAAUCAACUAGCUAUUCAAAAUCAACUUCUCAACUAUGCCAAUCUAUGCUCAGACAAGCUAUUUUAAGUGUCAUUCAUAAUUCAACCAUAUUUUCCAAAAACACAACAUUUACGUUAAAAAUUAGCAUUACCAAAAUCAAACAUAAGAUAGAUUUCAAGUUAUGCCAACUUUCAAAGUUAACAAUUAAAUAAAACCUAUAUACAAGCCACAAAAUUGAGCUUUAAAAUGAUUGAAAAACUGCUAAAUCAAUAACGAGAUAGUGUGUGCUUCAGGCAAUCUGCUUGACACAUUUCGCAAAGUGAUAAUCUAUAAGGAAAAAUAAAGGCAACAAAGUAAGCAUAUUGAAUGUUUAGUAAGUCCAUAUGAAAUUUACUUAAUUUACCUUAACAUUACAAUAAAUUAAACAUUUGAAUACACUAGCAUUCUAUAUAGUAACACCCUAUAGCCGGUCCAGUCGCUCGACUCGAGCAAUAAGGUAUUACAACUAUAAAACGUUAACAAUGUUCACUAACCAAUCAUAAAUAACCAAAUAAAUCAUUUCAUAAAUAAAUCACAAUCAUAUCCAUGCUAAUCAAUCAUAACCAGACUUAAAUUGAGCAUACGGAUCAUUUAAAACAAACCGGAACAAUUCUAGAUUAAAAUGAAACUUUUACAAAAAAAUUAAGUGAAAGUGAAAAUAAGUGUCACACGACUGUGUGACAGAGCUUUGCCCGUGUGGCUCAAGAACAUGGCUGUGAGGCCAAACUGUAUAACAACCUAUACCUGUGUAAAUCAAGGUCACACAGCCGUGUCGCUGGGCAAUGUAGCACUUUGAGACCGUGUGAACAAACUUACACAAAAAUCAAAAAGGCCACAUGACCGUGUCAUGCAACCGUGUGGGGCAUAUGACCGUGUGGUAGAUCGUGUCACAGACUGUGUAUGCCCAAAAGACCAUCAAACAUAAGCCAUUUCAGUUACAAUUAACCGAGCCAUGCAUUAACCAUCACAUUUACCUUUUCAAAAUGUAUCCAAAGAUGACAAAAUAUGCCAAUUCACAUUCAACCUAUGUGCCUAACCAAUAUGCCAUCAUUGGCACCGCAACUCAAACAUUUAAACAUAAACCAAUCAAGCAUCAACCAUUAGCAAUCCAUGUCAACCGUUCCAUGAACUCAAUACCCAAUUAAACACAUUACACCAUUGUUCACAUUGCUAGCAUAUUAUCAACCCAAGUUUCACCAAGUUGCCUAAAGCAUUUAUACCAAAACAACAAUUCAAAAAUGCAUUUGGAUACCAAAACAUACACUUACUUUCACACACCACAACUAAUCAAAUUACCAAAUAAGAUUUACAUCAACACACAUAUUAUAUACUUCAAAUGGCAUCAAAUAUAACCUUAGUGCUUAUAACCUAUAUAACCAAAACCCUAUCUACAUCACCAUUCGAUAACAUUAUUUUACCAUGUCAAUCCAUAUUCAUGGUACAUUUAGAAACAUCAUUCAUACCACAUCCAAAAUACUAUUCAAACAAUUCAACUAUGCCCUAACCAUAUACCAUCAUAAACACUUAAAUACAUAAUAUAUAACCAUUCAAAACUCAAACCACAAUCAAGAACCAUUGUACCAAUAUUCAAGAUUUACCAAAAUGAAUCGCUUAUAUACAUGCCACAAAAUCAAGUUUUAAACGAUAAAAAGACUAUUGAGCCAAUACCGAGAUAGUGUGAGCUUCUUGACGAUUUAAUGACACGUUUCACAUGUUGACCAUCUACAGGGAAAAGGAAAACAAUAGAGUAAGCAUUACAAAUGCUUAGUAAGUUCAUAGGUAUUUAAAAUCAAAUAACUUACCUUAGGUUAUAAUUAUACCCUACAAGUUACUUAGCUUGGUAAAGUUUGCCUAUAAUAGCAAUUCAAAUAUAAAAAAUGUGUGUUCAACAUUUAUCAUAUUAUAUAGAAACUCAAUCAUAUAAUAAUUCAAUUUAACAUUUCAUCAUCAUUUAUAAAAACAUAAUCAUGAUACAUGCACGGAUGGGGUGAAAUUUAUUAAACUAAACUUUAAUUUAAUCUAAACAAGAAGUAGUUUUAUACUAAACUUUCUUGAUAACAUAAAACUUCAAAAUAACUUAAAAUACUUAAUAAUUAUAAAUAAUUUAGAAUAAAUAAUAAUAAAAUAAUAAGAGAUGAUAAAUACAAUAUUGGGAUCAUAUAGUAAAAUUAAGCCUACAAUAUUGGGAUCAUAUAUUAAAAUUAAGCCUAAAACCUGAACCCAAAAUGAUUUAAACUCGAAUUAAAAGCCCUAAAUUUGUAAUUCCCGUCAUAAUCCCGUUCAGAAAUUCUACUUGCACAGUCUUCACUAAAAUGGUCAUAACUUGAGUUCCGAACUCAAAAUCGAGUGAUUCAAAAUGCAUUUUGAAGCUAAGAGAUAGAUAUUCAAAGUACAUGUAGACAUCUAAACCGAGAAAUUCUAGGAUCCCAUCCAAAAAGUCAUCGCAAAUCUGAUGAUUUUCCAAGCCUGAAAAUUGGUAGCUUUGGUGACUGGAAUUUAAUAAAUUUCACCCCAUCUGUACAUGUAUCAUUCUCCCAUUUCUCAAAAAGAUUCGUCUUCGAAUCUUUUCUUUGAUCGAGUCCUGAUUUGAUUUGUGUAGCCUUUGACAUUGUUGUUGGGUCUUGAGGUAGUGUGAAUCUAUCACAUUCAUGGAUCUGAAAUUGUGCCCUGAGACUCGCAUCAAAUCAUCUAAUCAAUUCACUAUCUUAAUCAUAUCGUACAAUCUACUUACCUGUAAUACAUCCCAUUUCAAAUAAUUGCCAAACAUUAUUUUCAUUUCGUAAUUUAAAUUCUCAAACCAAAUCAUGCUAAACCAUAUAAACUUCAUUCUCUUUUCAUAUCAAUUCAUCUUUGAACCAUAUAUAUAUCAAUUGCCAAUUUAUUGUCAAUUACUACUUCAUUUCAUAAUACAAAUUUCUAUUCACAUUCAUUGAUUUGUCUCAUUUUCAUUUUGCCCCGUUGGCUUAUAUAAAUGAUUCUCAAUAUGUAUAUGCAUCAUCCAAUCAUUGUAUCAAAUCAAUCUGAAGAUCAUUUAUUCCAAUCACAUUAUACAUAUUCUUAUUAACCUGACUCAGACUCGGACGGAUACACGGAUCCAACCAACAUACCAAUCUAGCACCCAGUGCUUGACGAGUAAAUUCGUAAUAAUGAGUUACGUCUUGCGUUGGCCGAUAAAACCGACAAAUAAAUGUGCCAAGCACUUCUCAAUUGAUGCAUCGUGAACCAACUAAAAAUUUGACUAAGGGAAGUGCAUCUAUCAAUUAAUAAUAUAGUUAUGGUGAGUAAAGAUAUCGUCCCCAUCAAGACGAAAAGUACUAGUAAUUACCAUCUUUCUAUUAAUCAACCGAUAAAUUCAAAUGAUUGAUUAAAAACUAAAAUUAAAUAAUUUAAUUAACUAAUAAACAUGAGAAAGAAAAAAUUAGGAAAAUAAACCAUUAACAUUAAGAAAGCGAAAAAAUACCUAGGAAAGAAUUCACAUAGAUUUCAUCCUAUCGCUAUCAAUCUAAAUUACAUAGUUUCUUUACUUAUUAACUUGAUCUAUAGAAAUCCCUAAAUUAUGCUAAUAUCUUUUUCGAGAGUAACAGCAGCUGACUCUAGGUUGAUUAAUUGAAAUUUCUUUCUAAUUAAAACCCUUAUUAUAGCAUUAACUCGAGCUUUGGAUUCCAUUAUUAGAUUUGAAUCUAAUCCGGUAGAUUUAUGUUGUCCUAUUUCUAAGAUUACAUACAACUCCACUAAAUUACGCAAGAUCUAUUCUUAAACUGGGUCUAUACCUCCUUUAAUUUAAGCACAUCAAAUAUUGAUUAAUAAUCUAGAAACAUUAUAGUAAGGAUUAAGCACACAUAAUUGAGAACAAGAAACUAAGUCUUUAUUGAGUAAAAUAAAAAUCAAACGACAAAAUCCAUCAUAAGGUUCACCUCCUCUAGGUAUUUAGAAAAUUAGUUCAUAUUUGAAAAUAAAAACAUCCCAAAGACAGUAUAACCAAAAGAAAUAAAGAAACUCAUGAUAAUGUCUUUAAAAAGCAACUAGGAGACUUCAAUCUUGAUGGAAAUCUACUUCAGAAUCGACAUCAAUGGUGUUUUUCGAGUUAUUUUCUUGAAUAUUUUAUGAUGACCCACUCCUAGAUAUAUUCUUAUUUUUUUCAUAUAUACAUGUUAAAAUGCCCAAAAAACCUAAAAAUAGCAUUUUUCGUAGUUUAGGAUAUCAAUUCGUGAAAUCGACAUGACCUUCCACACAUGGCCUUGUGGCAACCCGGGAGGAAGGGGUUAGCUUGUGUGGCUUUUGUAGCUUCUUCUGAUUUAUUGUUUUGUGCUCUUUUUUUACUCUUUUUUCUCCCAAAUGCUUUAUUUAGCAUAAUUAAAUGAAUUUAAAGGUUUAAGAGCAUAAAAUUCACAAUUAACAUCGAAUAAUCACCAAAAAACGCAUUAAGAAUAAGAUUAAAACAUGUUACCUUUAACACUUAUCAAAGGUAUAAUUGACAAACGGGUCCCUGACAUGUAGUCGUAUAACAUUGAACUCUUCCUAUCCUAUGACAUGCCAAUUAUACCCGUACAAUUAAUAAGGUAACAAGUUUCUCAUAUUCAUUUUAAACCAAUUCCUAAUUCCAAUAUCGUAAUAUAAAUCAACCAAAUCAAGAAUUCUCUCUCUAUAUAUAUCAUAUCUCAUCACCACAUUAGUAUAGUUCCAUAUUUCAAAUAAUAUUUAAUAUUUUCAUAUCUAUUCAAUUCACUUCUUUUCACAUACAACCAAUUUAAAUCGAAUCAAUUCAGCUUAUUUUAUCAAAUCAUCACUUUAUCACAUAACAUAUCCUAUUUCAAUCCAAUUCAAAGUCAAUUCCUCAAUUUAUCAAAUUAUACUAUCUUCAAAAUUUUUCAACUUAAUAUUCUAUCUCACCUUUUUGUACCGAAUUGUAAACAACCAGAAUUCCAAUUAAACAUAUUUAAAAUUAUAUUUUUAAAUGCAUAACAAUUUAACACAGACAUACUGUAUGAAUUUUCCUAGUCAAGACAACAAACAACAAUUCUCUAAGGACUAAUCAGCAAAUUUUGUUAUUUCCCCGACUAUCUUCAAUUUGGUCCAAUUUUCGAUAUGCAAUUGGAAGAAGUUGACCUUAACUCCCUAGCUCUAACAAUGGUGGUUCGGUUGGGGAAGAAGAAAAGAAUGAAGAUGAUGAUGAGUUUUGAAUUAUUUUUAUGUUUACUUAACUUUUAACUUUAAUUUAAUAUAAUUUUAUUAUAUAAUUUUAAGUAAAAUAAAACCUUACCCAUCCAUAGCAAUCCAUUAUGGUCUAAACACCAUAUAAGUCCUCCCAAUUUUACUAAAUAAACUUUUUAAUUAAUAAAAUUCAAUAGCGAUCAAAUUUUACGCCUUUUUAUGAUUUAGUCCUUUUCGUUUAAUUAAUUAUUCAAUUGCUAAAAUUUUUGGACCAAACUUUAAUUCACCUAUAUAACAACUCCAUCAAUAUUUAAUAAAAAUAUUAACGGGCUCAGUUUAUAGAAACAAGGUCCUAAAACCUCAUUUUCCAAAACUCGUAACUGUUGGUAUGCAGCACUUGUACCUAGACUAACUGGCCGAUUAAUAAAAUAUAUUAAAUCACGAAACUACUGUUUUCGACACCACUAAAAAAUAUUAUAGUAUAUUUAAUUAAUAAAUAUGAAUUAAAUAUAUCUACGGACUCUCUUGUCGGAGUUGUGAUCUCGAAACUACUGUUUUCAACACUACUAAAAAAUAUGUUAUUACAUAUAUAGAACCCAUUGACAUCUUUAUAGUAUCAUAUGCAUAUCAUCAAAUACAACCAAUACGUUAGUUCGCUUAAAAAUCUAAAACUAAUAAGAAAAAACAUAUAUAUAUACAACAAUGCCAUUAAAUAUCAUAUACCAUCCAAUUCAUAUUCAAUUUGAAAGAAUAUUCAUGUUCAAACCAUUUCAACAAUUUUAUUUCCAUUAGGUCACUAUUUUUGCUCGAGAGAACCUUAGUAAAUAAAAUCGAAAACUCAAGAUUAUAUUGCUCAAGCAAGCUAACAUCGUAUCGAGGUUACCAGUACAAGCUAAAUCAACAAUACAUAUAAACCAAGAAUCUGCAAAAAAAUGUUGAGUCUCAUAUAACCAUGUAUAUCCCUGAUUUUUUACAUAUUUGACCCUAAUGGCAUGUCAUACGUAUCCUAACUGUAACGCCCCAAAAUUUGAGUUUUUGUUACUAAGUUGUGUCAAUGAAUCUGUGUCUGCCUCUUUGAUUGUGUGUUCUAUUUGCUCACUUGAGAUAUGAGGUUCGAGUCACAUAAAUUUUGAAAUUUGUUAAUUCUUUAUUUGAAACUUUAGCUUAAGAUUCCUUGUUUAAGUUUAAUUAUAUGCCUUUUUGUGUCAAGAAUGAGCCUAUUGGUUCACUGGUUAAGCAUCUACCUAUUCUCUGGUUCCAUGUUCGACUUUCUGCGUAUGCAACAAGGAUUGUAUUUUUGUACUUUUUCGCCAAAUUGAAUUUUAAAUGCUCUUUCCCUCUACAGUUAUUUAGACCUUUUUUCAUUUCCUCCCAAAUUAUUUUUUUAUUUGUUUACAUUUUUCUUAAAGUUUUCCUUUUUUUGGUCCUAUUCAUUCUGUGUAAUUGCUACAUCGGGUUGUGUUCUUACUUGUUCCGGUGUGUUUUAAGGUAACUUGAGUCGAUUGUUUUUGUUAUAUUGUGUUAUUGUCCGAAUUGAGGAAAAUCUUCGAAAUCUAGAGUUUGUUUGUUAAUCUGGUUGUUCAUUGUGUUCCGAUGUGCUAGGGGGACUCAAGAGACGUCUAACACUGCUCAUUUUACUUAAAAACCGAGUGCGUACUAGGAAUCCAAGGUAAGUUGACUUUCAUUCGCUUCGUGUAGUGAGUCAAAGGUUUCAACGAAACUUGAUUGUUGUUACUUGCGUAUUUUGCGAAUAUGAUGUUGAAUUGAAUGUUUGGAAACUGUUUUAGGCUUGGAAUUUGCAAUUGGCUAUUUCUACAGCAUUGUCUAACAGGUGGGUAUCGAAACCCCUUUCUUUCCUGCAUUUUUCUUCGUCAGAAAAGGGACUGUCGAUGGCACACGAGCUGCCGCACGGGUAUGUGUGCAAGCCGUGUGAGCCACACAGUCGUGGGGUAGGCCGUGUAACUUCUUAACUCUGGAUUUGGGUCACACAGGCUGACACACGACCAUGUGUCCAGGCCCUAUAACUCACUGACUUUAGAUUUAGGUCACACGGGGCAAGCCACACGACUGCAUGUCCAAGCUAUGUAACUCACUAACAUCAGAUUUGGCUAACACAGACAAGCCAUAAGGGCAUGUGUCCAGGCCAUGUAACUCACUGAUUUCUAAUUUGAGACACACGAGUACCCAUACGGAUGUGUGGAGCCACUCGGGUGUGUGAGCCUAGAAAUAGAAAUUUUUUUAAGGUCGAAGUUGGUGUGCGAGGCGAAUGUAAUUCGUCCGUAAGAUGUGUAUAUACUGAAUAAAUUGUAUGAUCUAUUUUAUUGUGAAUAUUCAUGAAUCAGGAUAUUGGUAUGAGCUAGAUAUGAAUGAUAUCAACCCUCUGUUAUAUUGAAAGUGUGUGAUCGUAUCUGUAUCUGAAUUAUAUAUAUCUGUCAUCUGUUCUUCAUCUACAUGGGGUGGGAGUUAUGAUUUGAAGGAAGUGUUCUAUAUUAAUUUGGUGUUCGAACCACCCAUAAUUACAUCUGAUUUGGUAGUGAGACUGUAAACACUACAAUGUGUCGUACCAACAUUAUAAGGUGUGUGGGGAUUGUAACACCCCGUACCCGAUACCGUUGCCGGAGUCGAACACGAGGUAUUUACGGACUUAUUUCAUUGACUUACACAGUUUAUUUUUUUUUUCUAAACAAGCUGGCUAACUGCAUCACAGUCACUUUAAAAAUCAUAUCUCGAGUUCCGAAGCUUGAAAACUGAUUCCGUAAAUUUUCCCUGAAACUAUACUCAUAUAUCCAUCUACAAUUUUUUUCUAGAAUUUUUAAUUGGGCCAAUUAGUACAGUUUAUUAGUUAAAGUCUCCCCUGUUUCAGGGUUCGACUGCUCUGACCUUCAUGCAUUACGACUUAUAUAUCUCCCUGUACAGGGCUUAAAUACUUAUGCCAUUUGUUUAUAAGGAAACUAGACUCAAAAAGGAAUCUAUACAUAUAUGGCAUGACUUCUAAUUACCUCUGGUUAAUUUAUAGUGAAUUUCCAAAGUCAGAUCAGGGGAUCCAGAAAUCGCUCUGGCCCUGUUCCACGAAAACUUAAAUAUCUCUUAAAAUACGACUCAUAUGAUCAUUUCAUUUCUUCCAUAUGAAAGUAGAUUAAUCAAGGUUCGAUUACAUAAUUUAUUCACUAUUUAAUUCCAUUCCUAAUAUUUUUAGUAAUUUUUCAAAUUUACAUCACUGCUGCUGUCAGCAUCUGCCUUUAAGGUAGACUUUACCUAUUUCAUAGUUUCCAUGAUUCAACUAGCCCUUUAGCAUAUAUAGCACAAAAUAUGAUCAUGAUCAACCAUUCCAAUGGCCAAUCAUUGCCAAGCAUAUCCACACCUCUCAAUAACCAUAUACAUACAAAAUGAUUAUAACACUAUGCUCAAAAUAUAUAAGCCAUUUUCGCAUGGCUAUCCAAAUAUAUACAACACCAAAGUACUUGACUAAUAACACAAGGGCAGUCCUAUACAUGCCAUUAGCAGAGUUCAACUAAAAGAGUACCACAAGGGCUUUGAUAGUGUGGACGACUUCGACUUUGACAAUCCCGAGUCCGAUAGCUGAUGAACCAAAAUCUAUAAAACAGAGAAUCAAAGAAACGGAAUAAGCAUUUAAUGCUUAGUAAGUUUUGAGCAAUGAAAUUAGGCACAAUUGAAGUAUAGCAUUCAUAUGACUAAACGGAUAAUUUCAUAUACACACAUUCUCAAAAUCAUACCUACUUCACAUUACCAACCCUUAUACUCAUACAUAAGAGAUCAACUUAACCAAAAGCCGGAAGCUCAUUAAUCGACUGAGCGAAUACUAUUUAAAAGGAAUCAACUAAUCCAAUGCAUAUACGAAACAUACCUCAUCGUGGGAUUUUACGAGCAUAUUAAUUGAAAUUAUUACAGCAAGAUCGCUCAUUCCCAAACCAAGUACCUUUGGGAUUUAACCGGAUAUAGCUACUCGCUCAAAUGCCUUCGGGACUUAGCCCGGAUAUAGUAGUUCACACAAAUGCCUUCGGGACUUAGCCCGGAUAUAGUAACUCGCACAAAUGCCUUUCGGACUUAGCCCGGAAUUAGUAACUCUCACAAAUGCCUUCGGGACUUAGCCCGGAAUUAGUCACUAGCACAAAUGCCUUCGGGACUUAGCCCGGAAUUAGUCACUAGCACAAAUGCCUUCGGGACUUAGCCCCGUUAUCAUCCGAAUAUUCAUGCACAUAUCAGUAAAUCAUGACACAUCUUUAUUUCAUUUUCAUAACUACAAUUCAAACACAAGUCAACUACUAAGCAUUCCCAUUUUUGGCUCAAUAGCCACAUACAAACAGCAUGAUUUGGUUUGCUUUAUGACAUGAUCUCUAUGCACAUACGGCUACCCAUCAUACGUAUAGACUAAUUAACUCAACAUAUAAUUCAAGUAGAAUCAUUAUAUCACCGUAUAUUUGUUAUGAUUAUACGUCAUGACUUAAUCAAAUCGUAAACUAAGUUUCAUUACUCGAAAACUUACCUCGGAUGUUGUCGAACGAUUUCGACGGCUAUUCGAUCACUUUUUCCUUCCCUUUAUCGGAUUUAGUUCCCCUUUGCUCUUGAGCUUAAUUUAACAAUAAAUUGAUUUAAUCAUUUGAACAUCAAAAAGAGAAACUCAAGGCACUUAACCCAUAUAUACAUUAGACAUUAGAGUCACAUAUAUAUGAAAUCAUGAAUCAACUCAACAUAUUAGCCCACACUCUCUUUUAGCCGAUUAUCUAAGCCAAGAUAAAAGCAUCAAUAUGCUUUCCUCUAACCGAAUACAUGCAACACCAAUCUACCUCAUGUGGCCGAAUAUGCAUGCUAUGUUGAGGCCGAUUAUAUGCUUAAUACUUCCUACAAAUAUGGUUACCUGUAUUGACUACAUACCAUUUUGUUUCAAGUUCAAAACUCGGCCAAUACACAUAUAUACACUAGUAAUCAAAUACUAACAUUUGCACUUCACCUUACUACCAAUUCUCAUCUACUUCCUACCAUGGCCGAAUGCAUCAAGACACCAUACCAUUUCAAUUUUGGUCAUGGGUUAAACAAAGAACUUAAUGUCUAACUCAAAAAUGCUAAAAAGAAAAUCCAAGAGUCAUCAAUCACCAUCACAUGUAUCAUCACAAAGCUUCACACUUAGCAUGCAAAUGACAUCAACACAAGUCCACCUUAGCCGAAACUUAACUCAUCUUCAUGCCUCAUCACCACAACAUCAAACACCAACCAAGAAGACAACACCCAUGGCCGAAUAUCAUCUCCAUCUCAUAGCAAAGAUUUAAACCAUGGGCUAGGUAGAACUCAAGCUAACAACUAAAAAUAUGCAUGAAUCUCAUGGAACAACAUCAACAUACCUUAGUCUAGUGAACCACCAUAGCCGAUUUUCUCCAAGCUCUUUCCCUUCUUUUUCUUUCUUCUAUUCAGCCAAGUUGAACAACAUGAGAACUUUUUCUUUUUUUUCUUCAUCAUUUUCCUUUUCAUUAUUUUAUUACCAUGCUCCUUAUUUUAUCAUUCCUCCCAUGAAACACUAACAUAGCAUGUUUAUAAUACCUUUUUACCCAUAGCAUGGUCGGCCACCUUCCCAAGUUUUGGGUAUUUUGACAUGCAAGGACUACAUUUUCUAGCAUGCAUCAAUAGGCCACUUUAACAUUUGCCUAGCACAUUUCUAAAUUUUCUCACACAAGUCCUAUUUAGCAAAAUUCACUUACAAUUAACAAAAUUCAAACAUGAAAUUUUCACACAUGCCUAUAUACAUAUAAUAAGCAUCAAAUAUAAUGGUUAAUUAUUUUUAUGACUCGGUCUUGUGGUCCCGAAACCACUUUUUGACUAGGGUCAAUUUAGGGCUGUCACAGGGAUGGAUGGGUAAUAUAUACCUAUUGGUAUGUAGGGUGGAUGGAGAUGGUGUGUAGCGUUUGGGGUGAGAAAUUGCAUCUGUAUCUGUGUCCAUAUUACAUCUGUAUCUGCUACUAAAAUUGUGUUACUUUUGCAUCUGUAAUUGAUCUGCUAUAAAUUAGGUUUGUUUUGUGUCCGAAACUGUCUUGAGUUAUUAAUCUAACUGACAAGACUGAGUUUCUAUCUGAACACCCAAUAAUGUCUGAACUAUCAUACAUAGACUAAUUUGUUUAUGCUAAAUUCUAAGCUACAACACACUAACUAUUUUGAUUGAAUUUCAAGGAACUCCUAGAGCUAAACGGUUGGCAAAUGAGGGGCUCGAUCAUCUAUCUGACUUAUUAUAUAUAUAGUGCGUGUGUGUGUGUAAAAUUUAUGUCUUUGAUUUCAUAUUUAAGUUUCAAAGAUUCAACUAUGUUUUUAGAUAACGAAUGAUUUUAUGGCUUAAUUAUGGAUUGAAAAACUCGCUUUAAGUAUGACUAUGAUCUGAUAAGUUAAUGACAUUCUAAACUUGGCCUUCCCGUCCAGGCUAGGUUCAGGGUGUUACACUAGUCCUUUACUAACUUCACACGGGUAUUAUUAUAGUAAUAAUAUCAUUUCCAUGUAACAAUAUAUACAUGUGAUACCAAUCUUAUAAACAUUCCAUUUCCAUUUUGGUACCUUAUACAUGUCCAUAAUUACCAUAUUUUCACACUUUGCAAUUUAGUCCAAUUUAUGCCAAAAUCACAUUUAUAUAAACUAAUAAAAAAAUAAUUACAAUUCAAUUAAAACAUGAAACAAAACAAUAAGUUCUGUAUGAACUUACCUAAUGAAACAACAAACGAACAAGUCUUUAAGGACUAAUCAAUAAAUUUUCCUUUUCCUCGAUUAUCUUCUAUUUGAUUCAAUUCUUGAUCUAUACAAUAAUUUGGUUCAAUUUAUCAGUUGCAAAAUUUUUAUAACAUCUUAUUAUAUGCAUGAAUUAGUUCAAUUUCAUUUUUUUAUUGCCUCUAAAGCUUUAACUUUUAUUCAAUUUAGUCCCUAAAAUUGAAAUUUCUAUAACUUUCAAUUUUGAGGUUUUCUUUCAAAACUGAUCUAGAUGACAUCCUUCUAUGACCUCUAUUAUCUAUUAUUAUAGAAAUUUCACAUCAAUUUCAUAAUUUAUACACUUUAGUCUUAUGUUUAAAAACAUUUGUACCUUAAUUAACUAUUAAUUCAACAAAAUUACUAGACCAAACUUUAAUAAACUUCUAUACUAGCAUUGUAAAUAUUAAAUAAAUAUUAACAUUACAACCACGAUAAAAAUACAAAAACAGGGUUCUGAAACCAUUGUUUCCAACACCAUUAAAAAUCGGGUUGUUACAAAGCCUAUCAUUUUAUAUUUACAACCAUUGAUUUAUUGUUAACUAUAUCAAUUAAGGUUAAUAAUGUUAAUAUGGUUGUGGGAUGAAAGAGAAAAAAUCAUUUCUUUUCUCUUUUUCUACAUUUGGCUAAGGAGAAAACAAAAGAGAGAUUUUGGUUCUUGCAUACCACCAAUAUUGUCUCUUAUCUAGUUAGCUAAAGAUGACGCCAAAUCGUUGAGGGAUAAAGGAAAUGUGAAAGUCGUAGAUGAGUAGCAUAUUUGGUUUGUGCUUCCAUAAACUUUUUUCAAUUUAUAGCUUAUUAAGUAGUAAAUUGGAUAAAGUAAUCUUAAUGAUUUGUCUCAUAAAAUGUAAGUUAACUUAUGAUGUAAUGUUUUGUUAAACUAUUGAAUGUGAAUAUAAUUAUGCUUACAUUUGUGACAUAGUAUGAAUAUGAAAUUCUGAUAAAAUGAUUGAAUGAUAUUUGAAUAUAUGUACCUUGGUAUUAUGAGUGUCCUAUUAAACAGUCUCGAAUAGAGAUACAUAUAUAGUUGGAAUGCCAAAUGAUUCAUUUAGGGAGAUAUUGUAGUGUCGGUCGCAUAUUACUUAGUUGAUAUAUCGAUGAGUGUUAGGCAAUGUACUACUUUGGUUAUGUACCGAUGAUCAAGGGUGGAUAUAUAUAAUUUAGCGUCGAACAUGUAUUGCUUUGGUUAUAUAACCAAAAAUCAUGUGUGAAUUUUAGGUGUAUUGGUGGUUUAAUCUGCAUAUCUGGUCUUGAGGUCGUAUCUAGUUAAUAAAAGUCAUAAUAUGACUAUGAUAUAUCAUUAAAUAUAGAAAUGAAAUGUGAUAUGAUUAUGAAAAUGAAAACCAAGAAAUUGAUUAUGAAAUUUGAAUGGCAUGUGAAAAACCUUGUGAGAUAUGAGUUAAAAGCCCUGAGGGUGAUUUGAUAUGUGUUAUACAUGACAUAAAUAAUAUUACAAUGAUUUUGAGAAAAGUAUUAAGAAAUGAUAACAUGAAGUGUUAAUUUUAUUUUUGGCUUGAUUAUAAAUAAUUUAUAGCAUGUUUGCUUAGUAUAUAUAUGUAUUGUUAUCAGAUUAUGUAAGCACCAUAGAGCUAUUUUUCUCAGGCGCAAAUUGUUUGCUUCUAUGCGUAGGUGACAAUUAGAACUCAGACUGAUUGAAGAAUGUCAACAUCAUCCAGAUCUCACAUCUCAGCUCAACCACAUCUAUGUAAAAUUUUGUUAUAUUUUUUAAGUUGUAAAGGCAUGUACCUUGAGUCUUGGUGAUGUGUUGUUGCUUUGGUAGAGUUGGAAGCAUAUUUUGGUCAUUAUGGCCUUUGAUAAUGGCAUUUAGUUAUAUAUAUAUAAGUUUUGGUGAUGUUCUGUAUUUAAUCAUGUAUGCCCUUAUAUGCUGAAAAUGUGUUGUUUCAACUUUGCUUCCUUUAUGACUUCUUCAUUUUGUUGAUACUUUACUUUGGAUGAUUCUUGGUAUUCAAUUCUAUUUUGAUAUUUAUUUCAGUUUCUCAUUAGUAUCUCAUAUGUACUAAUGGCAUGAUGAUAGGGGGAGCAUAUACCAUUUACUUAUGAUUUGUCGAAAAGACAAAAGGGGGAGAUGGUUAAGGACCAAGACUGUCUAGGACUAAUGACUUGAAUCUUGUUCAAACACCUGUUUGAACAGAAUUCAAACAAUGGUUUAAACACUUGUUCAGACAAGAACUUUAGGACAACCUAAGUACUAUGAGCUUUCAGCUUCUUAACUUAAGCCUACAUAUACAUUUUUACCAUAAGAAAAUGGACUCGAGGACAUUUUAUUUCAUCUUAAAAUCAUGUGUAUCACACGUGGUGUCUGAAAGAAGAUAGAGAUCAACAUGAUCUUAUUGAAUAAGGCUCAUACAUAUCCUUCAAUCAUUAGCCUAGGUAAUUUAUGUGUUGAUAUUAUGAAGAUUAUCAGGCUUUAUCUUGAGAUAAGUUUUAAAUAUUAUUUAUCCAAGAUUAUUGUGACGUUAAAGAAGUAUUUAUCUAUACAAAACUAUUUUAGAAGGCUACCUAAUUUAAUCUAUAAAUAGGCAGUAUAUUCGAAUGAAUGGAUGCAUCUUUAAAAGAGUUCUUGUGUUAAUUUUGGUAGGUUAUUUGUUGUGGACUUUCCUUGAAUUUUUGUAUUCAUUUCAUAGGAACUAUUUGUAUGAGUUUUUUAUUAUAUUGUGAGGUUUUAGGUGAGUGAUUUGUAAAGGUUAGGCUAUCUAUUGGAGCUGCAAUUGCUUGUUGUGUAAGGGUAGAUUGAGCUUUAGCAAAUAGAUAGUUCAUCCAAUUAUUGAAAAAAAUAAUUCACUGAAUGAGGCUAUAUAGAGUAAGAUUGAUGAUUUCAAACUGUGUGAACAAUGAAGCGGACAGAUAACAAACUAAGGUUCUAACAAAAAUAAAAAAACUAGGAAAUGAUCUGCCUUUCAAAAAAAUGGAGCUCCUUCCUCUAAUUUAUUAAUUGCAUAUGAUCUAUUUUGUAAGGCUUCAGUAGAACAAACUUUGAUAAUUCAAGAAAUUCUAGAGGAGUUCAGUUAUAUUUUCAGCCAGAAAAUCAAUGAGUUGAAGACACAAAUUUUGUAUUUGUCUACUACGACUUUAGAGGAUAAGAUGAAGAUAUACAAAACUUUGGGAUUUCAUUUGAAAAACGUUCUUGAUAGCUACAUUUGGAGAGCCACUUUUUCAUAAAAAAAGUGACUAAGAAACCUAUUGAUCUGCCGUUGACAGUGUAAAAUAGAUUAAGCGAAUGGUGGUCUUAGGUUAAAAAGUUUAAGAAAGCAUACCAAUUGUUUUUGCUGAAAUGAGGCUUUUAAUACAUUCACCAAUCCAAAAGCUCUUUGGGUUCAAAUUCUUAAAAGCAUGUACACAUUUGGAAGGAUACUAUCAAAACUAAUAAUUUCUCUUUUAUUUGGCAAUCAAUCUCGAAAGCCUUUCAGGAGCUAACUGUGUACUAGUCAACUAGAAAUGGCAAACAAAUCAAAUUUUGAAAUAAUUGUUGAAUCCUUAUGUAGGACCAAUAAGUGGUUUUUGCAUUGAUCCUAAAGUAGAUAAUGAUCUGUAUGUUAGUGACGUGGUAGAUGGAAAUGUUUUUGAUGGACUUCUGAACCAUUCAAUUGUUCUGAAAAUUGAAAGAAUACGAUCGCCUCACCAAAUGAGCAAGCUGGUGAUGAUGUCGACGCAUGGCAAUGGAACAAGAAUGGUCAAUUCAUUGUUGUUGAGAUGUACAAGUAUCUAACCAAGACUAAAUGGGAACUGGCCAACAAAGUGUGGAAUUAGAACUAUCAAGGGCCUUAAACUGACAAUACUUGUGGCUCACUUUUAAAAAUAAGCUCUUAACUAGUGGAGAAAGUUGCAGGCGAGGCAUUUCAAAUGUUGCUUAAUGUAGUUUAUGUGAUGAGUGCUAGGAAACAGAUGUCCAUGCCUUAAGGGAUUGCAAGCAUUGACUUCGAAAGCUAUUGUACCAUAAGGCCAACAUGCGAAAUUUCUUGAUACUCAUCUCUAGCGGUGGUUUCUUGAAAAUAGACUGGAUUAAAAUCAAAACUGAUGGCGUUGCUAAGAACAACAAUGAUUCUGCAUCAGCUGGAGGAACUAGAAAUUUUGAUGGCUAUUGUGGGAUGCGAUAGAAAUAUGGGGAAUUUCAUGUUUCUUUAAACUGAGUUAUUAGGUAUCCUUGAUGGCUUAUCUAUUGCUUGGUCAAAAGUAUUUAGGAUGGUCUAUCGAUUUCUUUCAUCAAUAAAAUACCUUCACUCUAGACACUCUAUUAGAUAGAUUUUUUUUUCAUCAAUAAAGGUUUAAACCUUUUAAAAGGUCAUUUUUGUGGUUGAACUUUUGUUUAAUCAAUCUGAAAAAUGUAGGACGAUUGUAGUCCAUGGAACAAAAAUGAAAACCCUUUUGCCAUACAUAAUUUAUUUUAUUAUAUUUUAUUAUCCAGAAUUUAAUUUGUUUUAUAUCUUAUGUCAUGCAUUCUUAAUCAAUAUAUCAAAUCAAUUUAGGGAAAAAUCAAAUCAAUCCUAAAACUCAAAUCAAAUCAUAUUGAUCUUCAUUAUUUUUGAAAGGGCUAAACAUUUUUUUAGGGAGAGCAAGGAAAAUGGUGAAGACGGUAUUUGUCGACAAUAUACCGGAAAUCAUGCAUUGGAAAGGUUUAUGGACGUUAUUCAGUUUUCAUGGGAAUGUUUUGGACGCUUUCAUUCUAGUUAAGAGAAACAAAGUAGGUAAAAGAUUCGACUUUGUAAGAUUUAAUAAUGUAGAGGAUGCAAAGAGGGCAAUAGGCAGGCUCGAUGGUUUUGUGUUGCUAGGAAAGAAGAUAUGGGUGAAGAGGGCUAGGUUCAGUGGGAAUAAAAGAAUAUGAAAAAAUUAAACGAAAAUGAAUCUUUACGCUAUAAAUAGGAAAGUCAGACGAGAACGGUGGAGUACCAAAAGGAGGAUGGGGGCACAUUGGACAACAAAGAAUUGAACAAUACAAAAAUUGUAGUUGGUCAUGUCGAUAAUGAACAAUUAUAGAAAUUGCAACGCUACUUGGUAAGGAAAAUGACGACUAUUUGCAGUCUCAGUAGUCUAACUGAAAGAAUUGCGAACAUGGGCCUUGGAGAAUUAAUUAUUAAAAGAAUCCAGGGUAGAUAUUUUCUGAUAGAGGUUCCGGACGAGGAGAUGAUGGAAAUUUUAAAACAAAGAGAUUGGGCAUAUCUUAAUGAGUUCUUCAUCAAGGUAGAGCUCUGGACAGAAAAAUUUCAAGUUUCGGAGAGAACAAUGUGGAUUGAAAUUGCAGGAAUUCCCUUUCAUUGCUAGAACUAUAAAACAACCAAGAGAGUGGUGGACAUUUGGGGAGAGAUUUUUGCAAUGGGUGAAAAUUUCACAAUGAUGAACAACUUCAAGAAUAUGGACGUACUGAUAAUCACGAAGCAGGCUAAAAGAAUUGAUGAGGUAAUAACAAUGGAGGUCGGUAGAGAAAAAAAUCUAGAUUCCAAUUACUAAAAGAGAGAUGGUGGAAAAUUUUAAGGAAAAUCACAAAAAGAUUGGAGAUCUUAAGGGGAGAGAUGAGGAAGUAUCAUCGAAAAAAAAUGGGUAACAAAAUCAGUACCAGUAACAUCUUUGGAAGGGAUUCGAAGAGAUGGUAUUGUAGAAGUUAUUGCUACAGACCUCGAAAAUAAAGGAAGGGGUAAUAGGAUGUAGGUUUUGUCAGAUGAAGGAUUUAUUGUGUAUCACAAUUCACAAGGAAACUUGUUGAGUAUUCCUGGUGUAGGGGUGACAAAUGCAACAUUACCAAUCAACAUAAUUUCAGACUUAAAUAAUAUGGGUCUAGGGUUGGGUUUGGAGCAGCUUAAUGGAUCAGAGACCCAAUGUGAGGAUGAAUGUGGUAUGGGCCUGAAUUCGAAUGAAGAGGCAGAGAACCAUGAUUCGGGGCCAAGGUAGAUAGGCAAUAUGUAAUUCAAUUAUGGUGCGCUGAUAUGGAUGGAAGCCCAAAGUCUAAACAAAAUCAGAAUCUAUCAUCUGACUUAGAAAGCCAGAAGGGAAGUUUUUUUCAUCAAAGAUUGAAGGGGAUAUCGUUCAAAUUAGGCCAAACAAAAAGAAAGAAGAAAGCUCUUAACAAAAAAAUUAGGUAUAUGCAUGAGAUUCAAGACACAACCCUCACAUCGAAAGAGAAACUGAAGACGGAUAGAGGGCUAAGAAAAUAGAAAGGAAAGGGGAUUUUGAGAUCAGAUGACAGUGUUGCAAAUUUAUCUAUCUCGGACUUCGAUGUUAGCAAUAGAAGAAGAGUUCUGUUAAGGGAAGCAAAAAAGACUUGGGAGGUAGGGAAAAGACUGUGUUUCAGCGUGUAUGGUAACGAGGAACAAAUUACUGGAGAAAUCAUGAAGAUCAAUGGGAAGCAGUAGGGAACGCUCAAGAAUGGGGAUCGAGGGAUUAUGGGAUUCGGGUAAGUGGUUGCUUUAGUAUUUCUUGCUAUCAAUUAGAUAACAUUGUCAGGAGUAUGAGAAUUAUCACGUGGUACAUCAGGGGGUUGGGAUCAACUCUCAAAGUUGAAGCGAUUAAUAGAGUUUUAAGAAUGAAUAGGGCUCAUGCAUGUUUAAUUCAAGAAAUGAAAUUGGAUUCGGUGUCGGUGGAGCUGGUUAGAAAAUAUGAGGUGAUGAUAGGUUUGAUUUUAAAUAUGCCAUAGCUGUAGAAAGGUUAGAGGGAUUAUUAACAAUUUGAGAUAAGGGUAGUUUUAUGGAAUAAGUCGAUUUGUGUAAGAGGAGGAUUAUUGCAGUAGUAGGAAAAUGGGUAGCCGUUGAGAAGGAGGUGACUUUGGUUAAUGUUUAUGCUCCAAACAAUUUUGCAGAACAAAAAAUGUUAUAGGAAGAAAUUUAUGGUUUGAGAAAUCAAUUCUGUAAAGCUUGGAUUGUAGGUGGGGAUUUUAAUGUGGUGAGGAAUCGUAGUGAAAGAAUAAAUUGCUCAAGCACAGAGAAGGGAUCAAAGGAAUUCGAUGAGUUCAUUGAUAGAUUGAAGCUGGUUGAUUUACCUUUAAUUGGUAAAAAAUUUACAUGGUUUGGUCCAGAUAGUAAAUGCAGCAGGUUGGACAGAUUCUUAAUUGAAGAAGACUAGGUGGUUCAGUUUAAGGAUUUACAAUAGAAGGGUCUCAACUGAUUUGUAUCGGAUCAUAUCCCAGUGAUGUUGGUGGAUGAAUCAGUAGACUAGGGUCCUCGACCUUUUAAGUUUGUCAACGUAUGGUUGAAAAAGGAAGAAUGUUUGAAGUUGAUUGAAAAGGAAUGGUCAAGAAUGGAGGGCUUAAGAGGAAAAACGGUUGUCAAAUUGAGAAAAUUGAAGGAAGCUAUUAAGAAGUGGUAUAUGGAAGAUGAAAAUACUUUGGAAAGAAGUAUUAUGGAAAGUGAGGCUAGGAUUAAGGCGAUUGGUGAUAUAAGUGAAAAUAGAAAGUUGGCCGAGUUGGAGAUGGAUGAGUUAAAACAAUUGAACAUUGAGGUCUGUGAAGCAAUUAAACUCAAAGAAUCUAUCUGGUGUCAAAAAUCGAGGAUGACUUGGCUUAAGGAAGAGGAUGCAAAUAGUGCUUUCUUUCACAAGGCGGUCAAGAUUAAAGCCAAAAGAAAAAUGGUUUUUAGCCUAAAAAUUGGUAGUCGUAAUAUUAAGGACCCUAAGGAGAUGAAAGAGGGUCUUUUCAAUUACUUUAAAAAUUAUUUUGAUUGCUCGGUAAGAAGGUGGAAAAUGGGAGUGGAUUUGAACUUCAGAUUGCUUAGUGAGGAAAGUGCGAGGAAAUUGGAGGAGCCUAGACCAGACGAAUUCAAUUUGUACUUCUAUAGAAAGUGUUUGAAGAUCGUGAAAUAUGAUUUAUUUGGGGUAAUGUCAGAUUUUUUCUCAUUUGGAAAACUUGAGAAGAGUAUUAACUCCUCUUUUAUCAUUCUUAUACCAAAGGUGGAAAGCCUAUUGAGAUUUCAGAAUUUAGACCAAUCUAUUUAGUGAGCUCCCUUUAUAAGAUCGUAUCCAAGGUUUUGUCACGAAGGUUAAGGGAGGUUAUAGGAGAAGUGGUUAGUGAGACUCAAUGUGCCUUCAUUAAGGGUAGGCAGAUUUUUGAUGGGAUUUUAAUUGCAAAUGAACUUAUCCAUUCGGUUAUGAAGAGAGGUAGAUGUGGGGGAAAGCUUAUUUUUAAAUUAGAUUUUCAAAAGCGUAUGACUGCGUUAAAUAGGAUUUUUUGGAGUUGAUGUUAUAAAAAAUGGGGUUCGGGGAAAAAUGGAGAAGCUGGAUGUUGGAGGUUUAUCUACAGCUAGAGUGGCUAUCAUUAUGAAUGGGUCAUCAUCCAACGAAUUCAGAUUUCAUAGAGGCCUUAGAUAGGGAGACCCACUGUCUCUAUAUUUAUUCAUUUUAGUGAUGGAGGUUUUCCAUCUGGCGUUGGACAAAGCGACAGAGGAAGAACUGAUCAAAGGAUUUAAUGAUGUAAUUCUUGGGAUAAAAUUUUCUCAUCUUCAAUUUGCUAAUGAUACGAUUCUUUUCCUAAAAGUUGAUGAUAAAGAGGUGACUAAUGUGAUGUACAUUCUUAGGGUGUUCGAGAUUUUUUUGGGGCUGAGCAGUAACUUUAACAAAUCCUGCUUAGUGGGGUUUGAUGUGGAAGAAGAAUUAUUGUUUAGGAUGGCUGCCAUUUGCAAAUGCAAAAUAGGUACUCUUCCUUUCAACUAUUUAGGGGUCCCAUUAGGUGCAAAUCUGAAAAGAUUAUACACUUGGGAACCAAUCAUAGACAGAGUCAGGAAGAAGUUGUCGGGAUAGAAAUGUCGAUCACUUUCAUGGCAGGCAGGGUAGUUCUUAUUAAUGCGGCAUUGUCCUCACUGCCGAUAUAUUUCAUGUCUUUAUUUCAAGCUCUGGUGACUGUUAUUAAAAAAAAUUGACAAGAUCAGAAGGAAUUUUAUAUAGGGGAACACGAAUGAAAAAAAAAGAUGGCGAGAAUAAGAUGGGAUACAGUCUGUAAACCAAAGGUUAAGGGUAGGGCGGGUGUGGCAAAUCUUGAGGUUAAAAAUAAAGCUUUAUUGGCUAAAUGGUGUUAGAGAUUCAUGACAGAAAAAGAAGCGUUAUGGCGAAAGGUGAUUCUAACAAAAUACGAGUCAAAUAUUCAGAGUUGGCGUUUUAAGACGACGUACAAAAAAGACAUGUCUAUGGUUUGGAGAGGCAUUGUCAAAAAUGCAAAAGAUGAGAAAGUGUCCAAAUGGGUGGGUCCAAAAGCAUUUUUUUGGAAAAUUGGAAAUGGAAAAUCGACUCUGUUUUGGUAGGACAUUUGGUGUGGGGAUCGACCAUUGAAAGUUUUGUUUCCAAGGCUUUUUCGUCUUGCUAAAAAUAAAGUAAGUACAGUUGCAGAUUCAUUAAGUAAUUUAGGGACUGGGUGCUUUAAUUGGGAAGGCUAGUUUUCUAGACCUUUGAUGGAUAGGGAAAAUGAGAUGUGUAAAAUUUUGGCUGAUAGGAUGAAUUGCACAAUAUUGAUUUCAGAAAUAGAGGAUAGAUUGUGUUGGUCUAAUGAUAAAUUGGGAGUGUUCUCGGUUAAAAAGUGUUCAGAUCUAUUAAUAAUGGAUGAUGAGGCGGAUGUCAAUUUUGCUUGCGGUAAAGUGUGGAAUAUUAAGGUUCCUCCUAGAGUUCGUAGCUUUCUGUGGAUGUUAACUAUCGACAGAAUCAUGUCUAAGGAAUUUUUGGCUAAACUAGAUAUGAACCUUCAACACUUUUUGAUUUUUUUUCCUUGGUGCGAAAGAGAACCGGAAAGCUCAUCUCACCUUUUUUUCAAGUACAGAUUUAUCGAAGGUUUUUGGGCAAAAAUCUUCAAUUGGUGGGAUGCUGAAUGGAAGAGGGUUGAUGGUUUUGUGGAUUUAUUUGCCUUGUGUUAUAAUGCAAAAAUAGAAUAUAGUAAGAAAAGUUUAUGGCUGAUUUCUUGUGCUGCAGCAUGUUGGUCAAUAUGGUUAGCAAGAAAUGCUUUGGUUUUUGAUAGAAGGAGUGUAAAAAUGGAUAAUUUGGUUUUUCAAUCUACGAUGAGGGCAUUGUUGUGGAUUAGAUCAUCUCAUAAUGAACUCAUGAUGCAGGAGAAGUUUUGGUGGUUAGCUCCUCAAAGAUAUAGAGUGGUGUCGCUGGAAUGGAGGAAAUGUGCAAGUGUACACAAUCGUAACAAGUAAUAAAGUGACAAGUAAAUGUCGAGUUAUCGUACCCACAGGGAUUGUAAAAAGCAAUAUUUAUGAAAUUAAUUUAAACAUUUUGGUGAGGUAAAAAUAAUUUUGGUUUGAAAAGAGUGAUUUAUAAACUAAGAUUUUAAAACUAAGCAAAUAAUUUAAAUAAAAUAAAAGAGUUCUAGUGCACGAUUUCAAUUAAGAUUUAAUCAAGAUAACAUAAUUGUGUUGGAUUAAUUAUACCUUCUUAACUUAGAAAUAUUAAAUCCGUGCUUAUGCUGUUAUGAAUAAAUUCACGGCAACCCAGUAAUUUGCUAACUUAUGAACAUAUUUACUAAUUAAAAGAAUUACAUUUAUCUCUUGAACAUAUCCCUAUGCCAAUUCAACCGACUAAACAGAUUUAAUAAAGUAAACAUGCUAUCGCACAUACAUACUUAUUGAAUUAAAUUAUCUCUCGCAUAUUCCUAUGUCGAUUCAACCUAUUAAUUCAACUUAAUAAACAUGUAAAAGAUUAUGUGAAGUAACAAAGUAGCCAUACCUUGAAACAAUUUAAUCAUAACAAUCUUGCAAGUUAUGCAAGGCAUAUGUAUCGCCAAAUACAAUGCUGAUUUAAUUUUCAGUUACCUUAGAAGAAUUAAACAUGCACUGAUUAAGUACUAAGUCCAUUAAUUGCAAAUUCAAUCCGUUUAAAUAAUUAAUUCUUUAGUUAUCUAAACAAUUAUAAUGCCAGAUAACCUAAGCAUUAUUUUACUUAAUCAAGAAUUUCACUGAGGCCUAUAACAGCAUAAACACUAAUUUAAUAAUUCAAGUAGGCAAAAUAUAAUCAACCCAACACAAAUUAAAUUCAAGCUAAAUUGAUUAAAAUAACCAUUUCAACAAAAAUAUUUUUCAUAGAUAUGCUCAUCAUAAAAACAACAGAAAUAAAAAAGAAAGGGAACAGAAAGCAAAUUCAGUGUUUCUCUGCAGCUUGACUGUUGCUCCGUUCUUAGUCUCUGUUGUCUUUGCCGAGCAAGGAUUUUAUGAAUCCUUGAUUGCUGCCCAAGAUGGCUGAAGAACAUCUCUUUCUUAAGAGAGGAAAUCGGCACAAGAGGAACGGAAAAUGGGAUGGAAAAAUAGAGAGGAAACUUUGAGAGAAGUGAAGAGAGGAUGAGAGAAUGUUGUGGAAUGAAGGAUGUUGAGGGAUGCUUUGAAAUGGGCAGCAUAGGGUGGAUUUUAUAGCUGAAGAGAGAUUCUAAAAAUAGAAAAUUCAGCAGCUAAGAGAGCCCUCCCAUGGUCGGCCACACACAUGGCAAGGUUGAAGCUUUCAACCUUGCUAAAAAUAGGCUAGGGCAAAUCUACAAAGCCUAAAUAAAGGUGGGGUUUGAACGUAAUUUGGAGGUUUUCAAGGGCCUUUUUGCAAGCAUAUUUUAUCAGCUAAUUUUUCUGAUUUGGGUCAGCCAAUGGACAGUUCUGGUCAGCCCAAUUAGUGGUUGGUUCGGCUCACUCCAUUCGGUUCAACCAGUGCGGUUCACUAGGCUCUUUCUUCAUAAUUAAUUAAAAUUAAUUCAUUUAACCUAAAUUAAAUAGGAAAUAAAUUAAAAUUAAUUUAAUUAUUAAUUAAUACACAUUUCUGGACCGUCUUGGGCUAGAAAUUAAUUGGCCUCGAAACUUCAAAUUACUCUCUGUUUUGUUCUUCUCGUAGGGUUCACCGGGCCCUUUUUCUCCAAUUGUGUGAUUUUGUCAAAAAUAACCAAAUUUAAUCAAAAUUAACUAUAAAAUUAAUUAAAAUUUAUAAUUUUCAUAUUUUUAACAUAAUUUAAUUAUUUUAUAAUAUUUAAUUAUUUUUCGACAAGAAUUUAACCGGAAUAGCCUGGUUUUAAGUUAAAAAGGGUAUGAAAAAGUAUAUAAAUUUUUGUGUUUCCACACCCCCAAACUUAAUUCAUUUCUCGUCCCGAGUAAUGCACAAAUUUUGAAAAGAAUUUCUCAUAAACACUUUGAAAACCUUCUUCAGAACAACAAUUUUCUCGAAAUUAUGAAUUUGAUAUACUUAUGCUCAAAGAAUAAGAAAUUUGAUCAUUCUGCUACUCAAGUGUUCAUAUUAUUCAAAUUAAUCUCAACAAUUAUUACAAUAGCAAAAUUAGACUAAAUGUUUCUUGAUAAAGACAUGCUGAUUCCUACCAAUUCAAAUUUUUAAUCCUUUAUUCAAUAUCAAGUUGCAAUCAUUAAGCUUAACCUAUGUCUUCAUAUGUUGAACAAAGCAAUUUCUCUCCACUAAUGUAGGUAACUUUGGAACUUCGAAUCAAUAGGUCUUUAAUAAGGUUGUAACGUGGUUGGGCUUAGGGGUAGGUAAAAAGAUAGAUAAAUUUUGGCUAAAAACCCUAAACUCAGUGUAAAUCGAACCAUCAAAAAAAAAAUUACCUUCAAUCACCAACUUUCACAUGCUCUUUUUCAAAUAUAUGUGUUUUUUUUUAGCAUUUGAUAUUUCUUUUCAACUCCCUCAAACUUAUUUUCAAACAAUAUUCUUGAAUAUUACUGAGUCUAGUGUUUGGGGCAAUUUAAAGAUAAUUAAGAGAAACGUGAUGGGCUAAAUUUGUAUAGGUUCCUAAAAUUAGGCCAUAUAGUCUCAAAGUUGGGUUUCAAAGGAUAAAAUUUACCAUGGUAGGCUUGAAAGGCUCAAACGGUCCAAACAACAGCUGCCUAAAUCAUUUCCAAUGUUCCAAGCUUCCUAAGAUUUCGCCUCAAGAAACUACUAAGUCAAUUCUAAAGACUUAAACUUUCAUGCAUACCUAACUUUCAUAAAGAGAUAAAAAUUUUAUGGUAUGAAGUUGCAUGCUUUAUUAAAAAUACAUUUAUGUCAUCAUUAAACUACAUAAUAAUUUAUUAAAAAAAUAGAACUUUAUUCAUACUCAAGUUUAGCAUACUUAACAAAAUUCAAAUUUAUUGAACAGAAAUAUACCCUAAUCAUAAUUAAAAGAAAAAUUUUAUUCUAGAUGAAGAUAAUUUCAAAUUUCGGUCCCCCCAACUUAAAAUGAACAAUGUCCUCAUUGUUUAAAGUGAAUAGAUACUAUACACCAGGUAGGAAUUCAGAAAAGAGGAGGUGAGUCAAUGUGACUGCUUAAGUACCAAGCUCUUUUGAAAUCCAAUCCUAGACAUGUAUAUACCUAUUGCCACACUUUAUACUUUAUGACUUGUCCAUGUUUAUUUAGGAUUUCCUUCUCUUGUUUUAUUAUGCAGAAACAAAAGUUCCUAAUUUAAACUUGAUCCUAAAAUAACCUAAAAACAAAUAAAUAAAAUAGAGUCAAGAUCCCUCCCUUUUAUUUAUUUGCAGAUCCUUCCAACUUGGACUCAUCUUUUGCUCCAUCAAUAUUGCCUUUGCAUGAAUCGCUUCGCUCCUUUUUCGAGAGUGGAGUCCAUGGCUCGAAUAUGAAAUAUGGAAAUUCAGGCACAAAAAUAAAUGGGUCAUUGUAUAUUCUCUAGAAAGCACUUCGAAUCGAGUCAUCCCUUAUUUUUUAGUAUCUCCAGUAUGCUUGUUGCUGCCAUUGCAUGUGUUGCAUUAAGUCCAUCAAAUUUGACAACUCAUCUCGAAAGUCUGGGCUAGGCAACUGAGCUCUAAACAUUGGAGUUCCAACAUCCGAUUCAUCUUUUGGCUCUAAUGGGUCCACCUUAUCAGGGACUUCAAAUGAUUGCAUUGUGGGAUCUUCUUCAUCAGGUUCCUCAGGCUCUUCACUUUCUUCAACUCGUUGUUGUAGAACUGAGUCUCCGGCUACUCGGUAGAGGUCCCAAUCUGUAAUUGUGCCUUGGGUGUACCCUGUCUUCUUGAGAUUAGCAAGAAUUUCUACUUUCAAGCACAGAAUAGUUAUUGUAAAGGGGAAGUAAGCAGGGCCAGAACGUCUAGCGGUACAGUUUCGAAUUUCUUUCAAGAUGAUCUUUCCCACAUCAAUGGUCUUACCCGUUAAGAUCGAGUAUAGUAAGACCAUUCGCUCCAAUGAAAUUGUAGUCCCAUGUGAGCUAGGCAGAAGGCUGAAACGGAUGAAAUAAAACCAUACCUUUGCAAUAGGUGUUAAGUAUUCUCUUCGACACGUGUGGGUUCCUUGUUUCGACACAGUCCAAUUGGAACCUUCAAUUGUAAGCUCCUCAAGAAUUUCUUUGCAGAAGUUCCACCUUGAUAUUGCUCAUCAAAGAUGAAUACUCGUCGUUCUCGAAAUCAGGUAAUUCAAAGAACUCAUUAAUAGCAUUCGAAUUUAUAGGUACCUUGAUUCAGCGAACAGGGACUUCUGUCAUCUUGCUUGAAGUUAAAUUCGUGUAAAACUCACGAACUAGCUCCUCAUCCACACUAGGUCUCUUUUCACAAAACAGUUCCCAGUUGAGAGCUUCAGCAUUUGACGAAUACGUGCCAUGAAGCCUCUGUAGUUGCUCUCCUUCAGUGUGAAGCCUUUCUCAGGAUGCAUCUGUUGAUUUUUGUAGGUACUUUCGUAUCUCACUUUAGCUUCAACACAAUAGAACUUGCUUUGUGUUUCAUCGAUUUGAGCAAAGGCGCGAGUUCUCUUGCGAGGCAUAAUUGACCUUUCUGAAAAAAUAUAAGAACUCAAAGAAAAUUAAUGCAAGAAAAAGAUGGAAAAUUAAAAGGAGAAGGGUUGAAGAAUUUUGGCUUAAGGCUUGGUGUGCAAAGAGGGUGCCGCACAAGGCUAUAGAACAAGCAGCAGCACGCAAGGGUGUGCAACAAGAAGCAGGCUUGGAGCUUGUGCGAGAGCUGGGACGUGGCCUGGGCAGUAGCAGCAAGGGUGCGCAGGUGAGGCGCUAAAGCAGCAAAAUGCGACCUAGGCAGCUUCUGUACUGAAACAGCCGGCGCACAAGUAGGAGCUGGGUGCUAAUCGGGUCGCGCAGCGUGAUGCUACUGGGUGUUUGCCGACUAGGCUGCUGGAGCUAGGGGUGUUGCGGCACAAGGUGUUUUGGUUUUUGGUUGAUGCAUGGAUGGGAGGUAUAAGGUGGUAUUUAUAGCAUAAGUAAUAGGACUUAAAAUAGAACUCUUAGUCUAAUUUAAUAAUUAAAGAUAAGAGUUUAAUUCUAAUCCUACUCAAAUUUAACAACAAUUAAUAAUUAAAUAUAAGCAUAUAGAAUUAUCAGUUGAUAUUAUUUAUUAAGAUAAACAUAAAAUAAAAAUUGAAAUUAAAUUAAUCCUAAUUCUAAUCUAAGUUGAUAAAAAUUAAUAUAUAAAUUAUAAUGAAUGUAAUUAUAUAUUAAAGCUUAUCAAAUUAUUAAUAAUGUUAAAAAAUAAAAUAAAAAAUAUUUCUUCUAGAUGCCUUUAAAAAAAUAUAUUUACAAAGAAAGGCACCUAAUUUUCAUUAUUUACAAAAAGAGCAAUCAAACUUUAAAAAAUAUUCAAUUUAAGUCCCUAGACUCAAUGAAAAUUAAAAAUUGAGUUGCAAAUUAAAAAUUGGAUCAAAUUGACCAUUUUAUUUAAAAAACAAAAAUUUAGUUUGUUGAUUAGGGAAAAAUUUCUUGGAAAAUUAUGUUAAAAUAAAUUCCCAAGAAAGAUUAGAGGGGUCACAAAUGGUCCCGCUUAAGUUCCAACCUCCUAGACAGAAUUUAUUUAAACACACUAAACCCGAAAAAUAGACCCUAAAUUAUUCAUUAAACAAAACACAAAAAAUAUUAAAUAUCUGAUAAAAUGAACGAGACGUUAUCCCGUUCGGUUUUAUUCCCCCAAUAGUGUUUCAAACGUGAGCAUUAACUUGAAAAUUACCUCUCUUACCUCGAAGUUCAACAACUCCGUAUGGAUAGACCCUGUGAAUUGUAAAUGGACCGGACCAACGUGAUUUUAGCUUACCUGGAAAGAACUUCAAUCUCGAGUUGAACAACAAUACUUGCUGACCUGCUUCAAAUUCUCGAACCCGGAUGUGUUUGUCAUGCCAUUUCUUGAGUCUCUCUUUGAGUAAUUUGGCAUUUUCAUAUGAGAACAUUCGGAAUUCUUCUAACUCAUUGAGUUGGAACAUCCGUAUUUCUUUUGCGAGCUUAGGAUCUAAGUUGAGUCGUCGAAGAGCCCAAUAAGCUUUGUGCUCUAACUCCAAAGGUAGAUGGCAUGCUUUAUCGAAAACCAGCCUAUAGGGUGACAUCCCUAAAGUGGUCUUGUAUGCUGUCCUGUAGGCCCAUAAAGCGUCAUCUAGUCUUUUGGACCAGUCUCGUCGGUUCGGGCAAACUACCUUCUCCAAUAUGCCCUUGAUUUCUUUAUUUUCUAGUUCAACUUGUCCAUUCGUCUGCGGAUGGUAAGCCGUUGCAACCUUGUGUUUCACCCCGUGCUUGUCUAGUAACCAUUUUAACCACUUGUUCACAAAGUGGGACCCUUCAUCACUAAUGAUGGCUCUCGGGGUUCCAAACCUCGUGAACACGUGAUUCUACAAAAACUUCAUCACAACCCUAGUAUCGUUGGUCGGAUAUGCCUCUGCCUCGACCCACUUGGACACAUAAUCUACCGCUACUAGUAUAUACUUGUGACCAAAAGACGAAGGGAAGGGCCCAAAAAAAUCAAUACCCCAAACAUCAAAUAAUUCGACCUCAAUAAUGUUUGUUCGAGGCAUCUCAUUUCUGUUGGUGACAUUUCCAACUCUUUGACAUCGGUCACAACUCUUUGCGUAUGCAUAUGCAUCCUUGAAUAAUGUUGGCCAAAAGAAUUCGGCUUGCAAUACUUUGGCUGCAGUACGAGUUCCUCCGAAAUGACCCCCACUUGGGGCUGAGUGACAGUGGUAUAGAAUCUUCGGUAUUUCUUCUUCUGCUAUGCAUCUCCUAAUCAUCUGAUCUGCACACUUUUUAAACAGAUAUGGUUCCUCCCAGAAAAAGUACUUCACAUCGUAAAGAAACUUUCUCCUUUGUUGAUAUGUCUUAUCAUACGUUAUUAAACCACAAGCUAAAAAGUUAGCAAUAUCAGCAAACCAAGGGGUAUUAUGGACAUGACUUACCUUCAGUGUAUGUUCAUCUGGAAAUGUUUCUUGAAUCGGUAGAAGUUGAGAAUUCCCUUCUUGCGGCUCCAAUCUGGACAAGUGAUCUGCUACUUGGUUUUCUACUCCCUUUCGAUCUUGAAUUUCCAAAUUGAACUCUUGAAGUAGAAGUACCCAUCGGAUCAACCUCGGCUUAGUGACUUUCUUGGCAAGUAAAUAUUUAAUUGCCAAGUGGUCUGUAUAGACAGUUACCUUGGUACCUACAAGAUAAGAUCGAAACUUGUCGAAAGCAAAUACGAUAGCAAGUAACUCUUUUUCUGUUACCGUAUAGUUUAACUAAGCUCCUAUUAGAGUUCGGCUUGCAUAGUAGAUGGGAUGAAAAACUUUGUUCCUUCACUGGUCCAUGACAGCUGGUAUUGCGAAGUCACUUGUGUCACACAUCAAUUCAAAUGGCAAGUCUCAGUCUGGUGUGACAAUUAUGGGUGCCGUGACUAAUCGAUUCUUUAAGUCAUUGAAGGCUUUUAAGCAUUCCUCAUUAAAUUUAAAUAUCGUGUCCUUCUCCAAUAAUUUGCGUAAAGGUUUAGCAACUUUGGAGAAGUCCUUGAUAAAUCUUCGAUAGAACCCGGCAUGGCCCAAAAAGCUCCUAACACCCUUUACAGAUGUUAGAGGUGGGAGUUUCUCAAUAACAUCUACUUUUGCUCUAUCUACCUCGAUCCCAUGUCUUGUUAUCCGAUGCCCCAGAAUGAUACCCUCUCGUACCAUAAAAUGACACUUUUCCCAAUUAAGUACUAGGUUCGUUUCUUCGCAUCGCCUAAGUACCUUAGCCAGAUUGGCUAAGCAAUCAUCGUACGUAUCUCCAAACACUGAAAAGUCGUCCAUGAAAACUUCCAAAAAUUUCUCAACCAUGUCAGUGAAAAUAGAUAUCAUACAUCUUUGAAAUGUAGUAGGUGCAUUACAUAAACCAAAUGGCAUAAGUCUAAAUACAAAUGUACCGUACAGGCAAGUGAAUGUGGUCUUGUGUUGAUCUUCCGGUGCUACCGUAAUCUGGUUGUACCCCGAGUAUCCAUCGAGAAAACAGUAGUAAUCUCACCCUGAGAGUCUGUCACACCCCGUACCCAAGACCGUUUCCGGAGUCGAACACGAGGUAUUUACAGACUUAUUUCAUUGAUUUUCACAGUCCAUUUUAAAAAUUUCCAGACAAGUUGGCUAACUGCGUCACUGUUACCUUAAAAAUCAUAUCUUGAGUUCCAAAACUCGAAAACCAGUUUUGUAAAUUUUACCUGAAACUAGACUCAUAUAUCCAUCUAAAACUUUUUUUCUAGAAUUUUUGGUUCAGCCAAUUAGUACAGUUUAUUAGUUAAAGUCUCCCCUGUUUCAGGGUUCGACUGCUCUGACCUUCAUGAGUUACGACUUAUAUAUCUUCCAGUACAGGGCUUCAUUACUUAUGUUGUUUGUUUCUAACAAAACUAGACUCAAAAAAGAAUCUAUAAAUAUAUGGCAUGACCUCUAAUUAUCUCUGGUUAAUUUAUAGUUAAUUUCCAAAGUCAGAUCAGGGGAUCCAGAAAUCGCUCUGGCCCUGUUCCACGAAAACUUAAAUAUCUCUUAAAAUACGACUCAUAUGUUCGUUUCGUUUCUUCCAUAUGAAAGUAGACUCAUCAAGAUUCGAUUACAUAAUUUAUUAACUAUUUAAUUUCAUUCCUACUAUUUUUAGUGAUUUUUCAAAUCCACACCACUGCUGCUGUCAGCAUCUGUUUUUAAGGUAAACUUUACCUAUUUCAUGGUUUUCCAUGAAUCAACUAGAAUUUGUCAUACAAAGCACCAAAAUGCACCAAAAUGAUCAUGAUUAACCAUUCCAAUGGCUAAUCGUUACUAAAAAUUUCCAUACCUCUCAAUGAACAACAUACAAAACGAUUAUAAUGCUAUGCUCAAAGAGUAUAUAAGCCAUUUUCGCAUGGCUAUCCAAAUUUAUACAAAACCAAGGGUACAUGACCAACAACAAAAAGGGUAGUCCUAUACAUGCCAUUGUCAGAGUUCAACCAAAAAUGUACCAAAAGGGCUUUGAUAGUGUGGACGACUUCGACUUCGACAAUCCCGAGUCCGAUAGCUGACGAACCAAAAUCUAUAAAACAGAGAAUCAAAGAAACAGAAUAAGCAUUUAAUGCUUAGUAAGUUUUGAGCAAUGAAAUCAUGCACAACUGAAGUAUAGCAUUCAUACGACUAAACGAAUAAUUUCAUAUACACAUUUUCUCACAAUCAUACCUACUUCACAUUUCCAACCCUUAUAUUCAUACAUAAGAAAUCAACUUGACUAAAAGCCAGAAGCUUGUUAAUCGAUUGAGCAAGUACUAUUUAGAAGGAAUCAAUUAUCUCAAUGCACAUACGAAACAUACCUCAUUGUUGGGAUUUUACGAGCGUAUUAAUUGAAAUUAUUACAGCAAGAUCGCUCAUUCCCAAACCCAAUUAUCUUCGGGAUUUAGCCGGAUAUAACCACUCGCACAAGGCCAUCAGGUCUUAGUCCGGAUAUGGUCACUAGCACAAAUGCCUUCGGGACUUAGCCCGGAUAUAGUAACUCGCACAAAUGCCUUCGGGGCUUAGCCCGGAAUUAGUAACUCGCACAAAUGCCUUCGGGACUUAGCCCGAAAUUAGUAACUCGCACAAAUGCCUUCGGGACUUAGCCCAGAAUUAAUCACUAGCAGAAAUGUCUUCGGGACUUAACCCCGUUAGCAUCCGAAUAUUCAUGCACAUAUCAGUAAAUCAUGACACAUCUUUAUUUCAUUUUCAUAACUAGAAUUCAAACACAAAUCAAUUAUUAAGCAUUCCCAUUUUCGGCUCAAUAGCCACAUACGAACAGCAUCAUUCGGCUUGCUUCAUGACAUGAUUUCUAUGCACAUACGGCUACCCAUCAUACGUAUAGACUAAUUAACUCAACACAUAAUUCAAGUAGAAUCAUUAUAUCACCGUAUAUUUGUUAUGAUUAUACGUCAUGACUUAAUCAAAUCGUAAACUAAGUUUCAUUACUCGAAAACUUACCUCGGAUGUUGUCGAACAAUUUCAACGGCUAUUCGAUCACUUUUUCCUUCCCUUUAUCGGAUUUAGUUCCCCUUUGCUCUUGAGCUUAAUUUAACAAAUAAAUUGAUUUAAUCAUUUGAACAUCAAAAAGAGAAACUCAAGGUACUUAACCCAUAUAUACAUUAGACAUUAGAGUCAUAUAUAUAUGAAAUCAUGAAUCAACUCAACAUAUUAGCCCACACUCUCUUUUAGCCGAUUAUCUAAGCCAAGAUAAAAGCAUCAAUAUGCUUGCCUCUAACCGAAUACAUGCAACACCAAUCUACCUCAUGUGGCCGAAUAUGCAUGUCUAUGUUGAGGCCGAUUAUAUGCUUAAUACAUUCUACAAAUAUGGUCACUUGUAUUGACUAAUUACCAUUUUGUUUCAAGUUCAAAGCUCGGCUAAAACACCUAUAUACACUAGUAAUCAAAUACUAACAUUUGCACUUCACCUUAAUAGCUAACUUAGCAACCCUUAAUUUAACAUAUAAUUGUUCAUAACAAAAUUAGAGCGUCCUCUCCAUUCCAUCAAUUCAAAACACAUACAUUACUCAAUAAUAUUCAAAGUCACAUUCGGCCUUAGCACACAACUUCUCUACUUCAUCUAACAUGAACAACAACUAUAUUUCUCUUCCACUUCCUACCAUGGCUGAAUGCUUCAUGAAGUUGCUAAGACCUACCUUUUUCAAAUUCUCACACACACUCACAUCCAAUCCUUUUUGUUGAGCACUCAAACUCUAUCAUCUCCCUCACGUAGCAAAGAUUUAAACCAUGGGCUAGGUAGAACUCAAGCUAACAACUAAAAAUAUACAUGAAUCUCAUGGAGCAGCAUCAAACAUACCUUAGCCUAGUUACAUGCAUGGCCGAACCUCUUCAACCUUUUUUCUUCCUUCCUCCUUAGAAUUUUCGGCCAAGGAUGUUAAAGGAUGAACAUUUUUUUUUCUUUUCUUCGUCUAGUCACGGCAAUGGGGAGUAAGGGGAGGACAACUUUGGUUUCUCCUCCCACUCACCUCAUGUUUUAUCAUUCUUAAUUCACUAUUUUAUUUUCUAAACCCAUAAUGCUAAUAGGAAAUUCAUAUUAUCAUCUAUGACCCAUCCAUGGCCGGCCACUACUCAAAAUAAAUGGAUAUUUGACAUACAAACCCUUCAUUCUUAUAACAUGCAUUAAUAGGCCACUUAUAUUUGCCUAGCACAUUUCUAAAUUUUCUCACAUAAGUCCUAUUAACUAAAUUCACAUGCAAUCGACUAAAUCGAAGCUUAAAACUUUCACACAUUCAUAUUCACAUAUUCUAGACAAUAAAUAUCACAUUCAAAUGCUUCAGUGGCUCGGUUUAGCGGUCCCGAAACCACUUCCCGACUAGGGUCAAUUUAGGGCUGUCACAACUCUCCCCCACUUUAAGAAAUUUUCGUCCCCGAAAAUCUUACCGGUAAAUAGGUUUGGGUAUCGUUCUUUCAUAGAGUUCUCGGGUUCCCAAGUAGCUUCUUCCAUCCCGUGUUUGAGCCAUAACACUUUUACUAAAGGAACCUUUUUGUUUCGCAACUCUUUUACUUCACGAGCUAGGAUACGAAUUGGUUCUUCUUCAUAACUCAUAUCGGCUUGAAUUUCAACCUCGGAGGGACUUAUUAUGUGCGAAGGAUUAGAUCUGUAACGUCGAAGCAUCGAAACAUGAAAAACAUUGUGGAUCCUUUCAAGUUCAGGGGGUAAAAGCAACCUAUAUGCAACUGGACCAACUCGUUCGGAGAUUUCAUACGGCCCAAUGAAUCUCGGACUAAAUUUGCCCUUACGGCCAAAUCUGAGUAUCUUUUUCCAAGGUGAAACUUUAAGAAACACUUUGUCCCCUACCUGAUAAAUAAUGUCUUUUCGUUUCAAAUCCGCGUACGACUUCUGACGAUCUGUGGCUGCCUUCAGACUUUCUCGGAUUACUUUUACUUUCUGUUUAGCAUCUUUAAUCAAAUCAACUCCGAAAACUUUACUUUCACCGAGCUCGGUCCAAAACAAUGGUGUACGGCAUUUACGACCGUACAAAGCCUCGUAAGGUGCCAUCUUAAUACUUGAUUGAAAACUAUUGUUGUAAGCGAAUUCAAUCAACGGUAAAUACCGCUCCCAUGAACCACUAAACUCGAGGAUGCAACAUCUCAGCAUAUCCUCAAGUAUCUGAAUUAUCCGCUCGGAUUGACCAUCGGUUUGGGGGUGAAAAGCGGUGCUAAAAUGCAACUUGGUACCCAAAGCUUCUUGCAAUUUCUUCCAAAAUCGUGAGGUGAAUCUCGGAUCUCUAUCCGACACAAUAGAAAUAGGUACCCCGUGUAAUCUCACAAUCUGAGAAACAUACAAUUCAGCUAGUUUAUCCAAUGAAAAGUCCGUGCGUACGGGGAUAAAGUGAGCCGAUUUAGUCAGUCUAUCAACAACAACCCAAAUCACAUCUUUCUUACUUGCUGACACUGGCAACCCAGAUACAAAAUCCAUCGUGACUCGAUCCCAUUUCCAUUCAGGUAUCAUGAUCGGCUGAAGUAAACCCGUAGGCACUUGAUAUUCCGCCUUCACUUGCUGACAUACUAAGCACUUCGAAGCAAAAUCGGAAAUGUCUCGUUUCAUACCAUGCCACCAAAACUGACGUCUCAGAUCGUUGUACAUUUUAGUACUCCCCAGGUGAAUUGACAUUCGGCUACAAUGAGCUUCGUUCAGAAUCAUCGAAAUAAGUUCUGAACUUCUUGGAACACACAAACGAUUUCUGAACCUCAAACAAUCGUCAUCAUCAAUUUGAAACUCUGAUUCCAUAUUCGAAACACAUUCAGCCCGUUUUGCAACCAGUUCAUCAUCGACUUUCUGAGCUUCACGAAUUUGAUGAAUCAACAAUGGUUUGGCCUUUAAUUCUGCCACUAACACAUUGUCGGAUAGAACAGACAUGUGUACAUUCAUCGCUCGUAAAGCAAACAGUGAUUUACGACUUAAGGCAUCUGCAACCACAUUAGCCUUUCCCGGGUGAUAGUCAAUGACAAGCUCAUAAUCUUUCAACAACUCAAGCCAACGCCUUUGUCGCAGAUUCAAGUCUCUUUGAGUCAUCAAAUAUUUGAGACUUUUGUGAUUCGAAUAUACAUGGCACUUCUUACCAAAUAAGUAAUGUCGCCAUAUUUUCAAAGUGAACACGAUGACAGCUAGUUCAAGAUCAUGGGUCGGAUAAUUUUUCUCAUGUGGCUUCAGUUGUCUCGACGCAUAAGCUACGACUCGACCCUCUUGCAUCAAUACGCAACCCAACCCAACUAGGGAUGCAUCACUAUAAAUGGCAAACUCUUUGCCUGAUUCGGGUGCACUAGUACUGGAGCUUCAGUCAAACAAGUUUUCAGUUGAUCGAAACUUUUCUGACACUUUUCUGUCCAUUCAAACUUAACAUCUUUCUGAAGUAGUUUCGUCAUUGGUGUGGCUAUCAUCGAGAAACCCUUUACAAAGCUUCUAUAGUAACUGGCAAGUCCCAAAAAGCUCCGAACUUCAGUAAUAUUUCUCGGAGGCUUCCAGUUAAGUAUGGCCGAAAUUUUGUUCGGAUCAACUCGAAUACCCGAUAUAGACACAUGACCCAAGAAGCUAACCUCUCUUAACCAGAACUCACACUUACUGAGCUUAGCAUAUAAUUGCUUAUCCCGUAAAGUUUGCAACACUAAUCCCAUGUGUUCAGCAUGAUCAGUUUCAUUUCUCGAAUAGACCAAAAUAUCAUCGAUAAACACAACUACAAACCGAUCCAAAUACGGUCUGAAGACCCGAUUCAUCAAAUCCAUAAAUACCGCGGGGGCAUUAGUGAGCCCAAACGGCAUCACUAAGAAUUCAUAGUGAACGUAUCUCGUUCUGAAAGCAGUUUUGGGAUAUCCGAAUCUCGAAUUCCCAACUGAUAAUAACCCGAUCUCAAAUCUAUCUUUGAAAACACCGAGGCUCCCUUUAGUUGAUCAAACAAAUCAUCAAUAUGCGGUAACGGAUAUUUAUUCUUUAUUGUCACCUUAUUCAGCGUACGAUAGUCGAUGCACAACCUCAUGGUUCCGUCCUUCUUUUUCACAAACAAUACUGGUGCACCCCAAGGUGAGAAACUUGGUCGAGCGAAACCUCUAUCCGUCAACUCUUGCAACUGAGCUUUCAACUCUUUUAACUCGGUUGGUGCCAUACGAUACGGAGCUAUCGAAAUUGGUGUAGCCCCAGGUACAAGCUCAAUACCAAACUCUACCUCCCGAUCAGGUGGUAAACCCGGUAAUUCUUCGGGAAAAACAUCCAGAUAUUCACAAACCACUGGCACAGAUUCAGGCUUCUUUUCUAAUUCCUUGUCAUCAAGUACAUACGCAAGGUAUGCUUCACACCCCUUUCUUACAUAUUUCUGAGCCAACAUCGAUGAUAUUACAGCUGGCAACCUAUUCAAGUCAGUAGACUCGACUCAGAUUACCUCGUUAUUUACACACCUUAAAUCGAUGGUUUUUCUUUUGCAAUUUACAAUUGCAUCAUGUACGGUCAACCAAUCCAUACCGAGGAUAACAUCAAAUUUGUCAAACAGUAAAAGCAUCAAAUCGGCCGGAAAACAGGAACCUCGGACUACUAGGGGACAUUUCUUGCACACUUUGUCGACAAGCACGUAACGACAUAAAGGAUUUGACACCCGAAUUACAAACUCAGUAGACUCAACAGGUAGAGUCUUACUGGAUGCUAAGGUUUCACAUAUAUGAGAAUGAGUAGAACCAGGGUCAAUCAAAGCAAUCACAUUAGUAUCAAAGAGAGUAAAAGUACCGGUAAUAACAUCUGGCGAGGAAGCAUCCUUACGUGCGCGUAUAGCAUAAACUCUAGCAGGAGCACGAGCCUCAGAUCUGGUUGUAGCAUCUCUAGACCCUCUCUGACCGCCACUAGCAUUGCCCGUGUUUCUAGAUGGCCUACCCCGAGCAGUAGUAGCACCAGGUUUCCCACUCUGAUUUACGUUCUGUUCAGACAAUCUCGGACAAUCUUUAAUAAAGUGGUCAGCUGAUCCGCACUUGUAACAGGAGCGGUCAUGGAAUCUACAACUCCCCGAAUGCCAUUUACCACAAUACUGGCGACCGAAGUGACUCGUACACUCAUAGGGGGUCGGUCGCGAUCUCGUCUAGAAAAACCCGAAGUGUCUCUAGACCGGCCUAAGUCAUCUCAAAAUUUCUUCGAUGACUGUUGGAAGGGCUUCCCCGAAGACCUCUUACGAAACUCCUUUGCUCCCACCUCAGCUUUUCUUUUCUCCAUACUGAGCUCCUCGGCUUUGCAAGCUCGCUCGACAAGUACCACAAAUUCUCGGAUUUCCAAAAUGCCAACAUAGAGCUUUAUAUCAUCAUUCAGCCCAUCCUCGAAACGUUUACACAUCACGGCUUCUGAAGAGAUACAUUCUCGAGCGUACCGGCUAAGCCUUACAAACUUUCGUUCAUAGUCGGUAACCGACAUGGAACCUUGUUUAAGUUCAAGAAAUUCCUUCCGUUUUUGAUCCAUGAAUCUCUGACUGAUAUACUUUUUCCGGAACUCAGUUUGGAAAAACUCCCAAGUUACUUACUCUCUGGGCACAACAGAAGUCAACGUAUUCCACCAAUAGUAGGCAGAAUCACGUAGCAAGGAGAUAGUACACUUUAGGCACUCAUCGGGUGUGCAAGAUAGCUCAUCGAGUACCCGAAUAGUGUUGUCCAACUAAAAUUCAGCUUGCUCGGCAUCAUCGCUGUCUGUAGCUUUAAAUUCAGUAGCCCCGUGUUUUCGGAUUCUAUCAACUGGGGGCUUAUUUGACCUUAUUUGGUCAGUUGCCGGAGGUAUUGUAGGUGCGGGGGUGGUAUUAGUCGGGAAUGGAGGUUGUGGAACAGCCGUAUUAGUUCGAAUGUAUUGGUUGAACCAAUCAUUCAUCACGCUAUAAAAAGCUUGUCUAGCUUCAUCGUUCGGAUUACUAGCAAUAGGUUGAGAGUCCGCCGGCGCUGAUCCUUGUGCGGGAGCAGGCGCUACACUCUCAAGAUCAUCAGCUACCGCUCGGUUGGGAUCGGGAUCCAUUACUAUAAAUAAACACAUUUUCAAUUGUCAGAAAUCACCACACUAUCAAAUAAUCGCAUAAUGGCAUGUAUAGCUAGACCCAAACGUAUUACGGUAGUCCUAGAAUCGAAUAAACCGUAGCUCUGAUACCAAUAAAAUUGUAACACCCCGUACCCGAGACCGUUUCCGGAGUCAAACACGAGGUAUUUACAGACUUAUUUCAUUGAUUUUCACAGUCCAUUUUAAAAUUUUCCAGACAAGCUGGCUAACUGCGUCACUGUUACCUUAAAAAUCAUAUCUUGAGUUACAAAACUCGAAAACCAGUUUCGUAAAUUUUACCUGAAACUAGACUCAUAUAUCCAUCUACAAAUUUUUUUCUAGAAUUUUUUGUCAAGCCAAUUAGUACAGUUUAUUAGUUAAAGUCUCCCCUAUUUCAGGGUUCGACUGCUCUGACCUUCAUGUGUUACGACUUAUAUAUCUUCCAGUACAGGGCUUCAUUACUUAUGCCGUUUGUUUCUAACGAAACUAGACUCAAAAAGGAAUCUAUAAAUAUAUGGCAUGACCUCUAACUAUCUCUGGUUAAUUUAUAGUGAAUUUCCAAAGUCAGAUCAGGGGAUCCAGAAAUCGCUCUGGACCUGUUCCACGAAAACUUAAAUAUCUCUUAAAAUACGACUCAUAUGUUUGUUUCGUUUCUUCCAUAUGAAAUUAGAUUCAUCAAGGUUCGAUUACAUAAUUUAUUCACUAUUUAAUUAUAUUCCUACUACUUUUAGUGAUUUUUCAAAUCCACACCACUGCUGCUGUCAGCAUCUGUUUUUAAGGUAAACUUUACCUAUUUCAUGGUUUUCCAUGAAUCAACUAGAAUUUGUCAUACAAAGCACCAAAAUGAUCAUGAUUAACCAUUCCAAUGGCUAAUCGUUACUAAACAUUUCCAUACCUCUCAAUGAACAACAUACAAAACGAUUAUAAUGCUAUACUCAAAGAGUAUAUAAGCCAUUUUCGCAUGGCUAUCCAAAUUUAUACAAAACCAAGGGUACAUGACCAACAACAAAAAGGGUAGUCCUAUACAUGCCAUUGUCAGAGUUCAACCAAAAAUGUACCAAAAGGGCUUUAAUAGUGUGGACGACUUCGACUUCGACAAUCCCGAGUCCGAUAGCUGACGAACCAAAAUCUAUAAAACAGAGAAUCAAAGAAACGGAAUAAGCAUUUAAUGCUUAGUAAGUUUUGAGCAAUGAAAUCAUGCACAACUGAAGUAUAGCAUUCAUACGACUAAACGAAUAAUUUCAUAUACACAUUUUCUCACAAUCAUACCUACUUCACAUUUCAAACCAUUAUAUUCAUACAUAAGAAAUCAACUUGACUAAAAGCUGGAAGCUUGUUAAUCGAUUGAGCAAGUACUAUUUAGAAGGAAUCAAUUAUCUCAAUGCACAUACGAAACAUACCUCAUUGUUGGGAUUUUACGAGAGUAUUAAUUGAAAUUAUUACAGCAAGAUCGGUCAUUCCCAAACCCAAUUAUCUUCGGGAUUUAGCCGGAUAUAACCACUCGCACAAGGCCUUCGGGUCUUAGUCCGGAUAUGGUCACUAGCACAAAUGCCUUCGGGACUUAGCCCGGAUAUAGUAACUCGCACAAAUGCCUUCAGGGCUUAGCCCGGAAUUAGUAACUCGCACAAAUGCCUUCGGGACUUAGCCCGGAAUUAGUAACUCGCACAAAUGCCUUCGGGACUUAGCCCGGAAUUAAUCACUAGCACAAAUGUCUUCGGGACUUAACCCCGUUAGCAUCCGAAUAUUCAUGCACAUAUCAGUAAAUCAUGACACAUCUUUAUUUCAUUUUCAUAACUAGAAUUCAAACACAAAUCAAUUAUUAAGCAUUCCCAUUUUCGCCUCAAUAGCCACAUACGAACAGCAUGAUUCGGCUUGCUUCAUGACAAGAUUUCUAUGCACAUACGGCUACCCAUCAUACGUAUAGACUAAUUAACUCAACACAUAAUUCAAGUAGAAUCAUUAUAUCACCGUAUAUUUGUUAUGAUUAUACGUCAUGACUUAAUCAAAUCGUAAACUAAGUUUCAUUACUCGAAAACUUACCUCGGAUGUUGUCGAACGAUUUCGACGGCUAUUCGAUCACUUUUUCCUUCCCUUUAUCGGAUUUAGUUCCCUUUUGCUCUUGAGCUUAAUUUAACAAAUAAAUUGAUUUAAUCAUUUGAACAUCAAAAAGAGAAACUCAAGGUACUUAACCCAUAUAUACAUUAGACAUUAGAGUCAUAUAUAUAUGAAAUCAUGAAUCAACUCAACAUAUUAGCCCACACUCUCUUUUAGCCGAUUAUCUAAGCCAAGAUAAACGCAUCAAUAUGCUUGCCUCUAACCGAAUACAUGCAACACCAAUCUACCUCAUGUGGCCGAAUAUGCAUGUCUAUGUUGAGGCCGAUUAUAUGCUUAAUACAUUCUACAAAUAUGGUCACUUGUAUUGACUAAUUACCAUUUUGUUUCAAGUUCAAAGCUCGGCUAAAACACCUAUAUACACUAGUAAUCAAAUACUAACAUUUGCACUUCACCUUAAUAGCUAACUUAGCAACCCUUAAUUUAACAUAUAAUUGUUCAUAACAAAAUUAGAGCGUCCUCUCCAUUCCAUCAAUUCAAAACACAUACAUUACUCAAUAAUAUUCAAAGUCACAUUCGGCCUUAGCACACAACUUCUCUACUUCAUCUAACAUGAACAACAACUAUAUUUCUCUUCCACUUCCUACCAUGGCCGAAUGCUUCAUGAAGUUGCUAAGACCUACCUUUUUCAAAUUCUCAUACACACUCACAUCCAAUCCUUUUUGUUGAGCAGUCAAACUCUAUCAUCUCCCUUACAUAGCAAAGAUUUAAACCAUGGGCUAGGUAGAACUCAAGCUAACAACUAAAAAUAUACAUGAAUCUCAUGGAGCAACAUCAAACAUACCUUAGCCUAGUUACAUGCAUGGCCGAACCUCUUCAACCUUUCUUCUUCCUUCCUCCUUAGAAUUUUCGGCCAAGGAUGUUAAAGGAUGAACAUUUUUUUUUCUUUUCUUUGUCUAGUCACGGCAAUGGGGAGUAAGGGGGGGACAACUUUGGUUUCUCCUCCCACUCACCUCAUGUUUUAUCAUUCUUAAUUCACUAUUUUAUUUUCUAAACCUAUAAUGCUAAUAGGAAAUUCAUAUUAUCAUCUAUGACCCAUCCAUGGCCGGCCACUACUCAAAAUAAAUGGAUAUUUGACAUGCAAACCCUUCAUUCUUAUAACAUGCAUUAAUAGGCCACUUACAUUUGCCUAGCACAUUUCUAAAUUUUCUCACAUAAGUCCUAUUAACUAAAUUCACAUGCAAUCGACUAAAUCGAAGCUUAAAACUUUCACACAUUCAUAUUCACAUAUUCUAGACAAUAAAUAUCACAUUCAAAUGCUUCGGUGACUCGGUUUAGCGGUCCCGAAACCACUUCCUGACUAGGGUCAAUUUAGGGCUGUCACAGAGUCUAUCCAGCAUUUGGUCUAAAAACGGCAAAGGGAAGUGAUCCUUCCUAGUUGCCUUGUUCAACUUCCGGUAAUCGAUGUAGAUUCUCUAUCCCGUAACUGUUCUAGUCGGUAUCAACUCGUUAUUCUCAUUCUCUAUGACCAUGAUACCUCUUUUCUUUGGUACGCACUGGACUGGACUUACCCAUGAACUGUCUGAAAUGGGGUAAAUGAUACCCGCAUCUAACCACUUGAUAAUCUCUUUUUUCACUACGUCCUUCAUGAUGGGGUUCAGCCUUCGUUGUCCAUCGAUCAUCUCUUUUUCACCAUCUUCUAGGAUGAACUUGUGCAUGCAUACAGAUGGACUAAUACCGCGAAUAACGGCUAUGGUCCAUCCAAUAGCCUUCUUAAAUUGUUUCAGAACUAAGAUAAGUUUCUCUUCUUGCUCAAUAGUUAACUCUGCUGAAACAAUCACGGGAUUGUGGAUUAAAUCCUUUUUGAUUAGCUUCUAGCAAAACUAAGUUUUCAUCCUCCUAUUCAUCACUUGGAGGGUCUGAUGUCAAAAUUCUUUCCAGAGGAUCCUCAACAAAGUUGAGUUCCUUCUCCACUAUGAAAUCCUCUAAGUCAGAUACUACAGAACAAUCAUCUAUUGCGUCAGAAAAUCGCAUUGACUUGAAAACAUUAAAUGCUACUUGAUCGUCCUGAACGCGCAUAGUAAGUUCGCCCUUCUGCACAUCAAUAAGUGUCCUUCCGGUUGCUAAGAACGAUCGCCCCAGGAUAAUUGGUACUUCUUUGUCUGCUUCGAAAUCUAAAAUUACAAAAUCUGCAGGAAAUAUAAACUUAUCUACACGUACCAAUACAUCCUUGAUUUUUCCUUCUAGAUGUGCUAAGGAUCGAUUUGCUAGUUGAAGUGUAACCGUAGUAGGUCUAACUUCACCUAUCCCCAACUUCUUAAAUAUCGACAUCAGCAUCAAGUUGAUACUUGCACCCAAGUCACAUAGUGGCUUACCACAAUAAGUUGUUCCAAUGUUGCAUGGUAUGGUAAAACACCCAGGAUCCUUCAGCUUAGGGGGUAAUUUGUCUUGAAGAUAUGCACUGCAUUCCUUCGUCAAAGCUACCGUCUCAAAUUCUCCAAGUCUUCAACCAACGGGAUGUUGAUAUGAAGUUGCUUGAGUACGUCAAGGAACUUCUUGAAUUAGACCUCAUGUUUUUGCUUCUGGAGUCUUUGUGGGUAAGGUGGUGGAGGUUUAUAUACUGGAGUUUGUACUAGUUAAUUUGUCUUUAGCGGCAAUUUUGCUGCUAACGGAGUGGUUGGCUGAUCAGAGUUGGCUAGUUCUGAGGUUACCUUUUCAGGUCUUGCAGGUUCUGGUUCUAGUGGAACUGGAACUUCAACACUCGGUUGAACUUCUUCCAAAUCUUGAGCUUCAGCAUGCUCCUUUCAGCUUCAAUGAUGUUGGGCUCUACCAUUUUUUCUCUCCUUAAUGUUAGUGCUUUACAAUGCUCCUUCCCUGGAUUUCUCAGAUUUUCCGUAUCACUAGGUAGAGCACCCUGUGGACGGUUCCUAAGUUCAGUAGCAAGCUAGCCUACUUGAUUCUCCAAAUUCCUUAAAGUGGCGUCAUUCUUUGCCAUGUAUGCAUUCAAUAAAUUCUCUAAGCUAUUGGACGAUUCAGCCUAAACUGGUUUCUGAACUUGCUGUGAAAAACUAGGCAACUGGGUUGGUCUAGGUUGGGCGUAGUUGUUACUGCCUCCAGCCCCUUGGUUACUCUAGGAAAGAUUGGGGUGAUUUCGCCACAAUGGGUUGUAAAAGUUGGAUUGCAACCCUUGCCUUCCUCAGUUCUAGUUCUGAUUACCUAUGUAGUACAUGGAUUUUGGGUUUGACGGACAUUCUUCAAACACAUGUACUUCCCCACAAUAGACACAGGCUAUAUUCUCAUAUUGGUUAGGUGGUUGAGCUGCAAAACUAUUAGACCCAUUAGUGAUAAGAUUCUUUAACAUUGAAGAUAUCGAAGAUACCUGGGAUGCAAGUGAAGUGAGGGCGUCCACUUCAUGGAUUCCGGCAGCUCGUCUUCCUGACGUUGCUCGAUUGGUUGGCCACUGAUAAUUGUUACUGGCGAUCCUCUCGAUGAUUUCAUAAGUCUCAUUGUAAGACUUAGAUAAGAUAGCACCGUUAGCAGAAGCAUCUACUAUCAUCCUUGUGUGAGUGUUGAGACUAUUGUAAAAUGUCUCAAGUUGGAUGCAAUGCGGAAUUCCGUGAUGAGGGCACUUUCGUAAUAACUCUUUGAAUCUUUCCCAUGCCUCAUACAAGGACUCAUCAUCCAUUUUUUGGAAAGCAGUAAUCUCAUUUCUCAGCUUAGCAAUCUUGCUAGGCGGGAAGUACUUCACAAGAAAUCUCUCUGCUAACUCUUGCCAUGUAGAAAUUGAGUUCGGUGGUAGUGAGUUUAACCAGGCUCGAGCUCUGUCCCUCAGCGAGUACGGGAAUAGUUUUAAUCGUAAUGCAUCUUUAGGUACUCCAGCUAGCUUGAAAGAGUCGCUCACCUCCAUAAACAGUCUUAAAUGAAGAUGAGGAUCUUCAGUAGGCAUUCCACUAAACUGGCACACUGUCUGAAGCAUCUGGAACAUGACUGGCUUCAGCUCGAAUUGUUGUGCCUCGCUCUCGAGUCUUCUAAUACCUGGAUUAAGGUCAUUAAAAACUAGCACGGUGUAGUUUCGUAAAGCUCUAUCCCUAUCAUCAGCAAUAAGGAUAAGAUUUUGAGCAAGGUUUGCUCUAUUUCCUUGAUUGAUAUUCUCGAAAUUCAUCUCUUCAGUCCUUCUUUGGUUCGCUUGUCUUCUUCGUUGGCGAAAGGUUCGUUCUAUUUCAGGGUCCACUGGGAGUAAGUCGAUAAUUUGGUCAAUACUCAUAAACACCUAAAAUAAUCAGAGAAGAAUUAAUUAAGUAAGUAAAAUUGAACAGGAAAAUAAAAGAACCAAAAUGUAAAAAUAAAUUCACAAAUAUUUUUUUUUUAAAAAUAGUCCCCGGCGACGGCGCCAAAAACUUGGAAUGGUGGAAAUGUGCAAGUGUACACAAUCGUAACAAGUAAUAAAGUGACAAGUAAAUGUCGAGUUAUUGUAUCCACAAGGACUAUAAAAAACAAUAUUUAUGAAAUUAAUUUAAACACUUUGGUGAGGUAAAAAUAAUUUUGGUUUGAAAAGAGUGAUUUAUAAACUAAGAUUUUAAAACUAAGCAAACAAUUUAAAUAAAAUAAAAGAGUUCUAGUGCACGAUUUCAACUAAGAUUUAAUCAAGAUGACAUAAUUGUGUUGGAUUAAUUAUACCUUUUUAACUUAGAAAUAUUAAAUUCGUGCUUAUGCUGUUAUGAAUUAAUUCACGGCAACCCAGUAAUUUGCUAACUUAUGAACAUAUUUACUAAUUAAAAGAAUUCCAUUUAUCUCUUGAACAUAUCCCUAUGCCAAUUCAACCGACUAAAUAGAUUUAAUAAAGUAAACAUGCUAUCGCACAUACAUACUUAUUGAAUUAAAUUAUCUCUCGCAUAUUCCUAUGUCGAUUCAACUGAUUAAUUAAAAUUAAUAAACAUGUAAAAGAUUCUGUGAAGUAACAAAGUAGCCAUACCUUGAAACAAUUUAAUCACAACAAUCUUACAAGUUAUGCAAGGCAUAUGUAUUGCCAAAUACAAUGCUGAUUUAAUUUUCAGUUACCUUAGAAGAAUUAAACAUGCACUGAUUAAGUACUGAGUCCAUUAAUUGCAAUUUCAAUCCGUUUAAACAAUUAAUUCUUUAGUUAUCUAAACAAUUAUAAUGCCAGAUAACCUAAGCAUGAUUUUACUUAAUCAAGCAUUUCACUGAGGCCUAUAACAACAUAAACACUAAUUUAAUAAUUCAAGUAGGCAAAAUAUAAUCAACCCAACACGAAUUAAAUUCAAGAUAAAUUGAUUAAAAUAACCAUUUCAACAACAAUAUUUUUCAUAGAUAUGCUCAUCAUAAAAAUAACAGAAAUAAAAAAGAAAGGGAACAGAAAGCAAAUCCAGUGUUUCUCUGCAGCUUGACUGUUGCUCCAUUCUUAGUCUCCGUUGUCUUCACCGAGGAAGGCUUUUAUGAAUCCUUGAUUGCAGCCCAAGAUGGCUGAAGAGCACCUCUUUCUCAAGAGAGGAAAUCGGCACAAGAGGAGGGGAAAAUGGGAUGAAAAAAUGGAGAGGAAACUUUGAGAGAAGUGAAGAGAGGAUGAGAGAAUGUUGUGGAAUGAGGGAUGUUGAGGGAUGCUUUGAAAUGGGAAGCAUAGGGUGGCUUUUAUAGCUGAAUAUGGCUGCCAAAAAUAGCAAAUUCAGCAGCCAAGAGAGCCGUCCCAUGGCCGGCCACACACAUGGCAAGGUUGAAGCUUUCAACCUUGCUAAAAAUAGGCUGGGGCAAAUCUACAAAGCCUAAAAUAAAGGUGGGGUUUGAACGUAAUUUGGAGGUUUUUCAAGGGCCUUUUUGCAAGCAUAUUUUAUCAGCUAAUUUUCUGAUUUGGGUCAGCCAAUGGAGAGUUCUGGUCAGCCCAAUUAGUGGCUGGUUCGGCUCACUCCAUUCGGUUCAACCAGUGCGGUUCACUAGGCUCUUUCUUCAUAAUUAAUUAAAAUUAAUUCAUUUAACCUAAAUUAAAUAGGAAAUAAAUUAAAAUUAAUUUAAUUAUGAAUUAAUACACAUUUCUGGACCGUCUUUGGCUGGAAAUUAAUUGGCCUCGAUACUUCAAAUUACUCUCGGUUUAGUUCUUCUCGCAGUGUUCACCGGGCCCUUUUUCUCCAAUUGUGUAAUUCUGUCAAAAAUAACCAAAUUUAAUCAAAAUUAAUUAUAAAAUUAAUUAAAAUUCAUAUUUUUUCAUAUUUUUAACAUAAUUUAAUUAUUUUAUAAUAUUUAAUUAUUUUUCGACAAGAAUUUAACCGGAAUAGCCUGGUUUUAAGUUAAAAAGAGUAUGAAAAAGUAUAUAAAUUUUUGUGUUUCCAAUCGCACAAAGAUAAUUCUGCUGCUUUUUCUUGGAGACUUCCUCCAUAUGGUUGGUUAAAACUCAAUGUAUGCGGUAUAGCGAUAGAGGACAAAGCGGGGUGUGGAGGUAUUUUGAGAGAUUUGGAGGGGAUUGCUAGAGGGUUAUUCUAUGGUGCUGCAGAUUCAUAUGUUGUUGAGGAAGCUGAGAUUGGAGCGGUGAAAAUGGCUCUCGAAGUGUUUGCAUCUAUAAACUGGAAGUCUUCUAAUUCACUAGUAAUUGAAGUUGGCUCUUCGGUGGUGUUCUCUUGGUGUAUCAAUAAGGGGUUGAGACCUUGGUCGCUUCAGACAACUUUUUCAAAAAUUGAAUAUGCUAAGCGUAAGGUUGGAACCAUUGUCUUCUCUUUGGUGAAUAGGAAUGGUAAUGACAUGACGUUCUCAUUGGCUUUGGCGGGUGUGAAUCUGACACAAGUGUUUAAAAUAGGUGGUAAUUUUUGCUUUGUUUAGUGUUUUAUUAUUGCUGGAACUAGGCUUUUAAUUUUUCUGCAUAAAUUUUCUUAUUUGGAUUCUGCUCUGUUUUGUUCCUGACAACAAAGUAGUGUGAAUGAAGCGAAAAAUAAAUAUAUCAAAUAAAGAUUUUAAAUUUAUAUGUAAGUAAAUAAUAAGCUUAUUGAUGACAAAACUUUUUCUCAUGCAUGCAUGUUGUUAACUGGCUGGUCCGAGACACAUAUGUGUAUAUAUAAAUAUAUAUCAAUCAGUCUAACUUGUCAAAAUCAAUUUAUUUACCUUAAGUCGGCUACAAAACCACGACAAUGAAGGAUUACAAAACAAAAGAAAACACGACAUAAAAAAAAUAAAGAUGGACCUAUCACAUAACCCAUAACACAGGACAACAUUUCACACUCUAGAGCAACAUUAAUAUUACUCUUUAACGUAAGUUAGACUAGUUGCUUUAAAAUUUAAACCCCUCCAGCAAAGUUCAAGAAACUAGUUGCUUUAAAAUUUUAACCAUCCAGCAAAGUUCAAGGAAAGUGGACGACACCAGGCGCAUUGCCAAUGCCAACACCACCUUCAUUUCCACCACCAGCGCCAGGCCCACCUCCAUACCCAACACCUACCAUGGCGCCCAUCCCACCUGUACCACCAAGGCCAGUCAUACCAUCAACACUCCCAACUCCACCCAUUGGCAUGCCAUUUGAACCCAUGCCAGAGUAGCCGCCAAUGCCACCGUAUGUGAGGAGGUUCUUUUGGUCAUUGAGACCAGCAGCAUCGCUAGGCACAUUCCUUGCAGUAGCUUGAACCACUACUAGAGCAAGAACAAGCACAACAUUCAAGUACUUGGCCAUAUAUGAUAUUUAACUAUAAUAAGUAGAAGAAUUGAAACUCUUAACUCAGUAGAUCACUCUAUGAUGUCUUGCCUCUGUGGUUGAGGAGGAUCUCCUUUUAUAGGACAAAGUAGAUAGCUAUAGUUAGAUGGGAGAGCAUUGUGGGAAUUCAAUGGAGUUUAAUGUGAGCGCUAAGUAUUUGGUGCCUCAGUCUAAAUGUUUCUCUUUUGAGAUUGAACGCGCUUUAUUUUCUCAAUCAUUACAAUUUUGGUUAUUAUUUAGGUAUUAUGUAAAAAUAUAAUAAUAAAUAAUAGUCAUAAAUUAGUUGGCAAAAUUAAUAAAUUUUGGUGGUAAUAAAUUGUUAAUUAGGUGGAUUCUUUUAAUUUAUUACAGCUGUGAAUUGUAGUUGUAGUUGAGCAAUAAUAUAUGAUAGCCAUAUGUAAACAUCUACCAUUCGCUAACUCAUUGUAUUUCUAUCUUCCUAAGCUCUCUCAUUCACUAUUGUGUUCGUGCAUCUAUAUGUAGUCAUUUAGAUCAAAAUGUUCUUUUACAAAUUUAUUAAUUUAAUUAAACAUUUUUACGAAAGAUGAAAUAUUUAAAUAUUACAAACGAAUUUAAUAUGAUGAUACAUUUAAAAAUCUAAUUAAAAAUAUAAAACAUGUAAUCAUUUCUUUUAACUCUUUGUGACCCAUCCUAAAUAAAAAAUAUAUUUAUUCAUGAUCAAGUAAGCUUAAGUGAAAUUGCAAAAUAUGGGCAUCAUAAUUUUUUUAAAGAGUGUGGAAUUCAAAUUUAAUAGGUUAUGUGUCGAUUGGGUUUUAAUUUAAUUGGUAUGAGUAUUAUUGUUGAUACAGGAGGACGUUGAUUUGAGUAAGUUAAAGUGAAUUAUCCUCCUAUUUAUGAGUUGAGGAGAAAUUAUGGGUAAUUCUAAAUAUUAUAUAUAAUAAAAAAAAUAAGCUAAGUAUAAGGCAAAAUCAAUUCUCAGUCAUGAUGAGUAACUCAAAAUAGCUAGGAUUUAUUAGUAAUAAUAUGUAAUCCAUAUCUAAUAUAAAAUUAUAUUUGGGAGUUAUUGAAAUUAAUAGGAUAAUUUAGGUGUUUUAAAAUAGUAAUAAGGGAAAUAUAGAUGUUUUGAAAAAAAUAUUAAUUAAAUAUCUAUAAUUUUAUAAUCUCUAUUAAACUUUGAAUUAAAUAAAAAAUAGGAAUAAAUAUGGAUACUUUAGGCAAAAUAAAAUUUUAUGAAUUAUGUUUUUUUUUAAUUUUAAAUUUAUUAGUUUUAUUACCUAUUUUCUAUCUUUAUCUAAUAAAAUAUAAAACCAAGCAUUAAGAGAGUUUUACAUAAUAAAAUAGAAUCAAACUGGAUAUCUCCUUUAUAAUUUUUUUUUUUUUUGUGAAAGAUCAAUUGGGCUUUUAUAAAAUACUAAAACAGAAAUACAUAAAAAGAUAGUCACCCAUCAUGGGCUAAGACCCAAAGAAAGAAGCAAAUAAACUUGAAGAAAUAAAGAAUCAGGCCCCUAAACUAAAGGAAAAUUCAAAAAAAAAAAAGAAAACUUAAUUGAUUGUCCUGUCAAUCACCACAGCUGGAUGCCAUUAUUCCUUGUCUUUUCAUUUCAAUUCACCAUUCCAGCUUUUAUGAUACCAGUUCCCAAAACUUAUCUUUUUACUUUUGCUAUCAAUUUCUUUGAAAACCUCUCUCGUCUCUUUCAUCUCGUCUCUUCUGCUCUCAACUUGGCUGCCUUAAUCUCCGAUUUUCCUUCUCGCGACGAGCAUGGCCUGGUCCUCCCCUUGCAGGUAAUAUCCUACUCCCCUCUUCAAGGCUUCUUUGGCAAGGAAAUGAGCAUAACCAUUUUCUGAUCUAGGGAUAAAAUGAAACUCGAUAUUCUGAAAAUAUGUCUUUUUGCUUUGGAUGUCUCUGAUGAGCGCUCCUAUAAUCGAUUUGUCUGGAUCUUUUGUUUGGCAUUUCUUUAUCACUGUUUUUGAGUCCCCCACUAUUUGUAAACUGUUAAAACCCAUGGAAAUGGCUAACUGCACCCCUUAUAACCCUACAUGUGCUUUCGUUGCGAAUGGUGUCGGUAUAUCGGAGUGGAUAACUGUUUUGGAUACCAAGAUCUCACCCCUCUCAUCACGUAUUGCCAGACCCGAAGUUGAUCUGAAGGAUCUCUUGUCAAAAGCCGCAUCAAAGAAGGCUAUAACGCCCCGUACCCGAGACCGUCGCCGGAGUCGAACACGAGGUGUUAAUAGACUUAAUUCAUUACUUAAACAACUCAAACAAUUUAUUUUUAAAAUUUUCAGUCAAGCUAACAAUCUGCGUCAUAGUCAUUUAAAAAUUCAUAUAUCGAGUUACGAAAUUAGAAAUCCAAUUCCGUAAAUUUUUGUUGAAACUAUACUCAUAUAUAUAUUUACUAAUUUUUUAUAGAAUUUUUGGUCGAGCAAAUUAGUAUAGUUUAUUAGUUAAAGCCUCCCCUGUUUCAGAGUUUGGCUGCUCUGACUUCUGUGUAUUACGAAUCAAAUAUCUCCCUGUACAGAGUUUCAAUGACUAUACCGUUUGCUUCUAAUAAAAUUAGACUCAAUAAGGAAUCUGUACAUAUAAAUUAUGACUUCUAAUUAUCUUUGAACAAUUUAUGGUGAAUUUCCAAAGUCAGAAUAGGGGAUCCAGAAAUUGUUCUGGCCCUGUUUCACAAAAAUUCAAACAUCUCAUAAAAUAUAACUCAUAUACCUAUUUUGUUCCAUCCAUAUGAAAAUAGACUCAUAAUUCUUCAAUUCCAUAUAUUAUUCAUCAUCUAAUUAUAACUCUACUAUUUUUAGUGAUUUUUCAAACUCACGUCACUGUUGCUGUCUGAAUCUAUUUUAUGGUAAAUUUUACCUAUUUCAUGGUUUCCAUGGAUUAGCUAGCAAUUUAGCAUACAUAAUACCAAAUAUGAUCAUGAUUAGCCAUUCCAAUGGCUAAUCAUUACCAAGCAUUUCCAUACCACUCAAUAACCAUAUCAUAAGAUCAUAUACACAAAAUGAUUAUAAUGUUAUAUAUGCCAUACUCAAAAUAUACAAGCCAUUAUGCCAAGAUGGUAUACGGAUAGUGUGAGCGUGCCGCCGACCGUUUCCGAUUUCCAAGCUGGCUUAUCAACACUACAAGGAAUGAAAAGGAGGGAGUAAGCAUAAAUGCUUAGUAAGUUCACAUGCAAAUAGCAAGUAACAUAACUAUAUAAGCAAACAUAAAACAUCAUUUACAUAAUCAUCACCGAGACAUUCAUAUCACAUUUUCAUUUAUCAUCUUACCAUAUUUUUGUUAUAUCGAGUUUUCAACCCGAGGGUUAAGUACAUACCUGUUCAAAGUAUUCAUUUCACAACACUUACCAAUACAUCCCUUUCAUCUCGAGUAUUCCUCCGCUUGAGUAAAAUUUUACCCGUUGAACACAUCGAAAUAUAAUUCGGAUACAUGGAAAGUUUGCACAUAAGUGCCACAUAUGUAGCCAAGUUACUAUGUAACCCGCCCAUAAGCUAACUCGGACUCAACUCAACGAGCUCGGGCAUUCUCAUCCACAAGUAAACUCGGACUCAACUCAACGAGCUCGGAUGCCUAAUUACAUCUCUCGAACUCAGACUCAACUCAACGAGUUCGGACAUUCGCAUCCAUAAGUGAACUCGGACUCAACUCAACGAGCUCGGAUGCCUAAUUACAUCUCUCGAACUCGGACUCAACUCAACGAGUUCGGACAUUCACAUCCAUAAGUGAACUCGGACUCAACUCAACGAGUUCGGAUGCCCAAAUAUCCUAGUGACAUGUCACUUGUAUCCUAAUCUAUUCCUAAGGUUCAACGGGACCUUUUUCCCAAUCAUGUGUCUCAACUAUCUUCAACGGAAUGCCAAUACCGAUACUCGGUAGUAUUUCACAUUUUCCAAGUAUAUCACACAAUUUGACAUAUUAUCAAACAAUUAUCACGAGUAUAAUAUUUCAUAAUAAUUAUCAUAUCAUUUAAAUAACAUAAAAACAUUUAAAAUAAUAACUAUGUUACCAACAUUUACAUAUGAACUUACCUCGUAUGCGAAAAUGGCUACUUUUACCAUUUCGUCCACAACUUGAUAUUUUCCACAUUUUAGCCCGAAUUUCAGUUUUCCUUGCUCUAUCAUUUAAAAUAUAGUCUAAUUAGGACUCACAUUAUUCAAAUUGACCCAAAAUCAUAUUUUGGCAAAAUUAUAGUUUUGCCCCUAAACUUUUGCAUAUUUACACUUUUGCCCCAAAGCUCGUAAAUUAAACUUCAGCCUAUUUUCUUAUGUUUUAUGACAUGCUGAUCAUUUUUCCCUUCUAUGGCAACAUCAAAUUCUCACUCUAACAUGUAUUUAUGACUAUUAGGUAUUUUUACCGAUUAAGCCUUUUUGCUAGUUUUCACUUAAAACCGAGUAGCACAAGUUGUCUAACAUAAUUUAAAACCUCAUAUUCUAUCAUAAAACACCAAAAUACACAAAUUUCACCUAUGGUUAUUUUUCCAAAUAUAAACCCUAGGUUAAAUUAUUGCUAGCAUAAGCUUAACCGAGCUACCGGGACUCCAAAAACGUAAAGAACUUGAAAAACGGGGCUAAAAUGGACUUACAAUCGAGCUUGGAAGCUUGAAAAACCCUAGCCAUGGUUUCUCCUUGCUAUAUUCGGCCAUGGGGUUGAAUAUGAGCAAAAUUGGCUUUUCAUUUUGUAUUUUAAUUCAUUUUACCCCUAAAUGAUCAAAAUGCCCUUACUACUAAACUUUCCAAAAAUUUCAUCCAUGUCCAAUUUUUGUCCAUAGACUUAGAAAUUGGUAAAAUUUCUAUUUAAGACCUCCUAAUUAAUAUUUCAAAACAAUUUCAUACUAGAAACUUCUAAAAUGUAAGUUUUACAAAUUAUUCGAUUUAGUCCUUAAUUUCAAUUUAAGCACUUUACGCAUAAAAUUUCUUCACGAAAUUUUCACACAAUCAUGCAAUCAUAUCAUAGACCUCAAAAUAAUCAUAAAAUAAUUAUUUCUAUCUCGAAUUUUGUGGUCACGAAAUCACUAUUCCGACUAGGCCCAAAAUCAGGAUAUUACAACUCUCCCCCCUUUAGGGAUUUUCGUCCCCGAAAAUCUUACCAGAAAAGUGGUCUUCACUUAGAUUCCUCAAUUUCAUAUUCGGUGCUGAAGAACUUUCACUCAGGCGGUGCCUCCAAUAUAUCUCAUUAAUUUCUCAUAUAUUCUGAAAGUUUACGAACUGAUCUCUUAAUUGUUCUUAAAUUUUCAACCCUUCUCCGUUUCCCUUGUCAUCUUGACAUAAAACCAGAUCUCAAUUUGGUUAAUAGAGACUAGAAUUCCAAGAAAUUCAACAAUAAAAAAGACUUGAAAUUCUACGAAUCUGAUGAGUAGGAAUUCAUUCAAUACCGAUAUGAUUUAUAGAUCUCGCCAAAUAUUUAACAAUAGGAUACAUCACAUUUUCCUCUUUCAGCUAUGGAAAUAAUUCUGAUAUGGCCUCAAGAGUAAUCCUUCUCAUUUCCAUCCCAAUAUCAACACUAACAAGGAUAAUUUUGAUAGAUCCCAAUGCUCGGCUUUAACCCCUUUAACAACUCCGAUUUUAUGUGACAUCGAAUGCUCUAAACUAUCACAUUACCUCACUGUCUUGAAACACAUCACAAUUCAUACAACAGUACAUUACUGAAAGUCAGGAAGUAUUUGCUCAAUGUAGACUAGUCUAGUUCAGACGCUUCGGUUACCGAUAUUCUCAUCUAUCCGAACUCUGUCAACAUGUAAUAAACUUUUCAGCUUUCACAAGACGAAAACCAUAUCAUUCGUAGUGACUUUAACUAAUAUCCAACUCUUUCUAAUAAAUAUACACUUCUCAUUCAGACUAUUUACUCUUUUAUCAGUACAAAAUAAAAUUCUAUUAUCAGACUUGAGAAAAAUAAUCCUGACAUAAUUGUCACAUGAAAUCUUUCAAAUAAAUAAUUCACCAUACCGACUGAAACUCGCGCUUUUAUCACUUAUGCAUUUACUGAUGUCAAAUCCUUACACAAAAAUUAGAAAAAUCCCAAUAGUAAAAUCACCACAUUACCAAAAUCAAAUUAGAAGUAUAGUUAUAUUUGACAUGAUUAUCACGAGCUGAAGAACGCACUUCGAACAUGAGUCAUAAUUGACAAAUUAUGGAACAAAGAUAACAAGAAAACAGAAUAAAAAAUCCAGAAUAAAGAGAUCCAGGAUAAAGAAACCCAAGAUACGAUAUUAUGCCGGAGAAUCCAAAACCAAACUCAUAGAGAAAAUACAGAAUACCCCGAUAAUUCUUCAAAGAAAGAAAGUCCAAAAGAAAAAAUCAUUUAAUCCCACUGGAAUCAAAUAUAACAAGAACAAUAUAUCUUUCCAUACAUAUAUAUCAGAUAAAGCAUCAAGUAGAAGAAACAGAAACAUAAUAUCUUACGUAUUCUCUCAUCAAUUCUUAUCAGACGAAAUGAAAUAGAAAACCCGAUGAAAUAGAGCAAUAUAAAUUAUAAACCAGUCAAACUACCAAUGCUUUCAUCCAACACCAGAAUUAGAAGACAUUCCUAUAUAACAAGAAUUUCUUCAGAAGAUCAAUAGCCAUAGAAAUAUUUCUGAGAACGGGUAAACACAUAGAACAUCUCAAAAGAGACUGCUAAAUCUGUCUAGUCAUAACUAUCACACUCAGAUAGUUCACAUUUCAAAUAUCAUUUCCCCAACUAGUUCUGCCAUCACAAAUUUCAUAUUAAACCAUUCACUAAAGAAGGCUAGUUCUGAAUAAAUUUCGAUUUACACUUUUCUCGACCUUGCACCUGAGUAAUUCGAUUUACCAAAGAGAAUUCCUUCUCUAAUUGGGAUAGUGCAUAACUCCAAUAAUCUUUACGUCAAUCCGAUACUUUACUGGCUCUGACUUUACUUAUCAGCUCAUUUUCAAUCUCUGAUCAUACUUAUAAUUAUUCUAUCACUAAACUCUUUGGGUUCUCAACCGGAAACUUAUUCAAUACAAAUCUCAUGAAAUUCCAUUAUAAGUACCACUUCGGUAAGGGGGAGGGGUUGUAGGACCUCUGACUCGACUUUCUUAUACAUACACAUAUGACAUAACUCCCAUCAUCAUAGCAACAUCAUCAAAAUCAUGUCAUUCAUUCAGGCAAUGCAACAUUCAUGUUGGCUUACACAAAUUUUCCUAUUGUCCAUUUAGACAAUAUACUUAUGCAUACAUUCUAUGUUUUCUAGAUAGCUUUACUUAUCCAUUCAUUUAAUUAAAUUAAGUCAUGCUCAUGACAUCAUAUAAGACCAAACAAACAUAGAUAUUUGCAUCACAAUCACAACUUUCAUUUCAUGCAUCAUCAUGUACAUAUCAUUACAAUCAUAUAAUUCAGUCCAACAAUUUAACAUCGAUAAGUUCAUUUCAUUAUAAUCCUUUAUCUCAUAAAAAUUGUAUAUCAUUAACAUUCAUCAACAUUCAACGUUCAAUCGAGACAAGGACAUUUUCAUUCGUAUCAUGAUAUUAUGACCUUUAUUCAUACCUCUACUACUUUCUAUUUAUUCCGUUCAUCUUAUCAAGUAAGCCACAUACACUACAUCGUAUGAGCAUUAAGCAAAUAUGAAUAUUUAUCACAUAUGUAUCAUAAACUUUUAUUCAUACUUUUCUGAACCGAGACUUAUCAUAAUCAUAAUUUUACUCAAAUACCUUCACAUAACAUUGAACAUGGUCGGCGCAGCUCGGUUGGAGAGUACCCUGUCUAAAUAAGACGGUACUCAUACGCGUCGGAAGACAUCACACUAUCACAGAUCAGUGGCAUGUAUAGCUAAACUUUUACACAUGCUAGGUUAUUCUGAGAAUUGACUAAACCUACUCCGAUACCACCAAAUGUAACGCCCCGUACCCGAGACCGUCGCUGAAGUCGAACACGAGGUGUUAAUAGACUUAAUUCAUUACUUAAAUAGAUCAAACAAUUUAUUUUUAAAAUUUUCAGUCAAGCUAACAAUCUGCGUCAUAGUCGCUUAAAAAUUCAUAUCUCGAGUUACGAAACUCAAAAUCCAAUUCUGUAAAUUUCCCCUAAAACUAGACUCAUAUAUAUAUUUACUAAUUUUUUUAUAGAAUUUUUGGUCGAGCAAAUUAGUACAGUUUAUUAGUUAAAGUCUCCCCUGUUUCAGAGUUUGGCUGCUCUGACCUCUGUGUAUUACGAAUCAAAUAUCUCCCUGUACAGAGUUUCAAUGACUAUACCGUUUGCUUCUAAUAAAACUAGACUCAAUAAGGAAUCUGUACAUAUAAAUUAUGACUUCUAAUUAUCUUUGAACAAUUUAUGGUGAAUUUCCAAAUUCAGAACAGGGGAUCCAGAAAUUGCUCUGGCCCUGUUUCACAAAAAUUUAAACAUCUCAUAAAAUAUAACUCAUAUACCUGUUUUGUUCCAUCCAUAUGAAAAUAGACUCAUAAUUAUUCAAUUCCAUAUAUUAUUCAUCAUUUAAUUGUAUCUCUACUAUUUUUAGUGAUUUUUCAGACUCACAUCACUGCUACUGUCUGAAUCUAUUUUAUGGUAAAUUUUACCUAUUUCAUGGUUUCCAUGGAUUAGCUAGCAAUUUAGCAUACAUAACACUAAAUAUGAUCAUGAUUAGCUAUUCCAAUGGUUAAUCAUUACCAAGCAUUUCCAUACCACUCAAUAACCAUAUCAUAAAACCAUAUACACAAAAUGAUUAUAAUGUUAUACAUACCAUACUCAAAAUAUACAAGCCAUUAUGCCAAGAUGGUAUACGGAUAGUGUGAGCGUGCUGCCGACCGUUUCCGAUUUCCAAGCUGGCUUGUCAACACUACAAGGAAUGAAAAGGAGGGAGUAAGCAUAAAUGCUUAGUAAGUUCACAUGCAAAUAGCAAGUAACAUAACUAUAUAAGCAAACAUAAAACAUCAUUUGCAUAAUCAUCACCGAGACAUUCAUAUCACAUUUUCAUUUAUCAUCUUACCAUAUUGUUGUUAUAUCGAGUUUUCAACCCGAGGGUUAAGUACAUACCUGUUCAAAGUAUUCAUUUCACAACACUUACCAAUACGUCCCUUUCAUCUCGAGUAUUCCUCCGCUUGAGUAAAAUUUUACCCGUUGAACACAUCGGAAUAUAAUUCGGAUACAUGGAAAGUUUGCACAUAAGUGCCACAUAUGUAGCCAAGCUACUAUGUAACCCGCCCAUAAGCGAACUCGGACUCAACUCAACGAGCUUGGGCGUUCGCAUCCACAAGUGAACUCGGACUCAACUCAACGAGCUCGGGUGCCUAGUUACAUCUCUCGAACUCAGACUCAACUCAACGAGUUCGGACAUUCGCAUCUAUAAGUGAACUCGGACUCAACUCAACGAGCUCAGAUGCCUAGUUACAUCUCUCGAACUCGGACUCAACUCAACGAGUUCGGACAUUCACAUCCAUAAGUGAACUCGGACUCAACUCAACGAGUUCGGAUGCCCAAAUAUCCUAGUGACAUGUCACUUGUAUCCUAAUCCAUUCCUAAGGUUCAACGGGACCUUUUUCCCAAUCAUGUGUCUCAACCAUCUUCUACGGAAUGCCGAUACCGAUACUCGAUAGUAUUUCACAUUUUCCAAGUAUAUCACACAAUUUGACAUAUUAUCAAACAAUUAUCACGAGUACAAUAUUUCAUAAUAAUUAUCAUAUCAUUUAAAUAACAUAAAAACAUUUAAAAUAAUAACUAUGUUACCAACAUUUACAUAUGAACUUACCUCGUAUGCGAAAAUGGCUACUUUUACCAUUUCGUCCACAACUUGGUAUUUUCCCCAUUUUAGCCCGAAUUUUAGUUUUCCUUGCUCUAUCAUUUAAAAUAUAGUCUAAUUAGGACUCACAUUAUUCAAAUUGACCCAAAAUCAUAUUUUGGCAAAAUUAUAGUUUUGCCCUUAAACUUUUGCAUAUUUACACUUUUGCCCCAAAGCUCGUAAAUUAAACUUCAGCCUAUUUUCUUAUGUUUUAUGACAUGCUGAUCAUUUUUCCCUUCUAUGGCAACAUCAAAUUCUCAUUCUAACAUGUACUUAUGACUAUUAGGUAUUUUUACCGAUUAAGUCCUUUUGCUAGUUUUCGCUUAAAACCAAGUAGCACAAGUUGUCUAACAUAAUUUAAAACCUCAUAUUCUAUCAUAAAACACCAAAAUACACAAAUUUCACCUAUGGUUAUUUUUCCAAAUAUAAACCCUAGGUUAAAUUAUUGCUAGCAUAAGCUUAAUCGAGCUACUGGAACUCCAAAAACGUAAAGAACUUGAAAAACGGGGCUAGAAUGGACUUACAAUCGAGCUUGGAAGCUUGAAAAACCCUAGCCAUGGUUUCUCCUUGCUAUAUUCGGCCAUGGGGUUGAAGAUGAGCAAAAUUGGCAUUUAAUUUUGUAUUUUAAUUCAUUUUACCCCUAAAUGACCAAAAUGCCAUUACUACUACUAAACUUUCCAAAAAUUCCAUCCAUGUCCAAUUUUUGUCCAUAGACUUAGAAAUUGGUAAAAUUUCUAUUUAAGACCUAAUUAAUAUUUCAAAACAAUUUCAUACUAGAAACUUCUAGAAUGCAAGUUUUACAAAUUAUUCGAUUUAGUCCCUAAUUUCAAUUUAAGCACUUUAUGCAUAAAAUUUUUUCACGAAAUUUUCACACAAUCAUGCAGUCAUAUCAUAGACCUCAAAAUAAUCAUAAAAUAAUUAUUACUACCUCGGAUUUUGUGGUCACGAAACCACUAUUCUGACUAGGCCCAAAAUCAGGAUAUUACAAAGACAGUGACCUUUGUGCUUCUUGCUGUAUGUUCAUGACCUUUAGCAACUUUUAAAGUAAGUUUUUUCUAUUCUACUCCAUUCAACUCUAAAAUGUAGCUUAUGACUUGAUUCGAGAUAUCUCUGCUUGUAGAGUUCUUUCUUUCAUAAAUUAACUGAUUUUUGUAUGUCCAGAUUGUCCAUAAACCACAACAUAAGAGUCGACAUUGCUCAAUAUUUCCUUGUCUAAAAACCCAAGUAAGCCACUCCCAGAUACUGUUAAGAUCAUUAUUACAUACCCAAGCAAGAUUUAAAUUUCACCACACAUCUAUUGCUGUAGGACAGUACCGAAAGAUAUGAUUGUGUCUUCUUCAAGGGUGUGACAUCUGGGACAAAUAGCUACUGUGACCACUUUUUUAUUCUUUAGAUUUGAUAGAGUAAGAAUAUAGUUCCAUGAAAUUCUCCAAUUUGUAAUUUUAAUUUUUGGAGGGAGAUGUAAAUUCCAUAAUUUCCUAUAGAAAUCUCUAGUCUCGGUCUAUAAAUAAUUAUUACUAGGAUCCGAAUUAGCCCCCUAUAAUAGUUUAUAGGCACUCCUGACUGAGAAUUCUUCUGAUGAUUCCCCUCGCCAUACUUGGAAGUCUUCAUAAGUUGUCUCUGCCAGAGGGAUUUGCAGUAUUUUCCUUGCAACAUCCGCAUUAAAGGUACUAAUGACUAAUUUUGUAUUCCAAGUUCUGCUAGCUGGAUCAAUCAAAUCUGAUACUGUCUUAUAUUUUCAUUACUAGUCUUAUUUUGUAACCCGUCUAUUUCAGCUCUCGAUAUCCAUAAGUCACCCCAAAUGGAAAUACGAUCCCCCGUGCCAACCCUCCAACAUAAUCCUUUCUCCAAGAUUCCUUUUGCUACCCAGACACUCUUCCAGGUAAGCGAAGGUAAAUUUCCUAAUUGCGCAUUGAAGAAAUCUGUACUUGGAUAAUACUUUGCCUUUAAAACACGACUAAGCAAAGAAUUAGGAAAAUUAAUAAGACGCCACCCUUGUUUGGCUAAUAACGCAAUAUUAAAUUUAUCGAGAUUUCGAAAGCCUAAUCCACCAUCUUCUUUUAAAGAACAUAAAUCUUUCCAAGUACACCAAUGAAUGCCUUAUCUCGAUUUUUCUGCCAACAGAAUUUUACAAAAAUGCCUUCUAUUGCUCCACAUAGAGAUUUAGGGAGUAAGAAACAUGCCAUAGUAUAGGUUGGAAUAGCUUAAAGAAUGGCCUUUAUAAAUACCUCUUUUCCGCAUUGAGAAAGAUGUUUAACACUCCAGCUCUCAAUCUAUUCUUUAAUUCUAUCCUUCAAAAUUUGAAAUGCCAUCUUCUUUCUUCUAUCCGCCAUGUUAGGAAGACCAAGGUAUCUUUCCGGGUUAUUUGAACUUCGUACACCAAGAAUCCUUGAAAUUGUUGUUUUGUCCUUCUCUUGUAUAUUAGAACUAAAGAAAACUGUAGAUUUGCCAAAACUAUAGAUUUUCCAUAGUUGACGUAUUGACCAGAACAAUUCCCGUAUUUAAUCAAAAUCCGCUUAAGUGAUUGAGCUCCUCUUUCUGUAGCCUCCCUAAACAGUAUGCAGUCAUCUGCAAAUAAUAAGUAUGAGACCUGCGGACUACUUUUGCUUGCCUUGACCCCUCUAAGUAUGUUUCCCCUAAUAGCCAAUCGUAUUAGACUCGAAAGACCUUCUCCACAAAGUAAGAAAAGAAACGAACUCAAAGGGUCACCCUGUCUUAAGCCCCUUAUAGGGCGAAAGCUAUCUCCUACAUGACCAUUAAAAUUCACCGAAUAAGAAACUGUAGAAAGACAUUUCAUUAAAGAGUCAACCCAGCCUAGAUCAAAACCCAUUCUUUUCAUAAUUUUUUCGAUAAAAAAUCAUUCUACUCUAUCAUACGCUUUACUCAUAUCUAAUUUUGCCGCCAUAACUCCUUUUCUCCCCGUCUUCUUCUAUUUUAAAGUAUGAAGGAUUUCAUAGGCCAGCAAUACAUUAUCCGAAAUCAAUCUCCCUGGUACAAACACACUUUGUGCAAGAUCUAUGCAUUUAUCAAUGAUAAUCCGGAGACAAUUUGCGAUGACCUUAGCUAUCAACUUGUAAAACACAUUACAUAGGCUAAUAGGUCUGAAAUGAAUGAUGCUAGAAGGAUUUGGGAUUUUUGGUAUUAAUAUGACAUUAGUUUUAUUAAUUAAACUGAUAUCCAUACCUCUAUUUAGAAUUUGUAGACAAAAGGAUUCACAUCUUCCCCAAUGAUUUGCCAACAUUUCUGGUAGAAUAAAGCCAGAAAUUCAUCUUCUCUUGGCGCUUUCGUUGGACCUGAUUUGGAUAAGGCCUCUCAAAUUUCCUCUUUUGUAUAUCUCUCCAUCAGUCGAUAAUUAUCCUCUUCGGAAAUACAGCAAUCAAUUCCUGACAAGAGGUGCUCGCAAUUUCCUCUCCUUCUAGCUGCAAACAGAUUUUGAAAAUAAGCUCUAACAAUUGCUUCCAUUUCCCAAACCUCCUUUGUUUCCUUACCAUCCUCAUAUUUCAUUUUGAGAAUGAUAUUUCUUCGUCGUUGUUGUGCUGCUUGAUUAUGAAAAAAUGCGGUAUUUCUAUCUCUAUACUGCAACCAGUUAACUCUCGCCCUCUGUUCCCAAUAUCAUUCAUCCUUCUCUAUCUCAAAAUUAAGUUGAAUCUUUGUAUCAAUAAGUUCUGCCAAAUUGUCAUCAUUCCUUUUCGAUUCUAGCAGUUCAACCAAUCUGGCAGUUAGCACCUUCUUUUUUGCUUUUUUGCUAUGUCUAAUUUGACUAGCCCAUCUAACCAGCCCUUCCCUUACCCUUUCCAAUUUCAGUAGCAAAUCCCCUGUUGAAUUUUCCCAAAUACGUUUUACCUCCUCACCAAAUGAAUCCUCCAAGACCCACAAAGCUUCAAACUUGAAAUUCCUUCUAUGGCGCUCAUUAUCUUUUUUUCUGUAGUAAUAAGUAGUGGGCAAUGGUCUAAAAAAGAAUGUGGAAGGUGUUGAAUUGUAGCCUCAGGGAAUAAAGAUAUCCAACCCUCAGUAGCAACUCCCCUAUCUAGACGUUCUUGAAUAUUCGUUUCUGGUAGAUUCCCUAUUUCCCAAGUGAACCACUUCCCAGUAUAGCCCACAUCAAAUAAAUGACAAUCUGCCAAUAUAGUACGAAAAGAAACUAUACGUCUCUCCUCUUGAGAUAAGCCUCCCUUCUUUUCAUAACCAUACAUAAUUUCAUUGAAAUCCCCACAAACUAACUAUAGGAGCUCAUCAUCAUUAUUCAAGUUUCUGAGAAGAUCCCACGAUUUGCACCUAUCUUGUAAACAAGGAGAGCCAUAAAACCCUGUAAAUCUCCACUUGUUACAUCAGCAUUAUCCUCAACAUGCACAUCAAUGUCUUUUUGAGAAACUUUUAAGAAUGAUUGUAUUAUCAUCAUACCAUGCCAGAUAAAAACCUCCUCUAGAUCCACAUGCUUCUACAUCAAUACCAUUAUGCAAGCCACAACUCCUUCGUAUUCUUUCCAUCUGAUUUCUAUUUAUUUUAGUCUUCAUGAAGAAGAACAUUUGGGGAUUAUAAAAAUUCAGCGAGUACCGAAGUUUUCGUAUUGUCCGUGGAUUCCCCAGAGCACAGACAUUCCAACUUAAGAUUUUCAUUGUUGCUAGUCGACUUGCCUUUUGGCAGCCGCCGAUAUGAAAAGAUUGCUAUUCACCAUGCUCCUAUCCCUGCUAGUCAAACUAGUAGCUUUAUUACUAACAAUAUAUACUUCAGAAUCUCCUCUUUGCCUCUUUUUUUCCUUCUUCUCCUAUUAAAAUCCCUUCCUCUACAUCAUGUUCCAUAGCAAAUUGAUUUUUAUCAACUGGUUGUUUUCCCCUUCUUUUAGAAAUAGUAGACAAGUUUCCUUCCAAAUUAAACCCUAAAAUGGGAUCAACAAAAAGCCCACUUCUAGGGUUAUCUAUCGCACCCCAAGAUCUAUAAUCAAAUGGCCUACUUCUGUCGAAAUGACUUCCCCUUAUUUCUUCUUCAUCCUCACGUAGCCAGACACUGUUUUGUGCUUGAACUCUUCUUGUUUGUGCUCUUAUCGAAAGAUCCCAGCCCAUUUUAGUAGUCUCGACUCCUAAUGCCAUUCUUGCCUCACAAAAGGAGUCACUGUGUCCCAAACGACCAUAAUAAAAACAAAAGAAUGUUAAUCUUUCAUAUUUGAAUCUGACAUAUGAUCUGUUUACAUAGAACAAAACUUAUUUUUUCCUCUUUAAAGGAUAUCUUACGUCCAAUUGAAUUCUAACUCGUAAAAAAUUCAGGUAUCCUUUUCCCAUAUUAGAACCAUCAUACUCCAUAAAAGUACCAAUGAAAUCACCUAAUUGCUUUGCUAAAACCUCAGAAAAGAAACCUGGAGGAAUAUCAUGAAUUUGAACCCAAAAAGGCGAUAAAACUAAAGGGACUUUUAACGGAUCUUCCCCCUACUUCAAAGCAUGUAAAAGCAGUAGAUGAUUAUUGAAUGUCUAGGGAAAGCCUUUCAAAACCCUUUCCAUAUCCAUACUAUGAAGAAAUUGAAACAGAAAUAUUUUUUCCCCAAGAUCCAAAAUUCGAACACCUCUGACCGGAUGCCACAGAUUUGCCAUCGUACUCUUCAUAGUAGAAAAGUGGAUAACACUGGCUGAUCGAAAAUACCCUACCAAACGAAAUUCUUUAUUCUUCCCUCUCUAGAAUCGAAAAAGACGGUAUUUGUAAAAUCGCCUCUUCUUCUUCAUUGAGAGUUAACCCAGCAAAAUUAGAUUCCAUGGAAACGAAUUAGAUCUCAUACAAUUGAGAGAAUAAUUGAGUAAAUUCUGACUUUCAAAAGAAACACCGCCACAAAAGAACAAAAUAAACCUAAACCCUGUCAGAGGAGACAAACAGAAACGUGCUAGGGUAGCAGACUAGUUCUCUCCUUUAUAAAUUUUAACUUUUAAAUUAAUUAAUUAAUUAUAAUUUAAAUAUUAUUUAUGGAUAUCUAUUUUGCUUUUAUAUUCAAAAUUAUUUUCCUGUUACAUAGUUUCAUUCUCUUAUAAAAAUACCAUAAAAUCUCUUAUACUAUGCCACGGAUUGCAAUUUAGUUUCUUUAUUGAAAAUUUAGGCAAAUUAGUCUUGUAUGUUAGAUGAAUGAGCAAAACAACCCCUUAUUAAAUUGCAUCGUUAAAUGUUUGUUUUGGUGUUUAUAUAUAAGGCAUAAUAACAAAUCUAGCCCUCAACUUUUACACAUUUAUUCAAUUUGACCCAUACUAUUUUAUUGGAAGUAAAUUAAAAAAAUUUUAAACUAAUAAGGCUAAAGGGUCAAAAAGCCUUAGUAUCAAAUUAAAAAAAUCAAUUAAUCCCUCUUAAAAUAUUAACAUUAUUAAAAAAUCAUGUAAAUUAUAAAAAAAUUAUAUAUACAUAUAGAUUUUAAAAUUAUAUAAUAUUUAUUAAAAAUAAUAGUACCGAGCCAUUAAAAUCUAAUAGUUACAAGAUUUAAAAAAAAUUUAACCCUACUCUUUUAUUAGAUCAAUAUUAUUAUUUUUAAUAAAAAAUUAUAAUUUUAAAAUAUAUAAAUUUUUUAUAAAUUUUGUUUAUAAUUUUUUAUGAUGUUUUAAUAAUUUUUAAAUUUUAAAAGGGCUUAAUUGAUUUUUUUAAUUUGUUACUAAGGCCUUUUUAUAACACCCCUAACCCGUAUCCGUCGUCGGAAUAAGGUUGCGAGGUAAUACCGAACAAUACACAUCAUUCACAUACAUAAUAUAAACAUUUAUGCAUUCAUAUAUAAAAUUCCUUCAAAUCAUUCACGUUGUCCCUUAUAAGACUUUACGAGACCUUAAAACAUGCUUAGAAGUGGUUCAGGACUAACUGAUAACAUUUGCAAAGUUUGAGAAACUUAGGAAAAUUUUCAACAUUAAAGGGUCACACACCCGUGUUAACAGGCCGUGUGCCUCACACGGCUACCAGACACGCCCGUGUUACAUGCUGUGUUAUUAUAACAUCCUGAAAUAGGGCUUAGUCAAAAUAGUGGUUUCGGGACCACAAAUCUGACAUAAAAAUAUUAAUUUUAUGAUUAUUAUGAGGCCUAGAAUAUGAAUAUAUGCAUGUGUUAAAGUUUCAUGAAGAAAAUCUAAGUAUAAAAUGUCCAAUUGGAAAUUAGGGACUAUAUUGAAUAAAUUGCAAAACUUGAUUUCUAGAAGCAAUUCAUAUGAAAUAUCUUUAGAUUAUGAAUUAGAAGGUCUUGGAGAGCAAUUUACCCAAAUUCUAAAUUUUUGGACAAAAAAGGGCUUGCAUGGUUAAAAUUUUAAAGAAAUGGCAUGAAGGCAUUUUGGUCAUUUGGCUUUUUAAUGAAAUAAAAUGAGAAAAAUCAAGCCAAAAUCAGCCAUUUUCUUCCCCAUAGCUGCUAAAAUUCUCUUGUCACCAUAGCUAGGGUUUCAAUGUAACACCCCAAUCCCGUAUUCGUCGCCGGAAUAGAUAAAGGGGCAUUACCAGUCUUGAAACUCAUAUCAGAACAGUAAAAUUUUUUUUUUUUGAACAUUCCUUUAGAUAAGUACUAGAGACAGUCAGGGAUACAAUUUAAACUUCUAUAAGUACACAUUCAAAAGAUGCCAUUUUCGCAUGGGUUAUAUACAUUAACCAAAAUAUCCUCUCACUACUAGUCUAUUCUAUACAUGCCAUAAGAUAAUCCAAAACGUAGCGGUACCAAACAAUGGAUAGUGAUAGUGUGACUAGUUGCUGAUGAUCCCCGAGCCUGUAGCUUCGUAAUGAGAUCUAUAAAAUAGAGAAAACAAAGUAAACGGAGUAAGCAUUACAAUGCUUAGUAAGUUUUAAGCAGUGACAACAGAUAACAAUCAAAUUAUAACAUAGUUGUUCAUAUUUUUAUUUCACUCUUCCUUCGGGCAUACCAUCCCUUUACCGAAUAUGCACAUCUCAUCAUAUACAAUAGGCAGAUAAACUUUCACAUAAAAGUGAGCUCAUGUGACAUAGAUAUAUUGUAUGAUUUCACAUAUCCUCUCACACUGAUCCGAAGUCACAUAAUCAUAGGAAUAGUCUCAUAGAUUGCUCUCAUAUGCAUCACAUAACUACCUUAUGAUUUAGUUCAAAUCAAGCUCACAUAUAAACUUGGAGUACAUACCUGUUUAACCUUUCGCGUUGAAUAUGUUUAUAUGCAAUUCUUAUUACGGAGUCUUAUAGCUCUAACCUCUACUCGGAUUAUCGGCGAGACCUUUAGCUCAGACGAAAUCUCCACAUGAAGUUAUCGGGUCUUACCCGGACAAAAUCUCCACACGUAGUCAUCGGGUCUUACCCGGAUAAAAUCUCCACACGUAGUCAUCGGGUCUUACCCGGAAUAUAUUUCCAAGUUUCAUGUACAUUUAAUCACAUGUUACAACAUUCACAUCGACUGUCAUAUUUGUAAUUCAUUUGCCUCAUCCAAAAAUCUAAUAAUACACACCUUUCACCGUUUGUCAUUUGGCCACAAUAUAUAUAUACACAUCUCGUACAUAUCUCACAUUAGCCAUUUGGCUUUACCACAUAUCCAUCUCAUACACGUUUUGCAUUAGCCAUUCGGCCUUACCACAUAUAUUCAUGUUCACAUUCAUCACAUUGGCCAUUCGGCCUUAUCUCAUAUAUGCAUGUUCACAUUCAUCACAUUGUCCAUUCGGCCUUAUCACACAUACGCAUGUUCACAUUCAUCACAUUGGCCAUUCGGCCUUAUCACACAUACGCAUGUUCACAUUCAUCACAUUGGCCAUUCGGCCUUAUCACACAUAUAUAUACGGGUUCACAUUCAUCACAUUGGCCAUUCGGCCUUAUCACACAUACGCAUGUUCACAUCCAUCACAUAAAAUCCUAAAUCAAAAUAUAAAUUUUCAUGUAUUCACAUCACAAUUAUCCAAAUAUACUUCACAUACCACAUAUACUUUCACGUAUACACACUGUCUUGGCUGAAUCUACAUCUAUCAUUUUCCAAUAUCACAAUUUAGAAUUCACGUAUGGGUUUAAUCAAUAGCUUAUGAGCAACUAAAACAAGUUUAUCAAGGUUUACAACAUAAUCUCAAAUUCAGCACAAGCUGUUUUUCCUGAGCAAUAGUCACUAAAUUAUUUAUAACUGGAGCUACAAAACUCCAAAUCACUUUCUGUUAAUUUUUCCUGAAUAUAGACUCGUAUAUAUUCCAUCCAUAAAAUUUCAAGAAUUUUAGGUUUGGCCAAUCAAUACCAGAUUUUUCUUAAAGUUUCCCCUGUUUCACUGUUUGACUAAUCUGACCACUCUUCACUAUGAAUCAAAUUUCUCAUUUUACAGAAUUCAAAAUGUGUUUUAUUUGAUUUCAUUUGAAACUAGACUCAUUAAGGAGUCUAAGCAUAUAAAUUUUAUCUUAUAACCAUUUUUGUACAAUUUAUAAUGAUUUUCUUAAAACCGAAUAGGGGAUUUAGGAGUCAUUCUGACACCGUCUCACACAACUUUAAAUAUCUCUUUAUAGGAAAUUUCUUUGCUCACAAGGUCUCUUUUAUAAGAAACUAGACUAAUUAAGCCUUGAUUACAUAUUUUAUGCAACCUAUAAUUCCACACCAACAAUUUAUAGUGAUUUUCUAAAAUCACGUUACUGCUGCUGUCCAAAGCAAAUUAUUACAAUUUGCUCUUAAAUUUCCAAGUCCAAACACUUAUGAACUUACCAUUUGAGUUUAAGACAUAUCAUGGCCACAUCAUAUCUUAUUAAAUCAACUCAUUAUGUCCUAUUAUGAUUGAAUUUACUCAACGUUUAAUCACUUAAAACUUACCUCGGAUGUUGUCGAACGAUUUCGGCGGCUAUUCGAUCACUUUUUCCUUUCCUUUAUCCAACUUUGGUCCUCUAAGCUCUUGAGCUAAUUCAAACAAAUUUAACUUAUUAAAGUCUCAUUAUGCUAGCUUAUGGCCUAAUGUACAACAUCAAUCUAUGCAUUCAUUCGUGUGGCCGAACAUGCAUGUCUAUGUUGAGGCCGAUUGCAUACUUAAUACAUUCUACAAGUAUGGUCACUUGUAUUGACCAAAUACCAUUUUGUUUCAAGUUCAAAACUUGGCUAAUACACAUAUAUGCACUAUUAAAACAUCCUCUCCAUUCCAUCAAUUCAACACAUGCAUUACUCAUUAAUAUACAAAAUUAUAUUCGGCCUUAGCACACCUCUUGCUGGCUGAAUUUUUUCUCCAUCUAGCAACAUUUUAUGUACUAUGCCGAACCAAAAAGAUCAAACGCCUAGCUUAAUCAUUUCCAAAACACUUAACCAGCCUUUGACCAAGACUUUAAACAAAGUCUAUGUUCGGCUAUCACACAUAUGGGCAUUAUUAGUUCAAAGUUUUAACAAGAUUAAUUUCUUUGAUCUUAACCUAAAUGACAACCCCCAUUGUUCAUCUAGAUUUAGCAUGAAACAAAUACCAACCAAGAAAACAACACCCAUGGCCGAGUAUCAUCUUCAUCACAUAGCAAGAUUUAAACCAUAGGCUAGGUAGAACUCAAACUAACAUCAAAAAUAUGCAUGAAUCUCAUGGAACAACAUCAAACUUACCUUAACCUAGCUACAAGCAUGGCCGAAUCUCUUCAACAUUUCCUCCUCCUAAACACCAACCAACCGAACAUGAAGCAAGAACUCCUUCCUUCUUCCUUAGAAUUUUCAGCCAAAAGAAAUGAAAGAGGAUGAACAAAUUUUUUUUUCUUUUCUUCACUCACGGCAAUGGGGGGGGGGACAAUCACACACAUCCUUUCUUUUCUUUUUUUUUGUUUCUCAUCCUACUAACACUAAUAUUUUAUUGCCCAUGCCCUUUAUUUUAUUAAUCCUUACAUAAUGCACUACCCCAACAUGUUUAUGACAUGUUUUUAGCCAUAACAUCUUGUCCACCCAUGCUCAUGGCCGGCCACUACAUAUUAGGGAGAAAAUUGACAUGCAAGUCCUCCCUUUCGAUUACAUGCACUAUUAGGUCAUUGUAGAUUAGCCUAUCACAUUUCAAAAAUGUCACCCAUAAGUCUUUUUGACUAAAUUCACAUGCAAUUUACUAAAUCGAAGCCUAAAGCUUUCACACAUUCAUAUUCACAUAUUUUAGACAAUAAUUAUCAUAUUCAAAUAAUUUGGUGACUCAGUUUAGCGGUCCCGAAACCGCUUUCCGACUAGGGUCACUUUAGGGGUGUCACAUUCAAGCUUUCCAAACUCAAUAGUAAGUGCUCCCAAGCCCCGUUUUUAAUGUUCUUUGUAUUUUUGAAAUCUUGGUAGCUUGCUCUCUCCAUUUCUACCCAAAUUUCAUGCUAGGGUUCAUGUUUAAAAAUUUACCCAUGCAUGAUUUUCUUGUAUUUUGAUAGAUUAUGGAGGAAUAUGAAAUAUUAAUUUGUGUUAAACAUCUUUUCCUAGUUGAUUUUCAUGAGAAAACCUUAUAGGGACUAUUUUGCAAAAGAUAUAAAUGUGUGGUAGAAAUGAGAAAAUAAUGGAUAAUGUGGGCUACCAUAAGAAGGAAAGGUGUUCAGUUAGGCUUGGGUAAGAUAAAAAGUGCAUGUGUUUCAUUAUACGAGCCUAGGGAUUAAAUCGUAAAAAUGUGAAGGGUUAGGGGCAAAACGGUCAUUUGGACCGAAGGUAGAUAUUAAACUUGAAAUGUAUAAUGUGGAGUAUUAAUGAGUUAAUUUUGCUGUUAUAGACCCCGAGGAACAAAUUUCGGAGGUCGACCGUGGUAAACGUAAGGUUUCGGAAUAACCGAAACAUAUCUCUGAAACGAAUACCAGGUAAGUUCGAAUAACUUAAAGUAAACCCCUAAUAUGCAUUAUUGAAUGAUUUAUGAAUACAUGAUGAUUGCAUUUAUUAUUAGUAAGAAAUAUCAUGGAAAUGCAUAUUUGAUGGUAACAUGUGAAAAAUGUCUCGGAUGAGGUUGACAAAGGGAAUUCGAUGGAUAAACCCUCAUUGAUAUGUGUAAAGAGAUCCUACAUGUGUUGCAGUAAGGAUUUAGCCCGGACGGGUAAUCCGUGAUCUCAAGUAUGGAAAGGAUCUAGCCCGGACGGGUGUUCCUUGAAUGAUCGAGCCUCCCAAAGAAUAUAUGUGCAUUGAGGAUUUAGCUCGGACGGGUAAUCCUAUUAGGGUCUGAAUUUAGCCUGGACUGGUAAUUCAGAUCCGAGCUCAUUAAGGGUGUUUGUGACUAUAAAGGAUUUAGCCUGGACUGGUAAUCUCGACAUCACCUUAUGAGUUUAUGAUAUGGGGGAUUCAGCCUGGACUGAUAAUCCUACCCUGAGAUGUGAGGUUCGCGGGAGUGCAUAUAUGUGAAAUAAUCAUUCGUAAGAAUUGACGGAUAAUGGGUAUUCCAUCGAGAUUUCCUAGAAACUCAACAGGAUUAAUAUGACAUACGUCAAUAAGAUGAUGAAUGAUGAGCUCAUCUACAUAAAUUACAUGAUACUUUGUUAUGUGAUUAACUCAUUGAUUGAGUGCAUGUGAUAGGAAAUCAUUUCAUAAUUGAUGAUUUCAUGAUUUAAGUGUGGAUGUAUGCUAAUUACUCGGUAAGUUUACUUUCCGGUUAUUCGAGCUUACUAAGCAUGAAAAUGCUUAUCCCCUCUCUUUUCCCUAUUUUACAGAGCUCGAGGACUCAUAAGGAUUGGAAGACGGUUGGAGAAGCAACACACUAUCAACUAGUUAAGCUUUGGUAUAAAGACACUUCUAUUUUGUUAAUGGCAUGUAUAGAGCUUUCAGUAUUUUUUCAUAUGUGUCAUUUGAAUUGCCAAAUGGAGGCAUGUAAAGAUGUAUUCAUCUUUUUGUAUAAGGCCAUGGAAAUUGGCAUAAUUGAAAGUAGGCUAUGACUUGUCUUUAUAUGCAUGUUUAUGUUCUUAUAUGAUGGGUUGCUACAAUUGGCAAUGAGUUCAAAAACGAGCCAAAUUUUGAAUGUGCUACAACAACAUAAGAACCCAUAACUACUAGAUGAGAAAUAACCUUUUUGUAUGAAACCAAUGAUAUGAGGUUUUCAUACAACUAACUUCAUCAAGAUCAUUUACAAGUGUAUAAUCAUGUUUUACUUUGAAUUUGGUAUCUAUAAGAAGAAGAAGAAGUAGAAAGGGGUGACAAAAGGCUUGGAAAAUAGCCUAUUAAUAUCCAUAUGGUUAGACACACGGGCUUGUGUCUAGGCCGCGUGUGACACACUAUCUAUCCCCAUGGGCGUAUGGUAUGGUCGUGUGUCCCCUGCAUCUAAAUCUUUAAGUCAAAUUAGCACAUAGGUAUGACACACGGGUAUGUGUCUUGGCCGUGUUAAUUUAACAGAAUGCUCAAGUUUUGGACACGGGUUGAGCCCACGGGCGUGUGUCUUGGCCGUGCCUAAAAGUCAGUAUUGCCCACGGGUUAGAGGCAUAGACGUGCCCUAGGCAACACAGGCGUGGGUGACUACACGGCCCAUCAUACACGGGUGUGUGACACUUCUAAGUAAGGAAAUUUUCUAAAGUUAUUAAAUGUUCCCGGUCCUAUCCCGAACUAUCUCUAUGUAUAUUUAGGGCCUUAAAGUCUCAUUUAAUGGAAAAGAUGUGAAUGCCUAAAAGUUUCAAAUCUGAGCUAAACCUGGAAAGUCGAUUCAGUAUAUUUUAAAUGUAAAUUUCCGGUAAUACCUCGAACCUUAUCCUGAUAACGGAUACGGGUAAGGGGUGUUACAGUGAUAAUAGGGCAUACAUACUGACUUCUACCACAUAGCCGAGGACACGCUCGUGUGCCAUAGCCAUGGGAAAACUGGAGGGGUUACUGACUUGGGUCACAUGGCCGACCACACGCCCAUGUUCCAGCCCGUGUGCCACACAUGACUAGUAGACACGCCCGUGUGUCUAGGCCGUACCAAACUUGUAGGGUAUACUGACUUUAAUUCGAAAGGUUACCUCAGGGGACACACGAUCGUGUAGCAUGAUCAUGUGUCACACACGGCUAAGAUACACGCCCGUGUCUCUGCCCGUGUGGACAAAAAUAGGCCAUUUGUAAAGCCAAUUUGCCACCCUUCUUUUAUGCACACAAAGCAACCCAUAUAGUACCAUUUUGAUGCAUAUUUUAGCAACCAAAACAUGCUAUUCCAUUCACAUAUCAUGCCAUCUAUCCUCAACCAUUUCAACUACUUAAUUCCAUAUUCAAACAUAUGAAAUCAUUAAGCCAAAAUCAUCACAACUUACAUAGCUACUAAAUGCAUUUACUCAUCAAAUUAUCAUCUAUAUCAUGACACAAAUUGCACCAUAUCGUCAUCUCAAAAUCAAACCACAAUAUGCCAAUCUUCCAAGCAUUAAUACACCAACUUACAACUAUCCAAAAUAACCAACACAUAACCACACCAAACAAGUCAACAUAUAAGGCAUUAUAUACAUCAAUAAAUAUUACUAACCAAACACAAUUCAAGCCAACUUAAAUUGCCAUACAUACCAACAUUUACAAGGCAAAUCUCAUGGCUAAUACUAUAACUCAAUACAUACAAAUAUGACAUUAGCCUAUACAUGCCAUAUACCAUAUAUACAAAGCUCCCAAAAGUACCAACGAGAUGAUCGAUAGUUUGAUGAUGUUUCCUGACGAUCCCCGAGUCCGAGAUAGCUUCGAUAAUCUAUAAAAUAGGGAAAGAACACAAAAAGUAAGCUUUAAAAGCUUAGUAAGCCAUAGACAAAUAAAGUCAUCAAAUGAAUAUUUGCAUAUCAAUUCAAAUAUACUAAACAUAACUAAUCACUUUCAAAUUCACAAACCUUUCUCAUUCAGCAUGUAUAUUCAAUGUCUUAAUCAAUUCAUCACAUACUUCCCCUUUUCAAUCCUCGUGUGAAUUCCAUACAUACCUGAGCCACUUGGCUCAUUCACAUAUUCUUUCUCGACUUGACUUUUCCCGUUGAACCGUUCGGAAUCAUUAAGGAUACUCGAAAAUCACAUAAACUCGUACAAUGCCAUAUCCUAGAUAUGGUCUUACAUGUUAUCACAUAUCGAUGCCACUGUCCCAGACAAGGUCUUACACGUAUUGAUUAACGAUGCCAAUGUCCCAGACAUGGUCUUACACAUAAUCACAAUACAAUGCCAAUGUCCCAGACAUGGUCUUACAUGUAAUCACAUCUCGAUAACCUAAUGUCAUGACAUUCGUAUCCUAUACUAUUCCUAAGGUUCGUACAGGAAUUCUGGAUGUUGUAACUUUGUCAAUUCUUGCUCGUAACUACUCGUUCAACAUUUAUAACAAUUCAAUGACAAACAAACACAUAUAAUUCAUUUUAAAGACAUUUAUUUGCAUAUGAACUUACCUCGUAGUCAGAAUAGAGGAACCGGAUCAACUAUUCGAUAACUUUCGAUUUCCCUCGAUCUAAAUCCGAUUUCUUUCAUUCUUGAUCUAUAUAUAUUCAAAAUUAAUCCACUUAAUCACCAACUCAAUCCACAAACACAUAUUUAAGCCAAUUUGCAAUUUGGCCCUAAACUUUUACAUUUCCUACAAUUUAGUCCCUAUUUAAUAAAAUUACAAAUUCAUGAAAUUUAAGAACAAUCCAUGCUAGCCGAAUUCUCUAUAGGUCCCUAACAGCCCAUAUUUCACAUUUAUUUCACAUUUUAACCCUUCAAUUUACACUUUUCACAAUUUAAUCCCUAUUUGACAUUUUUGUCAAAAAUCAUUUAACAAAACUUUAAUAUCUAUCAUCAAGCUUUUAAAAUUCAUCAACAAUCAUUCAAAAGCUCAAGCAUUCAUCAAUAGCAACUCACAAAAUUAUCAAAAAUUUUGAAAAUUAAGACAGGCUAGCUAGAACACGAAGCAAUGAUCACAAAAACAUAAAAAUCAUUUAAAAUCGAGUCAAAAUGAACUUACAAUUAAUUUUCCAAAUUACCAAACCCUAAAACACAUCCAUGGCUUUUCUUUUCUUUGUAUUUUCAGUGGAAUAAAGAAAAGAUGAUAAUACAUUAUGAUUUAUUUUAUUUUACUUAAGUUAUAUAUAAAUUACUAAAUUAACCUUUGUAAUAACCUUUUAAUAUCACUUAAAUAAGUGUCCAUAAAUGUCCACUAAGAUAUUUAAGGGUAUAAUUAUCACAUAAGGAUCUCACAUUUAAUAAGCCAUAGCAAUUAGACUCUUUUAUCAAAUAGAAUGGAACUUUUGCAUUUUACGCUAUUUAGUCCUUUUGUUUCUCAAAUUGAGCUAUUAAAUGAUAAAAUUAGAAAACGAAACUUUCACACAUACAUAUUUACAUAUUGUAAACAUAUAAAAUAACAUUAAAAUAAUUUUACGAGCUCAGAUCUGUGGUUCCAAAAUCAUUGUUCCGAUUUAGCUAAAACCAGGUUGUUACACUUUUUGACAAUGUAGCCUGAUUAGUUUCAAAUUUUCUAAUUUACUUUCAAUAAGAAAGUAGGGGUCAAAUUGAAUAAAUAUGUAAAAUUUGAGAGUUAAAUUUGUUAUUAUACCUUAUAUAAAAACACACAAAAAAAUUUACCGACGCAAUUGUAAAGAGGCUUUGUUUUGCUCACUCAUCUAAUCUAUAUGAGUUAACUUGUCCAUUUUUCAAUAGAAAUACUAAAAUAUAUUCUAAAAUAUAAUAUAGAGAUUUUGUUACUUUUACCCUAUUUUAUCUUCUAAAUUGAUUUUAAAAAUAUAGUAUAAGUGAUCGAAACUUGCUUUAAGUUUAUAUUUGGGCUAGAGAAUUAACAAUAAUAUACUUAGUUAAGGUUUUUUACUUUUUUAAACUCAUAUUUUCUUUAAAUGAAAACUCGUUAAUACUUUAAUGGGUAAACUACAACUAUAGUCACUCUAAAAUAGGGUUUAUCAUAUUUUGGUCAUUCUAAUUUGUUUCCUCAAUUUAGUCACUAUAAUUAAGAUAAUUGUUUCAAUCAAUCAUUGAGGUUAAAAUUUCCAUUAAUCCACUAACAAAUUGUUGAUGUGGCAACAAAACUGUAACAUCAAGCCCAACGGGAACGAUUGGAGGCCCCCACAUUUAAAGAGCACCACAUCAGCUUUUGGGCUUGACCCUUCUCUUAAUCAAUUCUUGAUGAUGAUUAAGAAUCAGAAGGAAUAAAGGCUCCGCGAAAAUUGAAAGGCCCAAAUACUCCCAAGAGGACAUAAAUAGAAUGAAAAGGGGAGUUGACCUAGCCCUUACCAUCUUUUAGGGAUUUAAAUACCUUAUUUUCAAAACAUAAAGGGGAGAGUCGACUGGUACAAAAGAGAACACCCGGUUUCAAAAGAAGAGAAGUUUGAAAAAAAGAAGAUAAGAAGAGGAAGAAAGAGAAGAACUAAUUGAGGAGAACUGCCUUAUUUGGCUUGAAAUCUCUUCGCUUUUUCUCUUUUAAUGCGUUAUUGAUAGCACCAAAAAUAUCCUAUUCCCUGUAAAAUAAUGAAAAAGAAAUAUUAAAGGGGAAGUAGGGUUGAAUCCUCAAGGACUGGAUUAUACAAAUGCUUGUUUCUCGAAAUCCUGGGCAGAAUCGUGCCCAAGAAAACCUGCGUUCCUGGAAAAAAAACAGAAUUUAAGAAUUAAUUUUGGAAGUGAAAAAUAAAAUAAAAAUAGAAUUUAAAGUUUACUGAAAUUAUGAUUACGAAAAUAAUAAAAAUAAUAAAGAGAGUUUUAAGAGAAAAGAAAUUCUUAUGGGAAAGUUCUAGCCUCCGGUUGUCUUAUUCUGCCUUGGGCUCAAUCCUUGGCUUUUGGAUGAUCCUUCUCGACUCAAGUAAGCCAGUUAUAGUGGAAUAGGACGCCUACGACCACCAGCUCCAAAGAUUAUUAGACUUACGAUUUUUAGGGAACCUGACUCUAGCCAGUAAUCUAUGCUAGAUCAACGCUUCUCAAUGGCGAAUCCCACGCCAUUUUGUCUCUUUGGCUCGCCAACCUCUGACGCAGUAAGUUAACGAACGGCCGCCUUUGCAUAUGCUAAAAAGCUUACUUCUUAAGGGCCAUGGACGGAAGCGUCAGCCCGUAGUGCGGAGAAACGAUGAAUACUUGGCGAGAAGGCUAAGUACGGAUUCUAGGCCUCAAGAACCCUUUUUGGGGAAAUAUUGACAACUUUUGGCUAGAAGGGUUUUAGUGGCUCAUGAUAAUGGUGGAAAAGAAAAGAAAAUUAUGGAAAAAGAAAUUUUAUUAAAAGAAAAAAAUAUGGAAAGAACAAAAGACUUUUAGGGGGAGAGUGUUUACAGAAAAGAUCCACUAAAUAGAGUCACUUCACCCCCUAUUUAUAGUGCUAGGGAGAUAGUCUAAUUUAACUUAAAUUCUAAAAAGAUAAAUAUAUUUAAUUAAAGAUAAAUAAAGAUAAUUAAAAUAAAAUCCUAAAAUUUAAAUAAUCCUAAUAUUUAUCUUUAAUAUUAAUUAUCCUAAUAUAAAUAAAAUAAAAUAAAAUAAAAUAGAGUCUUCCAAAAUAAAAUCUCUUCUAUUUGCUUUUAAGUCCUUGUGCCUUCCAUGUUCGUACUUUUGGCACCAUAUUUGUCCCACGUUGCAUAUUGGCCCAUUUAAUCUCCAAAUUGACGUUUUUUUCCCUUGAAUUUACUUUUUGCCUCCAAUUUAGUCCCUAAAAGAUAAAAAGACAUAAAUAGCUCAAAUUAGUAGGCUCAAGCUCAAAAUAAACACAUGAUUAAUAUAUAAAAACACGUCAUUUUAGAGUAUUAUCAUAUUUACAUUUUAUUUCUUUUCUUUUUGUUAUCUUGAACCAUGGCUGAGUUUUUCUUAAUUAUUUUUAAUUUGGUGAUUAUGGGCUAAACUUUUAUUAGCUAGAAUAAUUAUGAAACCUUAAGAUGAGAUUAUUGGUACCAGGGGCGAAACAUCACGGGGGCUAGAAGGUGCCUUAGGCCCUACUAACCUUUUUUUGCAAAUGUUAAAGGCUAUUUAAAAACUUUGUAGAAAAGAUUAAAUAAUUUUAGAUUUCCCCCCAACAACUUAAAAAAAUUAUUAUAAAAAGAGUGUAACGCCUCAAAAUUUGAGUUUUGAUGUUGAGUUGUGUCAAUGAAUAUGUGUCUGCCUCUGUGUGUUUUGUUUGCUUAUUUUUGAUUUGAGGUUAGAGUUACGUUAAUUUUGGAAUUUUUAAUUUCUUUAUUUGAACCUUAGCCUAGGUUCCUUCCUUAAGCUUAACUCUAUACUCUUUUGUGUCAAGAACGAGCCUGUUGGUUUACUAGUUAAGCAUUUGCCUAUUAUCUGGUCUCGUGUUCAAGUCUUUGCGUAAGCGAAGCAGUGAUAUGUUUUUGGUUACUUUACGGGAUUAGUUAAAUGAGUUUUGAAAUAAUCUUCUUUAUUUUCUUUAUUUUUUCAGUAACGUAACUUUCUGAUAUACUCGUCGCGAUAAGUUUUAAAAAUUUAUAAUUGACCAUUCUUGAAACUAACUAUUAUCAUGAUGAAGGCAAGUGUACCUAUCGAACAGUAGUAUAGCUUUAGCAAGACCGGAUUGUCGAACCCAAAGAAACCAAGAGUACUAGUAAUUACUUUCUUUUUAUUAUCUAGCCUAAAAAUUAAAGGAUUUGUUUAUCUAAACUAAUUAACUAAACUAAUGGCGCACAGAGAGAAAAUUGGGGGAAAAGCUUUUGGGAAAACUGGAUUGAUUAAGAGAAUACCCAAGGAAAAAUCCACCUAGACUUGUUAUUUGACUCUGAAUCAAGUGAUUUAUUCAUUUGACUUGAUCCGUAGAAAUCCCUAAGUUAUAUUAUUAUCUCUCUCGAGACUAAUAACGUCAAACCCUAGGUUGAUUAAUUGAAAUCUCUUUCUAAUUAACACCCUAUUGUUGCAUUAACUCGAUCUAUAGACUCCCUUAUUAGGUUUCACCCUAAUCCGGCAAAAUCUUGUCACCUUAUCUCUAGGCGUGUAAUCAAAUCUGCUUAAUUACAACAAAUUUACUCUUAUACAGGGACUUUUGCUCCUUUGAAUAAGCGCAUUAACUUGAAUCAAUAUCCUGGAAUAUUAAAACAAGAAUUAAGAACACAUAAUUAAGAACAAGUCAAAUAUUUAUCAUAUAAUUCAAAUAAUAAUAACAAGAUCCGUCUUAGAUUUCAUUCCCUUUAGGUAUCUUGGGGGUUUAGUUCAUAAUUAUGAAAGAAAACAUCUCAAAAGAAGAAAGAUAACAAAACAUAAAGAAAACCCAAAACUCCUGAAGGAAAUUGAAGGGAGAUCUUCAGUCUUGAUGAUGAAUUCGGCUUCUGAGAUGGAUCAAUCGGCUUUCCUUGAGUAAUUCCUUGCCUCCUACUCUGUUUCUCCCUUCUAAGUUCCUCCUCCGGUGUUUAAAUAGGCUUUAGAAUGCCUAAAAGCCCUCAAGAGUGGCCUUUUUUGAAUAGAACUAAACUUGGGCUCGACAGGGACACGCUCGUCUAACACGCCCAUGUGCGAUUUCUUUAAUCCAUGUUCAAGGCUAUUACAUAGGCACGGGCAUGUGGUCUAUCCAUGUAAGUCAUGCUUCGAUUCUGCCAAAUGGACACGGUCGUGUGGCUUACUCAUGUGAGGAAGUCCAGGUCGUGUUGAUUUUCCAUGUUGGUCCAUUUUCUCCAUUUUUGGCCCAUUUCUCGCUCUUUUUACCCUCAUAUGCUCACCUAAGUAUAAAACAUGAAAUUAAAGAAUUAGGAGCAUCGAAUUCACCAAAUCUAAGGAGAAAUCAUCCAUAAAUGUGCUAAGCAUGGGAUAAAAAUAUGUAUAAAUUACGGUUUAUCACUUUCCCUCUCCUUUUCUUUUUUACUUUCAUUUGAUAUUCUUUUUCUCAAAUUUUAGUCACUUAAUUCCCAAAUUCUACUAGUUAAUUUUGUUGUGCUUAUCGUAAGAGUUCUGUUCUCUGUUGUUCUUUCACUGGAAGUCAAUUCGAUAAGUUGGUGUUAAAAUUCUGUUAGCAUUCUUUGUCAUUUAUUGUCGUCGUUUUUUUUAUCAAAGUUGGUUUCCUAAAUGUAUUGCUCAAUUUCUUUGUCUAAACAUUCAAUUGGUGUUCGCUGGGAGAAGGUUCCGAGGAAACCUAUUCCUCAAACGUCUUAGGCUCGUGAAUUUGUUCUAUCGUGCGAAGGUAACAGUUGUUUUGAGUUUAGGAUUUAUGUUGAGGUUUUUGACAUGUUUGGUUGACUGUUUAAUUAGUUUUGUAAGUUCUAUUAAGUUCUGUAACUAGACAAUUGUUGACUGUUUUUAGGUUCUAGAGUGUUUCUGUUGCUUCUACUUUUAAUCUUCUUCAAGUGGGUACCAAAACCCUUCUUUUUUUGCCUUUUUCCUUCUCCAAAAUCAGGAUUAUCGAUGAUCUGAGAUUUUUUGGAUGAUUUUCUCGAUGAAUUGUCAAGAGUACCAUCGAACCAGAAGGUUGAGUUCAGUAUUGAUUUGAUACCGGGGACAAUUCCGGUGUCGACUGCACCCUAUCGUAUAGCACCAAAAGAGCUGGCUGAGCUGAAAGCCCAAGUUCAGGAGCUUCUUGACCGAGGGUUUAUUAGGCCGAGUGUGUCUCUGUGGGGAGAACCGGUGCUGUUUAUCAAAAAGAAAGACGGUACAAUGAGAAUGUGUAUUGAUUAUCGUCAGCUGAAUAAGUUAACAAUAAAAAACAAGUAUCUGCUUUCGAGAAUCGUCGAUUUUCUUGAUCAGUUUCGUGAAGUUUUUGUGUUUUCCAAGAUCAAUCUUUUUUUAGGAUACCACUAGUUUAAAGUUAAGGAGACAGAUGUGUUCAAAACUGCCUUAAGCACUCGUUACGAACAUUACGAGUUCCUGGUUAUGCCUUUUGGGUUAACUAAUACCCCAAUUGCAUUUAUAAACUUAAUGAAUUGGGUAUUUCAAUCGUAUUUGGAUCGAUCUAUAGUUUUUUUCAUUAACGAUAUUAUGAUAUACUAAAAGAUUGAAGUUGAACAUGAUAAGCAUCUUCGCAUCGUACUUUAAACUCUUUGUGAGAAGCAACUUUAUGCUAAGUUUAGUAAGUGUGAAUUUUGGUUGUCUGAUGUUGUAAUUCUAGGGCAUGUUGUGACGGACGAUGGAAUCUGGGUCGAUUCCAAGAAAGUUGAGGCUGUAGUCGAGUAGAAACAACCGAAGAAUAGAUCUAAACUUUAGAGAUUCCUCAGGUUAGUGAGUUACUACCGGCGGUUCGUCGAAGUAUUUUCUCUGAUAGCAUCUCCCUCGACUAAGUUACUGUAAAAGAAUACUCCGUUUAAGUGGCCUAAGGAACACCAGUCGAGCUUUGGAAAACUCAAGUCUAUUUUAACUCAAGCUCUUGUUCUGGUCCAGCCCGAGCCAGGUAAGGAGUUCGUGGUUUAUAGUGAUAUGUCGUACGUCAAUUUAGGAUGUGUAUUGAUGCAAUAUGGUAAGGUGGUAGCGUAUGCCUCUCAACAGCUUAAGACAAAUGAAUGAAAAUUACCCUAAUUAUGAUCUUGAACUGGCUACGGUUGUGUUCGCUCUAAAGAUAUGAAGAUACUAUCUGUACGGUGAAAGGUGUAUCAUCUACACCGAUCACAAGAGUCUCAAGUAUCUAUUAACUCAGAAGGAGUUGAAUCCCAGACAGCGUAGAUGGGUGAAGCUGCUUAAGAACUACGACUGCACUAUCGAAUAUCAUCCUGAUAAGGCCAAUGUGGUAGCUGACACCCUUAACCAUCGAGCGAUGUCUGAUCUCACUCGAUUGAGUUUGUUUGAUAACGAGAGUUUAUUGACCCAACUGCAAGUCAGGCCCAUUCGGGUUGAGCAGAUUCGAGCUAAAUAGUUCAAUGAUGAGUCAUUAAUUCAAAAUUUACGUCAACUUGAGUUUGGUGAAGCUUUCGAAUUUGGUUUGAACAGUGGCGAGGUUUUGUGUUUUAGAAGUCGGGUUUGUGUGCCUAAGGACCGUGAGUUGCAACAGUCGAUCCUAAAGGAAGCGCAUUGCAGUCCUUACGCUAUGUAUCUUGGUGGAAAUAAAAUGUAUCGUGAUCUUCGAGAACUGUACUGGUGGCUGGGGUUAAAAUUGGAAGUGACUACCUUCAUUUCUCACUAUCUAACGUAUCAGAAAGUGAAGGCUGAACAUCAAUUACCUUUGGGGUUGCUUCUGGCCAUCAAGAUUCCCCAAUGGAAGUGGAAACGUGUAACAAUGGACUUCGUUAGUGGAUUACCCCUUAUGCUCAUUUUCUACCAAUCAAGACCGAUUAUUUACUACAGAGGUUAGCAAAGCUACACGUGUCUGAGAUUGUGAGGUCACACAGACUUUUGAUUUUGAUUAAUUAGGAUAAGGAUCUGCAUUUCACCUCUUGAUUCUAGAAAAAAUUGUACGAGGCAUUAGGUACACGAUUGGGUUUCAGUAAUAUGUAUCACCCUCAGUCUGACGAACAAUCUGAGCCAGUUAUUCAGAUAUUAUAGGAUAUUCUGCGGAGUUGUGUGAUUGACUUCGGGGGCAGUUGGGAGUAUCACCUACCAUUAGCUGAAUUUACGUAUAACAACAACUACUAGUCUAGCAUUUAGAUGGCACCUUACGAGGCCCUGUAUGGCCAUAAGUGUUGUAUUCUCUUUUGUUGGACCGAGUUGAGUGAUC
RNAcentral lists this long non-coding RNA (110242 nucleotides) under Gossypium barbadense (sea-island cotton). RNAcentral describes it as "long non-coding RNA (GBAR_LNC006347)". The stretch from base 73202 to 73308 matches the Rfam family "Plant small nucleolar RNA R71". The record is from RNAcentral. Lineage: Eukaryota; Viridiplantae; Streptophyta; Magnoliopsida; Malvales; Malvaceae.